UCGUCCCAAACCACCAGGCAAGUAACUAGCAUUUUUGCAUCUGCACAAGGAAAGACGUUCCAAACUUGGAGUGGGCAAUUGAUCCAGAUCAUAAUCACAAUCCCUAAUAUCCAAAAACCGGAGACUUGCAAAACUGUAGACUGAACCAAGCAUUGUUCUCAAAUUCAGACAUGGGCAGCCAACGAUUUCCAGACUCUCAAUCGAUGUGCUAGUGUCCUCUAUGACAAUCUCCGGAGUAAGGUUCAGUUUCUGGCAAUGUCUGAUCCCAAGAUUCCUAAGCUGAGGGAGGAGCAACUUGUCCAUUGGUAAGCAACUGAGGGCUGAGCAACUGCUUAUUCGCAAUAUGUUAAGACCAGAUAAUGUAGGCAAAGACAGGAGAGCACUGCAACUUUCUAUCUUAAGAUAUUUAAGCAUGGGUAAAACAGCAAGCUCCUCCAAGGAUGAAAGCUGUGAACAUUCUGAAACAACUAAAGAUUUUAGCUGCACAAGGUUUACAGUAUUACUUGAGCCCCACAAAUUCUUCAGUUGAUGGCACUCACGUAAUGUGAUAUCUUCAAGGCCUGAUGGGAACUGCAUGAACGCAUCCUCGAGGGAUGCAAGCCCUAUAAUCUGCCGAAAAUCCAAAUUGUUUAAUGAGGUCAAAUUGUAUAAACAUUUUGCAAUUCCCACCGAGCACUUUUGCAACUUUAGUUCAGAGAGUGAAGGAAGCUGCAAAACAGGAAUGCUUUUCAACUUUGGGCAUCUACUUAUACAGAGCUUUUGGAGCAGAGGGAAGUGGCAUUCGUUCUCUCCUGCUGAACUUAAGCAAGUCCAUUCCUCCCAUUCUGGCAUGUCAUCAAAUGUUAGACUUUCAAGCAAUGGAAAGGAAAAUUCCCAAGAGCAAUCUUUGCCACAUAGCUCCGUACCUACUGCCUUCACCUCAAGCAUGGUUUGAAUGCUCAAAUCCUUGAGCGCAGGCAAUUGCCCGAGUGAUGGUAAACACUUGCAGUGUGUACAACCUCUAAGGCUUACUUCUUCUAAUUUAGUAAAUGAAGAAUCCCCCACCCAGGAAGAGAAUUUGUCUCCCUUAUAGAACUCAAUUUCAAGAAUCGUUAGGUUUGUGUGUGGUCGUAGCGCCUCAAGCAAAUCUUGUUGAAGAACUUUACUCAGAGAAUCAUCAUAUUCACUAUUCCAUGCCAAUACUAGUUCAUCAAGGUCCCUCUUGUUCUUCAAAUUGGCAUCCCGUGCUUCUUGAACAUUCGUAACAUUUUGCAACUCCAAAAUGGCGAGCGACCCUGCCAGUAAGGACAAGUUCCCCAAGUCAUUCAGCCGGAACCCACCAUGUUUGCUCACAACCACUUUGGAUAGCGUCUGCAAGUUCGUCAACUGAUCAAUCCCUGAAGGCAUCUCAUGCAAUUGACUGGUAUUGGAAUUUUCAAGAUGGCGCAGGUUAAUUAAUUUUCUAAUACCUACCGGUAGGUUAAUCAGCUCCGUGCAGUUGCGCAAUCGUAGUGCUUGUAAAUUGCAAAGAUUACUCAAUGAUUCAGGCAACAAUUUCAACCAAGUACCAGACAAAUUCAGGUACCUCAGAUGUAUUAAUUCACCGAUGGAAUUUGGUAGAUCAAAGAUAAAAUAGCCACUGAAUGAUAGCACCCUAGAGUAUCGCAAUUCCAACAAAAGUUCUGCUAUGACCUUUUUAGGGAUGUGAAACUCGUGUAACUCCCUGCCAUCCUCGACAAAAAUGGGCAAUGGCAGGAAACUUCGCAAAUGUUUUGCUUUCUGAAGAGUUUUAAACUUUUGUGAAGCUCCAUACGCUGAACUUGUGAAUGAUGCGUACCUAACCUUGUCAAGGAUCGUGCAUUUGAUGUUCUCUUCCAAGUCGUCUGUCAAUCUUGAACAAAAAUCUCCAGCAACAUAUCUAGCUAGAACGUUAAUAAGGUCAUGCAUCACAAAACGUGAACUAUUGGAACUUGACUGCUGGAAGAAGGACCUCAUUAGUAGCUCCUUAAAAUAAUUGUCCCCUAUGUCCUCCAUAAGUUCACUUGCUUUUGAUUCCUCGAGAAAACCCUCUGCCAUCCAGAGCAAUACAAGCUCAUAUUUGUCAAACUCAUAGUCCUUGGGAAAUAUGGAGCAGUAAGCAAAGCACGGUUUUAGAUGGGCAGGAAGAUGAUAAUAGCUUAAUCUCAGUGCUGGAAGAAUAUCACUUUGAUCCUCUUUUAUUUCCCAUAUCUCACUGUUCAGUAUAUCCGUCCAUUCAUCUGGGGUCGAUCUAGCACGCAACAGCCCUCCAAGAGUCUUCACGGCCAAGGGUAAGUUCUUACAUUUCCUUACAAUACUCCUACCAAUGCCUUCUAGAUUGGGGUACCUGUCAAAAUUUGUCCUCCAGUAACCAUAAGCUUUCAUCAUCUGUCAACUCCUUCAGACUAUAUCCAGCAGUGGAAGACAUUACUGAUGCCACCCUAUGAUGCCGAGUGGUGACAAUUAUCUUGCUCCCAGAUGAACCAACUAGAAAUGGGCUGCACAGGAUGUCCCAGUCCUCGUAUUUUUGAUUCCAAACAUCAUCUAAGCAAUUAGAAACCUCUUCCUGGUCAAGGCCUCACUCAGUUUCACUUGAACCAUAUUCAGAUCCUCAUAAUCACAGCCACCUUCUGUGAUUGCUUUAAGGAUUGUCUUUGUUACCCUGAAAAUGUCAAAAUCAUCUGAAACACAAGCCCAAGCCUUGGAAUCGAAAAAUUCGUUGACUCUGUCAUCAUUGUACACCAUUUGAGCAAGAGUUGUUUUACCGACCCCUCCCAUGCCAACAAUUGGUAUCACAGCCACUUGAUCAUCGCUCGAUUCAUUUGAAAGGAGCAAUUUCAGCAGCUCUUCUUUGUCAUUCUCUCGACCAUAAACAUAAGACUCCACUAGGGAUGUUGAUGGCAAUCUAUCCCUAGUUUUGUUCGGCCUCUUUGCUACAGUCUACCAAAUGGAGGAUUUUGAUUUGUUCUUUCAUGCUCUCCAAUCUUUUAGUUAUUUCAUCCACCUUGGGAGCCAUUUUUCUGUUGAACUUAAAAUCUUUAACAGAAAAAGUUGUACAACAGGAAGGGAUUUUAACCUUUCUUACCAUGCUAGUAGAGCCUUGAGCUUCCAUCAACUUUCUUCGACAAGCUUCUGUGGAGAAUUCGUCAAUCACAUCAUCCAUAUCAUAUGCCAAAUCCUGAAGAUCAUCUAGCCACUGCUUCACAGCGAUCCUCAUAUUCUGCUUGUCCUCUGCAUCAUCAAGCACUGCCCGAAUCAGGGAUAGCACUUGGCUCCAUCGUUUCAGCCGAGUAUCUAAGCCUUCUGGGAGUGCAAAUUUCUUCAAAUCGACAGAAGCAAGCUUGUCAAAUAUCACCUUGAUGAUUGCACCAAGAAAGACUUCUAUCAGUGCCAUUUUUCACUAUUCUUUUUUUUUUCCUCCGGAUUAUAUCAAUUGUGUAGGUAAGCAUCGAGCAAAAAGUCUGAAAACUUGAAAGGGGAGAUAAGAUUGAAAGAUGGAAAACUACAGAUUCUUCACGGGAAAAGUGAUCAGCACCAAAAUAUUUCAACUGGCAAGAAAAAAGUUUCCAAAGCGCGCGUCUUCAUUUCUUAUGUAGCACUAGUAGACUUAUUUUUCUUUUCUGUAGCACUAUAUUAUAUCAUCAAUCAUUAAAGUAACCCACACAAAGAAGUUGCUUUUGUGUGGAAUUUGACCGAAUUGAGGGAGGUACUUUUUGAGAUAGAAUGAUUUGUGCUCUUAGGUGUAGUUGGUGUACCUCAUUUACAACAUAGUGUACAUUUACAAAUGCACUUUAUCAUCAUAGGUGUGUUUCUUAACUAUUUCUUAAAAUUUUUUGAAGCAAGGAUGUGAAGUAGUUAUUGAUUAUUAAACAGGAAAGGUGAUUAAGUACAUCAACGGGUCCUUGAUCAGACUUGCAUUUUCUUUAAUUGAAUGCAUUUGUCUAUUCCUUUUACCAAUGAAUUAUAAAAUAAGAUAGGUGAAAUAAAAAGAUAAAGCUUCUAACCAAAACCCUUCUUUUUGGACCCAAACAAAAAGGAUAACUAUUCUUGUCAGAGAAAUAUCAAAUUAGAUAAUUAUUCUUCUCAGAAAAAAACCAAAGUGUAUAGGAAGUUGACUUGACUUGACUAAGAGCUUAAAUCUUAAUCCUAAAAGGUAAGCAAGGGUCAUAGAAUUAUCAAGGGAAAUUAGCGUGUUAAUUUGUUUGAGUACAUCAUUUUGGGGGGGGGGGGGGAGGGAUGUUCUUCUGAGUCUUGUUGAACAAAUGAAGAAACAGAAACAGCCUUAAGAAAUGGGUAAAUUACUAGUAACUUCUGUGAUAAUGUAUAUAACUCUUGAAUGAUUAUGUGAAUAAAUAUGAAAUAUUACAAGGAGAUAAAGAAGAUAUCCGCACAACUUAUAGGAGUGUUAAGUGUAUAUUGUGAUUUCAUCACAUUCAUUUUUAGAGUACAUCUAAUUCAAUCACGUUAAUUAAUGGUGUUUUUCGUCUAAUUUUUUACUUUAUAUGAAACUAUGAGAGAGUUAUGUGAAUAUUUUGAAACCUUAGAAAAAACAUGUCAUAAUAUGCAAAAUCAGAAUGAAGUUAUAAAUAAUUUAUGCUACGAAAAUUGAAGUUACCUGCAGAGAUAGGGUGGGGGCUGUGGGGUGGGGGGGGGGGGGGGAGGGAGGAAGAACUAAUCAAACCACACUUCUGAACAUUGACAAUAUAUGCCAUGUACAAAAUAUGGAUUUAAAAUGAAAGGAUGUAAAUUUAACUUGAGGAAUACAUAAUUUUGGGUUUUUCGGAGCCUUAUGCAUACAAAUGAGAAUUCUAACACAGCAGCCCCUCAAAGAACCCAUUGGAUAAUCUCUGCAGUCCCAAUCGGCCAGUCCUCGCCCGGCCAAACCGCACUUCCAAUAUCAAAUUAUUGGAAGUUGACUUGACUUUGCUGAGAGCCAAAGCCUAUAACUAUACAAGUCAAGCAAGGGUCAUACAUAAACGCGUUAAUUUGUUUUGGUACAUCCGAGUGGGGCUUCUUCUGAAGAUUUUGCAUAUAAUCCCCUGUAAAAUUAUGUAGAUAAAUGUCAAAAGUAUGAAAGAAUAAAAUAUAUAUUUCAUUAAAUCAUAUGCGAGUUAAACAGAUAUUAUGAUUUUAUCACAUAUAUUUUCGAAGCAAGUCCAAUUCAAUCGCCUUAAUCGGUAGCAUUUUCAUUCAUUUUUUACUUUAUAUAAAACUACAGAGGAAUAUUAUGAAUAUGUUAAAAUCUUAUGAGAGUCAUCUGACAAUAUAUUGAAUCAUAAUAGACCUAAUAGUAAUUUACGGUAAGAAAGAUGAAGUUGCGGGGAAGAGACGGACUAAAUGAAACCCCCCUUUUGAACAUUGAUAAAAUAUGCCAUAUAUAGAGUAUGGAUUUAAAAUGAAAGGAUGUAGAUUUAACUUUAGGGAUGCAUAAUCUUGGUUUUUUAAACUUUAAAAAUACUAAAUUUUGGCUUUUUGGGAAGCUUCCCUUGCAGAAGAUGCUAGUAAGAGUCUUUUGACUACUUAAAACAAAUUAUAACCAUCUUUGUGAAAGUAAAACUAAAUUUGAUCUUCAUUAGGUCAUUAUCAUCAUUACUGGGAAGGCUUACACCGGAUAGAUCUGGUUCUUAAAAAUUCAAUGGUCAAAAUUGUGUCACACCGUCUCAUCAAGUGGUAUGACACAAUUUAAAUCACUGAAAUUUUGAAAAUCGGAUUUACCCAAAUUUUGAUUCACUAGUAGUGGUACGGCUUCAACUUGUUUCCCAACUCACAAGGCAGAUGACUAAACACAACUAUUAAGGUGACGUUUGAUAAGAGGGUUUCAGAAAGAAGAAUUGGAAUAAACCCCAUAAUUGUUGUUUGGAUUACUACUAUCGGAAUCGGAAUUUUGGAAUCAAAUCUAAAAAUUUAGAAUUCCUCAAUCCACUAGUAACUUGGAGGGUUUUGGACAAAACCCAAGUCUGAUUCCGGUUUAGAAAUGGGGGCUGUCCCGCCACCCAUUAAAAAAAUUAAUAUAUAAUUAUGUAUAUAAUAUAUAUUAUAAUUAUAAUAUUUAAUUGUAAUUAAAUUUUUUAUUAUAGUAUUAGUAUAAUUAUAUAAUAUAUUUAUAAUUAUUAUAUACACAUACACAAUAUAUUAUAUAAAUAUAUAUCAUAAUUCUUUAAUUAAAUAUAUUUAUAUUUAUAUAAUAUAUAUUAAAAAUAUUAAUAUUAUAUAAUAAUAUAUUUAUAUUAUAUAUAUAAAUGUAUAUUAUAUGUGCAUAUAAUUAUAAUGUAUACGUGUAUAUAAUAAUAAUAUAUUAUAUAAUUAUAAAGUAUAUUAUAUAUUAAAUAUAAUUUUUAUUAUAUAUUAGUAUAUUUAUAAUAUACUUUAUAAUUAUAUAAUAUAUUAAUAUAAUUAAUAUUUAUAUAUAUUACAUAAUUGUAAUCAUAUAUUUAUAUUAUAAUAUAUACAUAUAGGAUUAUAAAUAAUAUAUAUUAUAAUUAUAUAUUUUAUUAUAAUAUUAGUAUAAUUAUAUAAUAUAUUAUAAUUAUUUAAUUAAAUAUAAUUAUACUUACAUAAUAUAUAUGAUAAAUUUAUUAACAUUAUAUGUAUAUUUAUAAAUGUAUAUUAUAUGUGCAUAUAAUUGUAAUAUAUAUGUGUAUAUAAUAUUAAUAAAUUAUAUAAUUAUAAUUAUAUUUAUUUAUAAAUAUAAUAAUAUAUUAAAAUAAUUAUAUUUAAUAUAUAAUAUAUUAUAAUUAUAUAAAUAUUAGUAUAAUUAAAAUAUAUUAUAUAAUUAUAAUUAUAUAUUUAUAUUAUAACAUUUGUAUAAUUAUAUUUAAUUUUAUAUAUAAUAUUUAAUUUAAUUAGUUACAAACUUAUAAUAAUGAUAUUAUUAGUUAUCUGUAUUAAAUAAUGUAUAUUAAUCUAUGUAAUAUAAUUCACAUUAUCAAUUAUAUUAAUAAUUGUACAUGUUUACUAAUAAAAAUUAUUAAUUAGUUAUACUAAAUUUACUAAUACAAGUAUUUGUAUUUUACAAGUAUUUGUAUUUUAAUUUUGUACAAACGUCUGUCUUCAAGUGAAAUUGUGUGCCAUGAAAUUCCAUUUCUCUAGACAAAUAAUUCUAGAAAUUAUAAAGUCCUAAAGGAUAUUAUCAAUUAAGUGGAAACCAAUACUUAGAGAUACAAAGCAUACACCCAUCCCAUGUCUAGAAAUUGGGCUUCUAAGGAAAAAAUUAAACCCUGAACAGCUAAUAUCGUAGAAAUAUUCUUAGCAAAAGUUCAUAGUCUUACGUGGUUAUAGCCGAAAAGAUGUUGAAUUCUUGUCACCUUUUAUGCCUCGUUUGUUGAUCUCCUCUCCACUCCAAACACAAGCUCCCUGUAUUUGGUUUUGGUGUUUUGUAGAAAGAAAUGAAAAACCAGAGCAUACAACAAAUUGAAUGAGCUAUAGCCAAUCAAAAGUUUUAUUUUGAAGAUGCACAUAUUAAGAGAAAAUAAAAAGCAUUGCGACAUUAAAAGAUGAAGAAGAAAAGGGACAAAACAGAAAGAAAGAAGAAAAAAAAAAGAGAAUGAAACUUAAAAGAUAAAACUCAUACGAUUGCAGGGGCAAAUUUGUGACCAUUGACCAAUAUAUAUAUAUAUAUACUCUAUAAAAGUCUCUUGGAUGAUUUACCUUUUAGUCCUUACUCAAUAUAUUUAUAUCUAUAAAAGUCUAUAUAAAUUAUAUUCAAUAAACAUGGUGAAUUAACAGCGUGCAAAGCUCAAUACCUUGUCCAAUAUAUAACAUAAAUCUGUUGCUAUAGCUAUAGGUGCUACUGACGCCUUUUAAUACCAUGACAAACCAGCAAACUAAUCUAUCUAUCUAUCUAUCUGUAUCUAUAAUCCGAAUAAAAGAAUGGAUAGUUUAGGCAAAUAGAGUGUAAAUAAUUUGAAGUGCAAUCAUUUUUUUAUUUUGGUCUUAGUUUUUGCUGUGACCAAAGUAUCCUUUUGUCUAAUAAUUACAGUCAUUUUAUUUCGGUUAUGAUAUUAAUGAAAUGAACAAAAUGUUAUCAGUUGCUUCCAUAAUAUGAGUAUUGUGAUAGCUCCACCUUACCCUGAGGCGAACCAAAGGGUUCGGCGGACCGUCUGCCCAACUCUCGCCGGGACUCAGUCACUUACUACAGUCCUCAAUUAAAUUACAAUAUCAAUUUCCAAUAUACAUCCAAUGGUCCACAAGUUUACAUAUUAUAAGUGAAGCAAUACUUCUCAAUCGCACUUCAAACUAAAACCUCAAGAGAUGAAAGCAAUACAAAUUUCCCGAAUAAGACGAAGGUCCUCAGUUCUCACAUAAUUACAAGUACAAUCGUAGUCUCAAAUAUUACACAAGAUAAAACUAAAAAUCCAACUGUACAGGAGAUCAUCCAACCAUUCACACGGAGAACGUAAUACAAGCUUCCUUUGCCUCGAGCCCUGUGGAGGGGAAUAAAAUAUUUUUGGGGUGAGCUAGAAGCUCAGCGAGUAACCAGUAAAAUCAGUAAUCAAAUCAGUUUCUCAAUAGUUCAUUUCAAUGAUGUCAUGAAUCAGUAAUCAUAUGUACGUUUAUUGCUCUCGUGAGCUAGUGAAAUCAUUGUACUUAAACAUCCAACGCUCAAAUUGAUCAGUUAACAGUGAAACAGUGAUAGGGAGCCCUUUGGUGCUCCAAAUGAACAGUAAAUUGUGGUGGAGACGUUGGUUCUAAGCACAAGACUUCCCAAGAACUCAUUGAAGCCAAAUCAUGUCAUGAACUCACAUGCAGGCACACAUGAUAUGCAAUCGAGUAAAUAAUGCAAGAAACAGUUCAUAAGUAGCUUUGGAAAUAGUUUGGGGUCACUCACCAACCACGGCUCAGGAACCAUCCAUCAUAUAUCAUUGCUUUGCUCAAGUCCAAGCUCUAGAUCACAAACUCAAAGCAAUCAAACACUCUCAAAGUUCGGACAGCACUUCCCCUUAAUUUCUUCAUUUUUCCAGCCUACAAACAUUCACCAAAUCCAUAACUAUCAACCACAAUAGCACAUAUACAUCAUAGGCUAUUAAACACUCUUAAUAAAGGUCAUAAUACCCCCUUCAAUCUUAACCAAUUAAGUGCACAGGAACCCACAAUAAGAAAGCCCCAAAUUAAACCCUAAAAUCGAAAUUUCCGCACAAACCAGAAAUUUUCCGCAAACAAUCGUAUCCAACGUAUACAAGCUCCAUUUUAUACCACAACAAGCUAUCAUUCCAAAGCCAAACAACAAUUCUCAUAUAAAAUCAGAAAAUUCCCCAAUCAAUCAGAAAUUGGUCCAACUCUAAUUAAAAUCAUGAAAUCAUCCCCAAAAUAGCAUCUCUAACCUCUACAAACCACCAAUAUACCAUUAUUAGAACAAAGAGGAAAUUUUCCAAGCAACUUACCUCAUAACUCAAGAAAGGUAGCAACUUAGAGCUUCCCUUCCAAAAAUCACUCCGUCAAAAGCUUUAAACCUCCUUAGUACACACUUGUAUGGAGUAGUUUCCAAAACCAUCGGUGAAAUCCCAAGAUUUGAGCAAAGAUUGAAACUAGCAAAAAUGAAGAAAUCUCUCUUGUUUUUCCUCUCUCAACAGCCGGCCAAGCCAAGGAAAGGAAUGAGGAAAAAUCCCAACCAAAACAAGAUAAGAAGGAAGAAAAUCAACUGGUCAAAGUUGAUGGCCGACAUGCCACGUCACAAUCCGGCCGGAAUCUGGCCGGAUUUCUAGUCGGAUUCCAGGCCGGAUUCAAGGCAGUGAAGAAAUUAUUUUUUUUUUCAAAUGAGCCAACCAAUCCAGCCAGAAACUGGCCGGAUUAUGCCGCCGGAUUCUGCAAAAAUUCUGGUCACCAGAAAAUUUUUCCCUUUUCUUUUCUUUCGGGCAUCACAAGUAUUUAGAAUAAAAAUAAACUAUUAGAAUUUGAGUUAUAGUGAAUUAAAUAAAAAAAGAAUAAAAUUUAUUUUUAAAUUUUUAAAAAAUAUGGUGAAACUUAGUGGUUAAUAAUGUAACAAAAAUGAUAUUAAUUUUUUUUUUUACCAAAAAUACACUCCUCUCUAAUAAAUAGACAAAUUGCAUUGUAUUUCAUUACUAAUAAAUAAUAUCAAAUAGGCUAGCAGUUACAAAUAUGAAAGAUUCCUUACUUUUUAUUUACCAAAAGAAAGAAGAACAAAUUUUAUUUACAAAAUCUAAGUUAGUGUACUUCAAACAUGAAACAAAACAUAACAAAUUGGUACUGUAAGUCUCUUAAAAAAUACCACGAGUUUUUUUAUUUUUUGGAUACAAGUUAAUUAUGUCUGAAGAGUAUCUUUUUAAUAGGCAUCUAUUACUAUGGAGUAAAAAAACUUUAAUAGAAAAUAAAAUAGGAAAUGGAGUGCCAAGGUAGGCAAAGAGUUUUGUGUUAGGAAUUUAUUUAUUUAAGUUGCAAUAAAGAUUAAAUUUAAUGGACUUUAUCAAUCAUAUUCUUGUAACAACUAAUAGUAUUAAACUAAAAUUAAUGAAUAUUAUGUUCAUCAAUGCUAAUCAUAAUAAUAAUUAGAAAGUCGAAACAUCCCUUUGAGUUAUGGUGAAUUAAGCCAAAAAAUAUUUUUUUAAUAAAAUAUCAAUUUCAAGGAGUAUUUCAAAGGUGAAUAAAAGUAUAUCCAAGUUCAAUUUAAUUAUUAUAUAAUAAAUAACCUUAAUGUCUUACAAUUGUUAAUCAUAGAAACUCUAUAUUCAUAAAGCAUGUCAUCAGUGAGAAAUACAAAUAAGUUUCACCAAAUCAAAACAUUUCUCUCUAAAGUUAAUCUAUUUAAAAUCGAAUAAUGGAAUUUCAAUAUAUUUAGAUACUAUUAUAAUUACAGUAGCACUAUAGAUCAUUUUACAAUCCGCCAUUAGCAAAAAAUAAUAAUAAUUAGAAAAUCUCACUAAAACUAAUAAACAAUUCAUAGAAUAACUUAAAGGGAGCAACAAGUUAUUCAAAAAAUUGAAAAUUUAAACUCAAAUGGCAUAAAAAAGAACAUUUAGGUCAUCUAAAUUUAACCAAAAGAUAAAAAUAUUGAUACUGUUACAAAAUAAAAAGUACUCUAAAAACAAAGAGUGAUUUAUUACUUGUGUAUGUUUGGUUACGGAAAACUAAGUUCAGAAAAAUAUAAAAUAAUAUAAAUAUUAAAUAUCAUUUUUUUUUUGUCUCAAUUACGUUUAUUCCUUCAAAACAAUUGAUUUUCUAAAAAUUUUAAAGGAAAAAAAAAAUCUAAAAGCAUCAUGUUCACGUGCAAAGCAUGUGUUUUAUUACUAGUUUGUUAAAAUGUCUAACUAUGUGCACUUGGAUGUGUCUUGAUGAGUGUCUUAAGGACAUUAAUUAAAGGAACUACUGAAAUAUAAGCUGUUACAUUUAUGUUAGAGGCAAAUCAGUUGAACCAAUAAUAGUUGUAUUAGUCCAAGCUGACUGCCCUUUAAUUGGUGCCAAUGAAUUAUUAGUUGUAAUGGUUUGCUUUAAUUGAGUGAUGGUGUACUACUUCAAUGAUCAUACCAUUAUAUAUUACUCGCAGCCACAUAAAUAGACCCCAAUUUUUGGCGAGCAGGUGAGUGGGAGAAGUGACUAGCCUCUAAUUGGUUCGUUAACACUUUAACAAUUGAGUUGAGUUUAAAUCCGCUAUUGAAAACUUUCAGAAGGUGCCAAAGACAUUGGGACAGGCAUAGCAAUUGUUUUUUUUUUUCUUUUAAUUUUUUUUACACGAGCUACUGGAUGUUCCAUAAUCGAUUUUUCUGGAAAGAAAAACAUGACAUCGAAAUUGUGAUAGAGAGAUUUCGCGAAUUGCUAUGGCGCUAGAAGUAUCAAUAAAUUGCUCAGGAAAAAAAAAUGAAUAUAAUCAUAUCCAGUUUGGUCCUGUAUCAUAACUCUUUUCUUGCUCUUUGCUGAAGACUUGCAAGUCGUUGCAUAUAUGUGGUUUGGAAAUUAGAAAGCAGCUGUCAAGAUGGGCUGAGCUUUUCAAUCUUCGCUCAUUCGAUCAAGCCAAUGACAACCCUAUUGACUUAAAAAAAAAAAAAGAAAUACAUUGUAUUUGUGACGUUUUGGAUACAGGGAAAGCAUUUGAUCAAUUAGAUUGCCAUUCAUUAUCAUAUAAAAAUAUAAAAUUACUACAUUUAUAGAAUAUCCAAGUUAAAAGAUUCACGGGCGGAUUUAUUUAUAGAAUAUCCAAGUUAAAAGAUUCACGGGGGGAUUUAAGGUGGGGGCACGGCCCCCAGUGCUCUCCUUAAAUUCCUAUAAUACUUAUACAAUUUUGAUAUAAUUUUAAGUGUGCCCCCAAAGUUUUCUUAGAAAGGAUGCAAAAAAAUUACGUACUCUCUCGGACCCUCCGUCCCACUUUGAUAGUCCUGAUUUUUUUUUCACACAGUUUAAGAAAAAGUAGUUAACUUUAUUGGAACAAUCAAUUUAGGUAGCUAUUUUUCUAAAAUACCCUCACAUUAAUUAGAGUACAACUUUAUGAGAACUUGAAUUGAUGGUAAAAAAAAAAUAAACUCUCAUUAAAUGGAGUAGGUUUAUAGUAACAACAACUUACAUUGAAUAAGCGUAUUUUAGAAAAAUUAAAAUACAACUACAUUCUUCAAUUGAAAAGUGGACUACAAUUUGGGACAGACGAAAAAGCGAAACAGGACUAUCAAAGUGGGAUGGAGGGAGUAAUUUUUUAAGUUAGUUCAUAAACUAAAAUUCUAAAAAAAUACGUGGGGUACAAAUUUCAUUUGAAAUAAGAUAAAAAAAAAGUCUUUUCAUUUUAACUAGCAACCAAUUAUAUCAUUCACUUUCUUUGGGCCCAACUCUCCAAUUUCCCUUUCCUCUUCUGGUCCCCCAUUUUUCCCCCACAACCGAGAGCCACUGCUUUCCACAACCAAGCAGCUAGCUACUCUUUCUCUUGAUCAAUUCAUCCAAUCAUAUCAUUCACUUCCUUUGUCCCCACUUCCCAAUUUCCCUUCCAUCCACUGGUCCCCCAUUUUCCCUCCACAACCGAGAGCCAUUCUUACUUCCACAAUCAAGUUAGUUAUCAAAAUAUAAAAACUCGCAGUGAGCAAUUGUAAAUAGUUUAGUUUAUUUUUUAAAUAAAAUUAUUAUUACAUUAAUAAUUUUGAAUUUAUCUUUUUAUGUUUUUCUUGGAAUAUGUGCAUCAUUUGUACUUGUUGGUAAUUUUUUUUUUCUUAAAAAAUUAGAAAAAGAGUAGGUAAAAAAUUUUGGUGUUGUUUUUGCCCCCACUAAAAAUUUUUUCUGGCUCCACCACUAAAAGAACAUAUCAAACGUCAGUACAAAUAUAGCCAAUUUCAUUAUUACUUUCACUAUCAAUCACACAAGCUCUAAAAUCAUAAAGGUAGUACAAAACUUAAGGCCCACAUUACGAAAAAAAGUUUUAAAUUGAAAUACCAUUAUUUAUCAUUGACACCGAUUGGAAGAGCACUAUCAAUCAUUUACACCAAACAUUACCAACCAAAAAUCAUUUCGGCAAAUCAUUAACACACAAAAAGUAAAAACUGAAAAAACCCACUAAAACUGAAAUACAAUCUUAAAAUCACAUCAAGGUAAACCACGAAUUAAUAAAAAAAACUGAAAAUUUAAUUCAUAUGCAACAUAAAAGAAAACAUCACUUAAGCAAAAUGCAAUGGAUACACGAAGACACUUUAUACACCGCAUCUAUAUAAAUAUAAGAUUUUGACCAACUUCCAGACCAUACUGCCCGAGAUAUAUUGGCAGCCGCCGAUCAUUUGAUUGGACUAAAAUUUGGAAUGAGUACGCUUGAUGAUAUGAAUCAUUUGAAAAAUAAACGUAUUCGUUUUGUAGCGGAUCUUUUACAAGACCAAUUCGGGUUGGCUCUGAUUGGUUUAGAAAUUGCUGUUCGAAGAACUAUAUGUGGAGCACAAAUACAUCGACCGGUACUAGUUGUUAGCUGUUGCUAUACUGUUUGGAUGAUGACAUCUAGUAAACUGAUUCUUACACUGAUUUCUCCUGUAUACAGGAGUUCCGGUUACGAUGGAGGUUGCUAGUGAUUUAGCGGAUAGGCAGGGGCCAAUAUACAAGGAAGACACAGCUAUUUUUGUCAGUCAGUCUGGUGAAACUGCUGAUACUUUACAGGCAUUAGAUGAUGCUUUAGAAAAUGGUGCAUUAUGCGUUGGAAUCACACAUAUUGUAGGAAGUGCGCUUGCAAGGAAAACCCACUGCGGUGUGCAUAUUAAUGCUGGUUGUGAAAUAGGUGUGGCGAGUACUAAGGCAAGUAAUUGGCACUUUGUUUUUGGCGUUACUUCCUUCUAUUCUUUUUUCUUUUGGUUUUACUAUUAUGUGACUUGUUAUGUUGUUCCCUUAAUCAACAGGCAUACACCAGUCAAAUUGUAGUUAUGGCAAUGUUGGCCCUUGCUGUUGGAGGAGACAUGAUUUCAAAUGAAGCAAGGAGAGAAGCAAUAAUAGAUGGUCUCCUAGACUUGUCGAGUAUGCGUCUUGCUUGUUUCUUGCAUUGCAGCUACAGCAUUCUUUAGUUUUUCUGCCUACAAAUGUGUGCUUUCUAGUAUUUAUUUAUUUAUUUGUCAAAACGAAAGUGAAAACGGUAGGCAAAGUGAAAACAGUAGUAUUUAUUAUUUGAGGUAUCUAAUUCUAUUGUAUUAUGCUUUUGAAAAUGGUAGGCAAAGUGAAAGAGGUUCUCAAGCUGGAUGAGGAAAUGAAAGAUCUUGCUGAACUGCUCAUUAAUGAACAAUCACUUCUUGUAUUUGGAAGAGGAUAUAAUUAUGCAACAGCCCUAGAAGGCUCCUUGAAGGUAAAGGAGGUUGCUCUUAUGCAUAACGAGGGAAUUCUUGCAGGUGAAAUGAAACACGGACCUUUAGCUUUAGUGGAUCACAACCUUCCAAUUGUUGUGAUAGCUACUCGUGAUGCUUGUUUCAGGUUAGUUGAAUGUUUUGAUAAGGGCAAAUUAUUCAAUUGGCCCUUUAACUCUUUGUAUAGGUAAAAUUAAGCCCCCACCUAUUUUUUGCUGACUUUAAGCCCUUGAACUUGUAAAGGUGGGAAACUGUGGCCCUUUUAGCCAGUUUCUCCGGUUUUGCAACCGGAGGACCAAUUCACACGAAUGCAAGUGUGUUUCUUCAAAGGGCAUUUUUGUCCGCAUAUUCUAAGCAAAAAGGGCACAACUCCUCCCUCCCUCCAUUUUCCUAACCCAACCCAACUGCUAGUCGAAACUUCACUGCAACAAUGGAAGCAACAAUGGAGUGGCAAGAGAAAAUCUUUCCUACAAGGAGUUUCGACUUGUUGCUUAAUUCUUUCUCUUGCCACUCCAUUGUUGCUUUUCGUCUACAGCAAAUUUCAGAAUGCUCAACAAGAUUUCAGAAUGAUUCCAAAGAUUCUCGCUUUUCGUGCAAGUAUCAAAUGAUCUAAAGACAAUACCGCAAUACACCAAAUUUGGCAACAUUAUGAACUACCAGUCGCAAGAUCUUAGACAAAACUAAAGAUGAGAGAAAAGGAGGAGGUUAGUAAAAUUCUCUCUUUUUUUGAUAAAUAAAUAUGGGCAAAUUCUACAAGAUAAUUUGUACAGAACAUCAUUUGAAAAAUCGUCAACAUCCCAGAUCGCAUAUGUGCAAAUUCACAUCAGAUAACACAAGUAAAUCUAGAAUCAAUGGCCAUUUGACCACAAAAUUGCAAACUUUAAGAGAAAAAGUGCAGGAUAGAGGGCAAGCGGGAUAAUUAUAAUGAAACAAUUAAAUUAAAAGGAAAACUAAAGGAUUAACACUCACCUAGUGCAAAGAAAAAGGUGAAGAUUGCAGAGAAUACAUUUCCAAUAAUAGCAGAAACUGCAAAGCUGAAAUAUCGUUUAACUUUAUCGGCCAAAUUCCUGAAUGAAAAUGAGAAAGAAGAAGAAGAAGGCAAAGAAUGAGAUGGAUAAGCAUAAAACUCCAUGGAUUCUGUCUCCAAUCUCAAGAAAAUCUUUCUCUUGCCACUCCAUUGUUGGCUUCCAUUGUUGCUGUGAAGUUUCGACUAGCAGUUGGGUUGGGUUAGGAAAAUGGAGGGAAGGUGGAGGAGUUGUGCCCUUUUUGCUUAGAAUAUGCGGACAAAAAUGCCCUUUGAAGAAGCACACUUGCAUUCGUGUGAAUUGGUCCUCCGGUUGCAAAACCGGAGAAACUGGCUAAAAGGGCCACGGUUUCCACUUUUAUAAGUUCAAGGGCUUAAAGUCAGCAAAAAAUAGGUGAGGGGCUUAAUUUUACCCAGACAAAGAGUUAAAGGGCCAAUUGGAUAAUUUGCCCUUUUGAUAAACUAGUGGUUUCGUGUUUAUUAUAUCUGUUCCAUAAACAUCUCUUUUGCUGCAGCAAACAACAAUCAGUCAUUCAGCAACUUCAUGCUAGGAAAGGUCGACUAAUAGUUAUGUGCACGAAAGGAGAUUCUGCAUCUGUAUCAGUUGGUGGAUCUUGUCGAGUAAUUGAAGUUCCUCGUGUUGAGGACUGUCUCCAGCCUGUACUUAAUGUAAUUCCAUUGCAGGUAAAUUGCCCACUUUUAUUGGGAACCUUUUCUUGUGUCAACUAUUCAUUGAGUUGGAUGAAGGAUGAUUUUGGCAGUAUGGAUCUUCUUUACUCUGGGAACCUAAAUGCUGCUAUUUUUAGGAACUUUUAGGUACCGAAUUGUUAAACUACUUAAUAACGAUUUCAACUCUCAGAGCAGCAUUAAUAUUAAGUCCAAGAACUAUGAAAAGUUUGCAAGCUCUGCAAGUCUUUGAUUUUUAUUUGUCUGGACAGUGCGGUCUAUGGCGUCUCAUUUCUUUUGCACAGAUGAUUUAUCUUGCUGUCAGGAAAGCCCCAGUUACUCUCCUUGUAUGAGGCAGCAAAGAUAGUUUGUCUGCUAGACAGCCACGGAUUUAAGGGGGGGCUGGUGGGGGCUUAAGCCCCCCCCAAGCCGCCGGAAAACCCCCUAUAUAUAGCCGUAGACCGCAAGAAAGGAAAGAAGGAAACGAAUUGCAGGAUGGCUGUCAGGUAUGUAGUGCUGAUUUUGACCUUAUGUUUGAUAACUGGUUUCGCUUCUGUUAACGCAUAUGGCACUAUGAAGAUUUUGUGUUACGAGAAUCAACAAUGUAUCUGCAGCUCCAAGGAAUGUGUGAAACUUUGUAACUGAGAGCACGAUCGAGAGUGAGGUCGCUUUACUGAACCACUUGGUACAAUUCUCUAGUGGUUAUUGGCAACGCUCUUAUAUGUAGCAUGCUCUACAACUUUCGAUUACCUUUUCUUUUCUUUUCUUUUUUUUUAAAAUUUCGUCUAAUUCAGUGUGUUUGGAUAUGAAAUUAUUUGAAAAAAAUUAUUUGGAGAAGCUCUAUUACAAUUUUCAUGAUGCGAUGCAUAUAACAUAAAAAUAUGCUUAAAAAUUGCAUUUAUGAUAUAAAUUGAAUAAUAUUUGAUUUUUUUUUUUGGUAACGGGGGAGGAGUGAGAAUAUAAAAAGGGAAGGAGGUAGCAGGAUUGGCAGCGGGGCAGGUUUCAAGUAGGGUAGUUGGUAGUCCUCCCGCCUUGCCCCUGCUACUCUAGCAGGUACGUCUGUCCAACCCUACUGCUAUUUUUACUCUUCAGCCCCCCCAAAAAUAAAUUUCUGGCUCCGUCCCUGCUGCUAGAAGUUCCUUUUCCAUUCCCUUGAUCCCAGGGAAGAAGAGCUUUAAUUUAAUUUUGUUCAGAGUCCUUGGUUUUAGUUUGUGUGGAUGGUAGGUGCAAACCGGGUUGUAAAAUUGUAACUUUCUAUGUAAAAUAUCUUGAGAAGCUUAGCAAGUUUUACAUGUUUUUUUGAUCAUUCGUGAAAGACUUGAUGAUCAAGGUGGAGAUAAUGUUCGUGUGAUUGUAUAGUUUCAAGUCCAGAGGUAACGCUGCUUGUUGGUUACCCAUCUGUGCUACUAUCAUCUUUGAAGGGUCCUCCAGUGCAGCUUGUUAGUUUGGUUUUUACUGAUUGCAUCUCUGUGUGGUUUGAAUGCUACAGGUAAACAACUUUCGCUUUCAGGUCAUCUAAAAGUAGUGUUCAGGAUGGUGUAGAAUAGAACUUAAUGCUUACUGUGAUUUUUAGAUGCUUGCUGUUUACUGCUUGGUUGUUUACUGCUUGGUUAGAAACUCUUAAAUGAGUCUAGAAUUUUGAGUCCACUCAGGAUUGGUUUUUGUCUAAGUAAUUAUUUGGAAUAAAAAAAAAUUAGCACACAAUAUUUUUGAUCCCAAUCAAAUUGGUUGAGUUAUUUUGAGAAGAUAAAUUUGCCGUAAAGUUUCUAAAACUCGUUUGCAAUAUUAGCACAAUAAAAAAUGAUUUAUCAGGCCAAACAUGUACAUUACAUGGGAUUCAUAAAGGUUAACACAUACAAGCACGCAUCGACCGCACAAGUUAUUUCAAUAGCCAUUAGGCUAGUUUUCUAAAAACGUAGUAAAAGCAGCAACGACAUAUACUCAAUGUAAAAGAUAAUUCUAAUUCUUUUUUUUUUGUCCAAUGUAUUUUUUUAUUUUAAUAAACCAGUAAACACAUCACAAUCAUAUAAUUUUCAUCUGGACAGGUGUUGCAUUCAUUUAUAGAUGUCCUGCCAAUUACUGCAUUCAUUUAUAGAUGUGAAGUGGAGCCUCAAACAGCAAAUUGACAAGUAUAGCCCAAUUAAACUCUAUCGAGAAACUAUUAGUGAAUCGUUUUCGCAUAUCGUAUUAUUUUUUUAAAACAUGCACACGUUAUAACCUUCUAGAAAUUAUUAGAGGCAAGCAUCCAAUGGAUGAUUCAUGAAUAGUGUCUCGAUAAACAAAUACAUUUUCUUGUAACCAAUAUCUACGACCAAUAAACCAUCGCCGCUUUAAUAGCUUCACCUUUUAUCAAUCUUGGUCACUUUAUUAAAGUUACAUAGAAUAAUAACAAUGAAUGAUAAGUCAAUUGCUCGUCAACAAAUAGAUCAAUUUGCAUCUCCUUCGAUAAUUCACCAAAGCUAACAGUUAACCUUUCUGAAAGGGUGACCCAAGUAUUGCAGGUCACUACGAAAAUGAAGGAUGGAGAAAUCAGAUGAGAGAGAGCAAUAAAGAGGCAGGUAGUUUUCUUUUGCUUUUCAUCCUCAUAAAACACCAAUGAUUACCUAUGCAUUUGUUAGUGAAACAUACAAGGAAUCUAAAUAAAACGGGUGGAUUCUUGGGAAAUGAAUAGUAGGUAAAAAUUUCCCUCAUGAAACUAAUUAUAACUUCUAUGUCCACAUCCAAACAUGAUAACUUAUUUUGAAAUCAAAUAUAACGGAUAAAAUCACGUGUUCAAACAGACCCAAAUUUUCUGCAAUAGCUAGAUGUAAUAGUUGACUCCACUAUAGUAAGUUUACAUCAUAUACAUGUGGAUGUUACCGUCUAGCUUUGCUGCCAAGGCUCUAGAAAGUGAGAUGACAGGCAAACACAGUGACCAACUAAUCACCAAGAAAAUCAAAAUAUGUAAGCUUUACAAAGCUGAAGUACGUGGUUCAUUUACAUUUCUUUCAUCAGACACAUGAAUUAAGAAGGAAGAAGUGGUGGUACAAAUUAACAAAAUGCCGUGCAGUAUCCUCCUUGUGUAAAUAUUGGCACACUAACUGUAAUAUCUUAGCCCCCUUAAAAGGUUGUUGCGCUCUUUUCUAUUACUUCUCUUGUAAUAUCUUAGCUAAAUGUGUCAAAAUAGGUGAUUUGGACGGAUUUAGACAGGUCAUGAUUGAGUAAUGGAUAAAAUUAGGUCAACCCAUUUAUACAUAUUUAAAUAAACGAGUAUAAAUGGUUAUCUAUUUAUACCAAUUUAAUAAAUGGGUACAUGUAUAACCAAUUGCCGAUUUAUGAGUGGGUACAGGUAUAACCAAUUUCUCAUUUAUGAGUCACUUACAAUUUUACUUUUUUUUUAAUUUUUUUUUUUGCAUGGUGUUUGAAAAGAAAUAACAGUUGUUUAUUGUUAUUAAAUUGAUAAAAAAUCAAAUUUAUUUACUUAAUACUCAUUAAAAGUUAAGUUUAAAUAUAUAAUUAUUUUUAAAUGUGUAUAAAUGGAUGAGUCGAGUCAGCUCACUACCUACUAAUUAAAUGAGUUUAAUUGAAUACUCAUUUAAACCCAUUCAAAAUUAGUGGACGGGUUUGGACGGAUUUGAUUAAGUUAACAUAAUUGAAUUGUGAUUAACAUCUUUAAUCUUUGCCGCUUCAUAAAAGGUUGUUACUCUUUUUUUAGAAUAGACGUAAUAAUAAUCAUUUGAAAGUUGGAGUUCAAAGUUGAGAAAUAUUCUAGUAAGAAUAGACGUAGUAAGAAUAUUCUAAUUUAGAAGAAUCUUUAAAAAUUUUUAGAAUCUUUAAUUUAAUUUCUAUCUUCACCUUAUCAUGACUCAAUAUUUGAGAAAUUAUAUGAGGAGGGCUUUUAUUUAAAAGAUUGAAGGUUUAGUCAAGCACCUAACCGACUUGUUGCAUCAAGAUAUAAGGUUUAGAACAAGUGAAUCUUGUCUUCUUCCUUAAUACGGUUAAUUUGCUCAUAAAUUCUCUGUUUCGAUCAUUUGGUUAUCAAAACUUGCUAAAAUACUUACACAAUUACGGAAAACCUACAAGAUUGAAUGUCACCUUUCACAAGGAAAAUUCUGUCGUUUUCUGUCCAUAUCUGUGUACAUAAUACAAUAUUUAAUAGGUGUGUAACUUCAGGUUGCAAAAAAUUAAAAAUCAUGACACAAAAGAGGAAAGUAAAAACAGCUGAUAACUCUACGGAGGUAAAAGUAAAAUUGUUGAUCAAUCAUUUUUGACUAAUCUGGGGGAGGGACUUAAUAAGCGGGAGGAGGUAGGAGGAUUUGAACUAAUGAUUUUUAAUUUUUUGGGUCUCGAUCUUAAUUAUUAGAUCAAGAUUUUCUCGACUGGCAUAGCCAACAUUCUAAAUACGCUACGUAUAAUUGCCAUUUUUCCUUAUUUGCAAUUUUAACAUUUACUUGGAGUUUGGUCUCAACUACGUAUGAGUAGUUUUGGUAUUCAAAUAUGAAAUAAUUUCAAAACUUUGUUUGAAACAAUGAAAAAUCAUCCUUGUUUUCAAUGUUUUGAGAAGUUAAAAGCUGUUUUAAGAAACAAUCAAAACUAAUUUCAUUUGUUGAUGCUGUUGUGGCCCUUGCGAGUUUCAAUUACUUGGAUAAUUUAAUUAGUUAAUUGGGCUGAGGGAUUAUAGCAAACUCUUGGGCUGUUUUUGUUGGACUGGUCCAAGUUCUAAUGGCCUUUUACAAUUGUUUUUUGUUUUUGGGAUCCGAUUUCACAUUUGCCAAAAUUGAAAAGGGCCAUCAGAAAAUUUUUGGGAAUGUUAUCUUGGGACUAAUACAGUUAGUGGGCCUUAAAGGUUAAAAAAUAAGAAACUUUCUGGGUCCAUGCAUAUAGGGCUUAUGUUCUUAUAGGGGACAUUUGUUUGUUCUAUAAUUAGGGCUGUCAACGGGCCGGGUCCGGGCCGGAAUUCAUUAUUCCGGACCCGGACCCGAAUUACUAUGCCGGAUCCGGAUCCGACCCGUUUACCCGACGGGUCUUUUAUUCUAUGUUCCGGAUCCGGAUCCGGCGGGUCCGGAUCCGGAUCCGGGUCUACCUGAACAAAUUUACUAAAAUUUAUAAUUUCUAAUAAAAAUGAGAAAAAAAUAUAUUUGUAAACUAAUUUCUAACUAAUGCAAAGAAAAAAUCAAAUAAGAAAAGAAAUCAAAUUAACUUUAUUAAAAUACAUCACCCUAAUCAAAUUAUAUUGAUAAAUAUAUAUUUUUUAAAUUAUUAAUUCAUUUAUAUCCGGAUCCGGGUCUAAUACGGGUCGGAAUACUAUAUUCCAUAUCCGACCCGUUUUUUUGUUUGACAAAACGGAUCCGGAUCCGGAUCCGGGAAACGGAAUUAAAUCCCUACCCAUACCCGCAAUAAUUUCACGGAUCCGGUCCGGAUCCGGGUCUAGACCCGACCCGUUGACAGGCCUAUCUAUAAUUGAACUUAUGGAUCAUAAAGCCCAAUUUAUAAAUUCCCGACUCUUCAAAGAAGUUUAGAAGCUGAAAUAUUGAGCAAACACCCAAUUUGGGCUAUAUACAUCCAAGAACUUAUUUAAAAGGUCGACUUUGUUAUAAUAACCCAAUUUUUUUUUAAAAGCUCUUCAAAGAACUUAUUUAAAGGCUCGACUUUAUUAUAGUAACCCAAAUUUAAACAAACAAACUCAAUAAAAAUAUUACAAGUCCAAGUUUGUUUAUAAAUCCAAAUUAAAUAAAAAGAAGUCUUUUUCAAGAGUAGGCUUGACUCUAGGGUCAAGCCCAAAUUCAAAUGCAACUCGAACCAAUAUAUGCCUAUUUACAUCAAAAUAGAAACUUUUUUCUUAGAGAUAAUUGAAUUAAAAUACUUUUUAAAAGGAGAAGUCUUUUCAAGAGGGGAAACUUUCCAAAAUGGAUAACUUUCAGAAUAGGGAAAUCUUUUUUUUUUUUAGAAACCAUUUCAGUUACUUUUUUUAUAAAAGAUUCAUAUGUUUUAUAGGAUUAUUUAAGAUAAAAAUAAGUAAAUGAAAUAACAUAUGUGAACUAAUUAAGUCAUAUAUAUUAUCGGCUAUAAGUUGGAAGUAAGAUUGCAUAUCUUUAGAAGAUAAAUGAAGAGGUAAAUAGACUGACGAUCACGUUCUCGGAAUUAUAGAGUAAGGUGUAUUAAAUGAAGAGUUUGAAAUUCUUACGUUAGGGUUGUAAAACUAGCAAUGACAGUUUGAAACAUUUAUAGAUUUUAAUUUUAGUGACACUGUCAUUUUAGAGUAAUUGUAAGUUAUAAAAUUUAGUGAAUUUUUGUAAGUUAUAAUCAAGAUGUCUAGUUUUCAUGAGAAUACAGUCUCACGGGUACGCCAUGUCGUGUUGCAAAUUUAGUCCAUGGACCCAAAUUUGGAGUGAAGCAUCUUCACAGACUAGUAAGUGAGCAUUGGUUUCUCCAUAAACAUUCCAAUUGACUUCAGAAAAGGAAAAAAUAAAAAAGAGGAAAAGAAAGAAAGAAAGAAACAUGUGAUUAUAUAUAUACAUACAUAUAUACAUAUUAUAUUCUACAAUCUCUACAAAUCAGAAUAUGGCCCAACAAAGAGACUUACAAUAUCAUCAAGGCAGGAAAUGUAGGGACUUAGUAAAACACAAGAACAAGAUGGGCAGAAUGAGAUCCCAUGAUUAGUUUCCUCUACAAUCUGCAGUCUAGGCGCAUAGGCUUGCCAAGCGGAUUGAGCCUACGUCAACGUGCCAACAAAUUUUUUACCUGAAAAAGAAAAAUAAACCCAAGUUCAGGAUAUCACUCCUCUACAAUAAGCUAAUGCAAUAAAAAUAUCAACUUGAUAAGCUAAUGCAAAGAAAUCAUAGAACACGAAUAUAUUACCUUACCAUCUUAAGUGAAAAGAGUGCACACAGCUUAAUCAGAAUCACAAGAAAAGAACAUCGAACCCCAUCUGCAUAAAAAGACACAGGCUGAAAGGUCAAAGAAUCAAUUUAACAUGGUAAGCAAAGCACGAUUGACAUCUGAGUUUCUUCUCAAGCUAGUUAAAAGUGAGAAAAAUUAUUUACUGGGCUUUAAAGGAGAAAAUUACUAAUAUAAAUUUCACAUGACACAUAAAAGUAAAUAUGAUUCCUCUAUUUGAAUUUCGACACUUCCUUUCCAUUCAAGAAAUUUGUUGGAGUCAACAAAAAAAAUUUUGGACAAUAAUUUUCCAAAAUUUUAAGUGAAAAUCAGUAAGAAAAUUGAACAAUAAUUUUAAGUGAAAAUCAGGAACUCUAAAUCUCUGCGUACCUGGUGCCAUCACUGCGUAUUCUCACAAAGGGAAUGUCUUCAAUCAUGGGCCAGUAGUCUCCUCUAUACAUCAAACACCUUUUCUCAAGAAGUGGGCAUUCAUAAAUUUCUAGAGCUCGAAGCGGAUUACUCAAAGAUUCCCUUGGUAGGGAUCCAAGCUUGGGGCAAUUACAGAUAUGCAGAUCUUGAAGAGCUGUAAGACCUCGCAAGAACGCGGAGAGCGAUUUCAGAUUUGGUAAGUCACGAAUGGUGACGGACCUAAGAGUUGGAGGAAGCAAAGCCAAUCCGUCAUCACCACUACCAGAAAAUGAUUCCAGCUCUGGAUAUCCACCACGGAUGUAGAACCUUUCAAGAAACGUCAGUCUGUUGAGUCCCCAUUCUGACAGGGGCUUCAGCUGUAAGUUUUCUCCUGCCUCUAUGUCAAGAAACUUCAGAGUGGGAGGAAAAUCUCCUUGUGGAAAUAACAAAGGACUUGAACAAGAAUACAACAACAGAGAUCUUAGUCGUCCCAAACCACUGGGCAAGUAACUAACAUUUUUGCAUCUGCACAAGGAAAGACGUUCCAAACUUGGAGUGGGCAAUUGAUCCAGAUCAUAAUCACAAUCCCUAAUAUCCAAAGACCGGAGACUUGCAAAACUGUAGACUGAACCAAGCAUUGUUCUCAAAUUCAGACAGGGGCACUCAGUGAUUUCCAGACUCUCAAUCGAUGGGCAGUCAGUGCCCUCUAUGACAAUCUCCGGAGUAAGGUUCAGUUGCUGGCAAUGUCUGAUCCCAAGAUGCCUAAGCUGAGGGAGGAGCAACUUGUCCAUUGGCAAGCAACUGAGGGCUGAGCAUCUGCCUAUUCGCAAUGUGUUAAGACCAGAAAAUGUAGGCAAAGACUGGAGAGCACUGCAACCUUUUAUAUCAAGAUAUUCAAGCGUCGGUAAGACACCAAGCUCCUCCAAGGAUGAAAGCUGUGAACAUUCUGAAACAAAUAAACGUUUUAGCUGCACAAGGUUUAUAGUAUUACUUGAGCCAAGCUCCUCCAAGGAUGAAAGCUGUGAACAUUCUGAAACAUCUAAAGAUUUUAGCUGCACAAGGUUUACAGUAUUACUUGACCCCCACAGAUUCUUCAGUUGAUGGCACUCAUGUAAUGCGAUACCUUCAAGGCCUGAUGGAAACUGCUUGAACACAUCCUCGAGGGAUGCAAGCCCUAUAAUCUGCCCAAACUGCAAUUGGUUUAAUGAGGUCAAAUUGUGAAAACAUUUUGCAAUUCCCACCGAGCACUUUUUUAAGUUUAGUUCAGAGAGUGAAGGAAGAUGCAAAACAGGAAUGCUUUUCAACUUUGGGCAGCCACUUAUACAGAGCUUUCGGAGCAGAGGGAAGUGGCAUUCGGUCUCUCCUGCUGAACUUAAGCAAGUCCAUUCCUCCCAUUCUGGCAUGUCAUCAAAUGUUAGACUUUCAAGCGAUGGAAAGCAGUCUUUGCCACAUACCUCCGUACCUACUGCCUUCACCUCAAGCAUGGUUUGAAUGCUCAAAUCUUUGAGCGCAGGCAAUUGCCCGAGUGAUGGUAAACACUUGCAGUGUGUACAACCUCUAAGGCUUACUUUUACUAAUUUAGUAAAUGAAGAAUCCCCCACCCAGGAAGAGAAUUUGUCUCCCUUAUAGAACUCAAUUUCAAGACUUGUUAGGUUUGUGUGUGGUCGUAGUGCCUCAAGCAAAUCUUGUUGAAGAACUUUACUCAGAGAAUCAUCAUAUUCACUAUUCCAUGCCAAUACUAUUUUAUCAAGGUCCCUCUUGUUCUUCAAAUUGGCAUCCCGUGCUUCUUGAACAUUCCUAACAUUUUGCAACUCCAAAAUGGCGAGUGACCCUGCCAGUAAGGACAAGUUCCCCAAGUCAUUCAGCCUGAACCCACCAUUUUUGCUCACAACCACUUUGGAUAGUGUCUGCAAGCUCGUCAACUGAUCAAUCCCUGAAGGCAUCUCAUGCAAUUGCCUAGUAUUGGAAUUUUCAAGAUGGCGCAGGUUAAUUAAUUUUCUAAUACCUACCGGUAAGUUAAUCAGCCCCCAGCAGUUGCGCAAACGUAGUGUUUGUAAAUUGCAAAGAUUACUCAUUGAUUCCGGCAACACUUUCAACGAAGUACCAGACAAAUUCAGGUACCUUAGAUGUAUUAAUUCACCGAUGGAAUUUGGUAGAUCAAAGAUAACAUAGCCACUGAAUGAUAGCACCCUUGAGUAUCGCAAUUCCAGCAAAAGUUCUGUUAUGACCUUUUUAGCGAUGUAAAAGUCGCCGUCAUACUUGCCAGAAACGGGUAGGAAACUCCGCAAAUGUUUUGCUUUCUGAAGUGUUUUAAACUUUUGUGAAGCUCCAUACAUUGAACUUGUGAAUGAUGCAUACCUAACCUUGUCAAGAAUCGUGAAUUUGAUGUUCUCUUCCAAGUCGUCUGUCAGUCUGGAACAAAAAUCUCCAGCAACAUAUCUAGCUAGAUCGUUAAUAAGGUCAUGCAUCACAAAACGUGAACUAUUGGAACUUGACUGCUGGAAGAAGGACCUCAUUAGUAGCUCCUUAAAAUAAUUGUCCCCUAUGUCCUCCAUAAGAUCACUUGCUUUUGAUUCCUCGAGAAAACCCUCUGCCAUCCAGAGCAAUACAAGCUCAUAUUUGUCAAACUCAUAGUCCUUGGGAAAUAUGGAGCAGUAAGCAAAGCACGGUUUUAGAUGGGCAGGAAGAUGAUAAUAGCUUAAUCUUAGUGCUGGAAGAAUAUCACUUUGAUCCUCUUUUAUUUCCCACAUCUCACUGUUCAGUAUAUCCGUCCAUUCAUCUGGGGUCGAUCUAGCACGCAACAGCCCUCCAAGAGUCUUCACGGCCAAGGGCAAGUUCUUGCACUUCCUUACAAUACUCCUACCAGUGCCUUCUAGAUUGGGGUGCCUGUCAAAAUUUGUCCUUCCUAGUGCAUGUCUUGCCAGUAACCAUAAGCUUUCAUCAUCUGUCAACUCCUUCAGACUAUAUCCAGCAGUGGAAGACAUUACUGAUGCCACUCUAUGAUGCCGAGUGGUGACAAUUAUCUUGCUCCCAGAUGAACCAACUAGAAAUGGGCGGCGCAGGAUGUCCCAGUCCUCGUAUUUUUCAUUCCAAACAUCAUCUAAAACAAUUAGAAACCUCUUCCUGGUCAAGGCCUCACUCAGUUUCACUUGAACCAUAUUCAGAUCCUCAUAAUCACAGCCACCUGCUGUGAUUGCUCUGAGGAUUGUCUUUGUUACCCCAAAAAUGUCAAAAUCAUCUGAAACACAAGCCCAAGCCUUGGAAUCGAAAAAUUCGUUGACUCUGUCAUCAUUGUACACCAUUUGAGCAAGAGUUGUUUUACCAACCCCUCCCAUGCCAACAAUUGGUAUCACAGCCACUUGAUCAUCGCUCGAUUCAUUUGAAAGGAGCAAUUUCAGCAGCUCUUCUUUGUCAUUCUCCCGACCAUAAACAUGAGACUCCACUAGGGAAGUUGAUGGCAAUCUAUCCCUAGUUUUGUUCGGCCUCUUUGCUACAGUCUCUACCAAAUGGAGGAUUUUGAUUUGUUCUUUCGUGCUCUCCAAUCUUCUAGUUAUUUCAUCCACCUUGGGAGCCAUUUUUCCGUUGAACUUAUAAUCUUUAACAGAAAAAUUUGUACAACAGGAAGGGAUUUUAACCUUUCUUACCUUGCUAGUAGAGCCUUGAGCUUCCAUCAACUUUCUUCGACAAGCUUCUGUGGAGAAUUCGUCUAUCACAUCAUCCAUAUCAUAUGCCAAAUCCUGAAGAUCAUCUAGCCACUGCUUCACAGCGAUCCUCAUAUUCUGCUUGUCCUCAGCAUCAUCAAGCACUGCCUGAAUCAGGGAUAGCACUUGGCUCCAUCGUUUCAGCUGAGUAUCUAAGCCUUCUGAGCGUGCAAAUUUCUUCAAAUCGACAGAAGCAAGCUUGUCAAAUAUCACCUUGAUGAUUGCACCAAGAAAGACUUCUAUCAGUGCCAUUUUUCACUCCUCUUUUUUUCCUCUCCGGAUUAUAUUGUGUAGGUAAGCAACGAGCAAAAAGUCUGAAAACUUGAAAGGGGAGAUAAGAUUGAAAGAUGGGAAACUAGUCUGGCUGUGUUUGGACUAAUAAUAUUUCGUUUUUUUAAUUGCGGAACAGUAAAAUCAAAAUGAUCAUUGACUUGUAUUGACCGAAUAAUUCAUCCCAAGUUUUCAAUCCCAAAACAGUAAAAUGCCAAUACAUUAUUCAGACCGUUGUACUGUAUCAAAACAAACCGACAAAUAAGUGUGCCUAGUCUUUCUCUAUCUUCUUCUUUGCUCCCCCUCUUCAUCACCCCCAACCUCACUUACAUAGCAUUAUCUCAGACGUGGGUUUUGUAGUUGUUCUGCCAGGGAGCUAUCAUCUAUCACAUUCUUUACGGGAAAAGUGAUCAGCGCCAAAAUAUUUCAACUGGCAAGAAAAAAGUUUCCAAAGCACGCUUCUUCAUUUCUUAUGUAGUACCAGUAGACUUAUUUUUCUUUUCUGUAGCACUAUAUUAUAUCAUCAAUCAUUAAAGUAACCCACAUAGAGAAGUUGCUUUUGUGUGGAAUUUGACCGAAUUGAGGGAGGUACUUUUGAGCUAGAAUGAUUGGUGCUCUUAGGGUAGUUGUUGUACUUCAUUUACAACGUAGUGUACAUUUACAAAUGCUCAUGUAUUUAUGCAUGAGUUGAUGAACACGAAUAAAAUUUGAAGUACCACAAAAUUGUAUAAGAGUAAACUAUAUUAUGUAAAAAGUAUAAUAUCUAGACAAUUGCAACAAAAUUCAAUUGUACCUGGUCUAAUUUUGACCAUUUUCCUUAGUUGUUUAACGUUAAUUAGUGUAAUUUGGUUGUAUGUCGUGACACAAAUUCAAUUAAAUAACUAAAACAUCAAACCACAUAAGUAGCUGGUAUUUGUUGUUUCCAUAAUUCUAAUUUUUUUAAAAACAAUUGUUCAAAAUAUCGUUCACAUUUUGUAUAAUACAUUUUUUCGUCCUUUACUUUCAAAACAUUAACUUUAUGUACCUCAUAAAUUCAAGUUAGCAAAAUUUAGUCUCAACCAAAGUUUUUGACUACUUUUUAGUCUGAAAUCACUACUUGACCAAUAUACAAUCAUUUUUUAUGUACAAAAAAAAAUUAGAUUUCACUUUUUAUUGAUAAUAUAUAUAUUAUGUCAAAUCUCUUUUUUUUUUUUUGAAAAAGUGAAUACAUUUUAGAUCAAAUCCUACUUUUUAAAGAAAAAAUGAAUAUAAAUCUGGUCAUUUGUUUAACUAUAAACGGGAUUUAACAGUUUUGCCCAUAAAAAAAUAAACCCAAAUCUCUUAAUUAUAUUCUCUCUUCUCAAACCAUCCAACCCAUCCCUCUUCCUUCUUUCUCCCCUCUCUCCAACCAUAUGUGGGUUAUGUGAAAAAUGAAAAAAUUCAUUUGGCGAGAUGUGAGAAACAUUUUGAACAGUUUUCUCCUUGUUAUUUUAUAUGUCAAACGGCAAUAUCCUACCAUUACUCUAAUAUUAUAUGGAAGCGUAUGGUUCCAAUGGGACCAUUUGAGCUGUUGAAAAUUCAGAGGAGACUAUCACCUCUGACGUCUGAACUAGACGGGUGCAAUUGCACCAGUUAGAAGAAGUUUCCUAGAAAUCAUAACUUCAAGAGCAGGUGAGGGUUUCAAAUCUCCCACCUAUACAAAAGGGAUAUAUUUAUCAAGUUUGUGAUAUAUUUAUAAAGAAAGAAAUUUAGAAACAUUGUGAAAGUCCCAUCUGAAUUAGCAAAAUUAAUAUUCUCUCCAUCUCAUUUUAUUAGUUAUAGUUUCUCCUUUUGCUAAUUCCAAAAUAUUUUUUUCAUCAAUUUGGACAAAAAUAUUUCUUAACGUCUUAAAAUUUUUUGAAGCACCUAUAUUGAUUAUUAAACAGGAAAGGUGAUUAAGUACAUCAACGGGUCCUUGAUCAGACUUGCAUUUUCUUUAAUUGAAUGCAUUUGUCUAUUCCUUUUACCAAUGAAUUAUAAAAUAAGAUAGAUGAGAUAAAAAGAUAAAGCUUCUAACCAAAACCCUUCUUCUUGGACCCAAAAAAAAGGAUAAUUAUUCUUCUCAGAGAAAUAUCAAAUUAGAUAAUUAUUCUUCUCAAAAAAAUCAAAGUGUAUAGGAAGUUGACUUGACUUGACUAAGAGCUUAAAUCUUAAUCCUAUAAGGUAAGCAAGGGUCACAGAAUUAUCAAUGGAAAUUAGCGUGUUAAUUUGUUUGAGUACAUCUUGUGUGUGUGUGGGGGGGGGGGGGGGAGGGGGGUUCUUCUGAGACUAGUUGAACAAACGAAGAAACAGCCUUAAGAAAUGGGAAAAUUAGUAGUAACUUCUGUGAUAAUGUAUAUAACUCUUGAAUGAUUAUGUGAAUAAAUAUAAAAUAUUACAAGGAGAUAAGGAAGAUAUCCGUACAACUUAUAGGAGUGUUAAGUGUAUAUUGUGAUUUCAUCACAUGCAUUUUUAGAGUACAUCUAAUUCAAUCGCGUUAAUUAAUGAUUUUUUCGUCUAAUUUUUUUACUUUAUAUGAAACUAUAAGAGAGUUAUGUAAAUAUUUUGAAACCUUAGAAAAAACAUGUCAUAAUAUGCAAAAUCAGAAUGAAGUUAUAAAUAAUUUAUGCAAAGAAAAUUGAAGUUACCUGCAGAGAUAGAGUUGGGGAGGGGGGGUGUGGGGUGGGGGGGUGUGCGGUUUGGCCGGGCAAGGAUUGGCCGAUUGGGACUGCAGAGAUUAUCCAAUGGGUUCUUUGAGGGGCUGCUGUGUUAGAAGACUCAUUUGUAUGCAUAAGGCUCCGAAAAACCCAAAAUUAUGUAUUCCUCGAGUUAAAUCUACGUCCUUUCAUUUUAAAUCCAUAUUUUGUACAUGGCAUAUAUUGUCAAUGUUCAGAGGUGUGGUCAAUUAUUGGAAGUUGACUUGACUUUGCUGAGAGCCAAAGCCUAUAAGUCAAGCAAGGGUCAUACAUUAACGCGUUAAUUUGUUUUGGUACAUCCGAGUGGGCUUCUUCUGUAGAUUUUGCACAUAACCCCCUGUAAAAUUAUGUAGAUAAAUGUCAAAAGUACAAAAGAGUAAAAUAUAUAUUUCAUUAAAUCAUAUGCGAGUUAAACAGAUAUUAUGAUUUUAUCCACACAUAUUUUCAAAGCAAGUCCAAUUCAAUCGCCUUAAUCGUAGCAUUUUCGUUCAUUUUUUACUUUAUCUAAAACUACAUAGGAAUAUUAUGAAUAUGUUAUAAUCUUAGGAGAGUCAUCUGACAAUAUAUUGAAUCAUAAUAGACGUAUUAGUAAUUUACGCUAAGAAAGAUGAAGUUGCGGGGAAGAGACGGACUGAAUGAAACCCCCUUUUUGAACAUUGAUAAAAUAUGUCAUAUAUAAAGUAUGGAUUUAAAAUGAAAGGAUGUAGAUUUAACUUUAGGGAUACAUAAUCUUGGCCUUUUUAAUUUUAAAAACACUAAAUUUUGGUUUUUUGGGAAGCUUCCCUUGCAGAAGAUGCUAGUAAGAGUCUUUUGAACUACUUAAAACAAAUUAUAACCAUCUUUGUGAAAGUAAAACUAUUAGUUUUGAUUGUCUCUUAAAACAGCUUUUAACUUCUCAAAACAUUGAAAACAAGGAUGAUUUUUCAUUGUUUCAAAGAAAGUUUUGAAAGUAUUUCAUAUUUGAAUUCAAAACUACUCAUAUGUUCUUGAGACCAAGCUCCAAGUAAAUGUUAAAGUUCCAAAUAAGGAAAAAUCGCAAUUGUACGUAGUGUAUUUAGAAGUUUGGCUAUGCCAGUCGAAGAGAUAUUGAUCCAAUGAUUUAGAUCGAAACCCAAAAAAUUAGAGGUCAUUAGUUCAAAUCCUCUUACCUCCUCCUGCUUAUUAAGUCCCUCCUCCGUAGAGUUAUCAGCUAUUUUUACUUUUCUCCUUUGAGUCAUGAUUUUUAAUUUUUUGCAUCCUGAAGUUACACAUCUAUUAAACAUUGUAUUACGUACACAGAUAUGGACAGAAAACGACAGAAUUUUCCUUGUGAAAGGUGACAUUCGAUCUUGUAGGUUUUCCGUAAUUGUGUAAGUAUUUGAGGUAAGUAUUUUAGCAAGUUUUGAUAACCAAAUGAUCGAAACAGAGAAUUUAUGAACUAAUUAACCAUACUAAGGAAGAAGACAAGAUUCACUUGUUCUAAACGUUAUAUCUUAAUGCAACAAGUCGGUUAGGCGCUUGACUAAACCUUCAAUCUUUUAAAUAAACGCCCUCCUCAUGUAAUUUCUCAAAUGUUGAGUCAUGACAAGGUGAAGAUAGAAAUUAAAUUAAAGAUUCUAAAAUUUUUUAAGAUUCUUCUAAAUUAGAAUAGUUUACAACAUAUAGAACUUUGAACUCCAAAUUUCAAAUGAUUCUGACUACGUCUAUUCUAAAAAGAGUAACAAACUUUUGUAAAGUGGCAAAUAUUAAAGAUGUUAGUCACAAUUCAAUUAUGUUAAUCAGAUCCGUCCAAACCCAUCCACUAACUUUGAAUGGGUUUAAAUGAGUAUUCAAUUAAAAUCAUUUAAUUGGUAGGUAGUGAGUUGACUCAACUCAUCCAUUUAUACCCAUUUAAAAAUAACUAUACAUUUAAACUCAACUUUUAGUGAAUAUUAAGUAAAUAAAUUUGAAUUUCUUAUCAAUUUAAUAACAAUAAAUAACUAUUAUUUCUUUUCAAACAACAUGCAAAAAAUUUUUAAACAAAAGUAAAAUUGCAAGUGACUCAUAAAUGGGCAAUUGGUUAUACUUGUAUCCAUUUAUACCCAUUUAUUUUAUCUAUUAUUCAAUUAUGAUCCACUUAAACCCAUCCAAAUUAUCUAUUUUGACACCUCUAGCUAAGAUAUUACAAGAGAAGUAAUAGAAAAAAGUGCAACAACCUUUUAAGGCAGCUAAGAUAUUGCAGUUAGUGUGCCAAUAUUUACACAAGGAGGAUACUGCACGACAUUUUGUUAAGUUGUACCACCACUUCUUCCUUCUUAAUUCAUGUGUCUGAUCAAAGAAACGCAAAUGUACCACGUACUUCAGCUAUGUAAAGCUUACAUAUUUUUUCUUAGUGAUUCAGUUGGUCACUGUGUUUGCCUGUCAUCUCACUUUCUACAGCCUUGGCAGCAAAGCCAGACGAUAACAUCCACAUGUAUAUGAUGUAAACUUACUAUAGUGGAGUCAGCUAUUCGAUCUGCAAUGAAUAUCGAUGGGGAUGCAAUUUGAUCUAUUUGUUGACGUAUAAUUGACUAAUCAUUCAACUGUAACUAUUAUUCUAUGCAACUUUAAUAAAGUUGCCAAGAUUGAUAAAGAUGAAGUUAUUGAAGCGGUGGUGGUUUAUUGGUCGUAGAUAUUGGUUACAAGAAAAUGUAUUUGCUUAUCAAGGCACUAUUUAUGAAUCAUCCAUUGGAUGCUUGCCUUCAAUAAUUUCUGGAAAGUUACAACGUGUGAAUGUUUUUUUUUAAAAAAAAUGAUAUGCGAAAACGAUUCACUAAUAGUUUCUCGACAGAGCUUAAUUGGGCUAUACUUGUCAAUUUGCUGUUUGAGGCUUCAACUUCACAUCUAUAAAUGAAUGCAACAACUGCCAAGAUGAAAAUUAUAUGAUUGUGAUGUGUUUGCUGGUUUUAUUAAAAUAAAAAAUACAUAGGACCAAAUAAAAAAGAAUUAGAAUUGUCGUUUACAUUGAUUUCAUGUCGUUGCUGCUUUUACUGCGUUUUUAGAAAACUAGCCUAAGGGCUAUUGAAAUAACUUGGGCGGUUGAUGUGUGCUUGUAAUAUGUGUUAACCUUUAUGAAUCCCACGUGCGAUCAAAUAAUCAAUCAAAUAAUUAAUCAAUCAAAUAAUUACGGAUUUAAUUGACAAAUUUGGCAAGAGAUUAAUAAGUUGCACUGAACAUCGGGCCCUUGACAUCCAAUUAACAAAAUAAUCCCACGAAAAUUCAAAUAGAUAAUGUGCAAAUAUUAACAAAUUAAGGAACGCGUGAAAACUAAUUAGAUCUCACAGAUAUUCGGGACUGCGCCGUCGAGUUGAUCCUUGACUAGAUGAAAGACUUAGCUACGCCGCAUAAAUAAAUCUCUACGCAAAUUGAUUGAUUGCAAAUGCAUCACGUUUUUCACUAGAAAGCAAGAGUAAAAGAUGUUUUUCCCGUUGAAAAAUAUUCUCGACCACCUCGUGCGCGUGAAAAGGAAAAGGAAAGAAAAAACUAAAACUAAAGCUAUGCUAAAACUAUUACCCUCAAGCCUCUGUACGUUUGUCUCUUUAAAAGCAAAAUUGACUACUGCCUUUCUUAUCUCUGUGGUCCCCGCCGAAAUUGAGAAUCAAACCGAAAGUAAGGCUUUGCCGAAGUCCCUUUCUUUUCGUUUUCCAUUGCUAGGAGGACUCCUAGUCAGCAGCUCUUUAUCACCUUUCCUGUGUUUGGAUUGAAUAACUUAUACCCCUUAGUCUCAUGACUAUAUUCAAUAAAAAUACACUUCUCUGCUUCAUCAUCCAGUUUCUGUCUCAAAUGAUCUGGAACAUGCGUAUACGCAAGACAGCCAAAUACCUUGAAGUGAGAAAUAUCCGGUUUCAUAGCAGUCCAAACUUCUUGUGGAGUCUUUCCAAAAUUGCAUCUAGUAGGACACCUAUUCAAAACAUAAAUAGCACAAGAUACUGCUUCUGCCCAAAAGGACUUAGGAAUACCUUCGGAGUGCAUCAUAAACCUCACCAUAUCCAUCACAGUCCUAUUCUUCCUUUCUGCCACACCAUUUUGCUGAGGUAUAUAUCUGGCUGUCAUUUGAUGUUUUAUACCUGACAGGUUGUCGGCCUAUGUAAUAAUAAAACCUGCUCAAACUAAAAGUAAUUUCUGUAGAUAGCGGUGAGUAGGGUCGAAUCCACAGAGACUGGGAAUAAUUAUUUCUUUUCAAAUUCACAGUGACAAGGGGGGUGUUUUUAUAUCAGGGGUGACAAUUUAAACAAUUCAACUAAAAGUAAAAUAAUAAAAAUAAAAUAGCCAACUAGAAAUUAAAUAACAAUUUAUUAAAAUCAAAUGAGGGAUAAUUAAGGAUCUAGCCAAGAAAUAACUUCAGCAAUGGUUUUCCUAAUUGAUCAUCGAUGCAAAGCCAAUUCCAAUUAUUUAUUGAUAAAUAGGUUAUAAGUGCCAAACAAGCGAUGACAGUCAACCCCUCCUUACUGUAUCGGUGAUCAAGAUACGCCCAUUAAUCACUGCUCUAAUUAGGAAAUAAUCCUAGGUACGCCUGUAAGAUUUAAUUCCCCCAUCGCCUUACGUAUUAAAGGAGCCCUAUUCUAACCAAAUAACGCACUACCAGGGUUAUUUCAAAUUAGCCCGCGUAUCCCCUUGGCACGAAUCCAAUCAUGCCAGUUAUCACUAUUUUGAGGCAAUUAAACAAUUACAGAUUUAAUGUCCCAAUUGACAAUAGAUUAUCAAAUUAACUAAUUAUCCGGAUCCAAAACAAUCAAUUAAUUAAACAAUCAUAAGCACUGCAACCAAGGAAUAUGCGAAUACUAAUAAAUAAAUAAAAAGAUAAAAUGAAAUCGAUCUCACAAUUUUUAGGCGAACCAAAGCCUCCGUUGCUCCUUGACUAGAGUGAAGAAAUUUAGUUCAUAUUUGAUGAAUAAAACCCAAACAAAAUUGCAACAAGAGUUGUCUGCCCAUGCGAAGGAAGAAAAACAAUCAAAAGCUACAAAGGAAAAGUCAAAGGCCGAUGCUUCAUUCCUCCUGACAUGCGCAGGGGGCAACCACAAAAGACGAAAGGAAAAAGUCAAAGAAAGCUAAAGGAAGUCUAUUGUUUUUCCUUGUCAUCACCAACGAGAGAACUCCUACUAAAAAGCUAAGAAAGGAAAAAUCAAAGCUACUCUGAUGCUUGGCUCCUGUGCGGCGGCCCCCUUGCGGAGAGGACGAACCCUCCAGCCCUGCUUUCCUUCUCUUCUUUUAUGCUGUCUUCCACAAAUUACUGGAGAGGUUCAUGUCUUGAUAUUCCAAAAAUACUCCUAGAUGCCUGCUACUUGAACUCUUUUCUGAUGACUGUCAAAUACGCAUUGGUUAUGGUAUUUUCGUUCUACUCCCUGAAUUAAAUGCAAAUUACGAAAAGUGAGUAGAAUCUAAUAAUUAAUCCAUAUCAAGUCAGGUAAUAGGGGAAAUUAAUAAUAAAAUAAAUGACAAAAUUGCAGCCUAUCAAUUCCCCCCACAACUAAACCAUGCUUGUUCUCAAGCAUAAGAACAGUAAAAAAACCCCAAUAUUUAACAAUGGCUAUUGCUCUAUUUACCAUAUUUCUAAGAUAUCAAGAAAAAUAUAUAUCAAGCAUCGGUGAUCAAAAUCCAAGAAACAUCACCCCGGUUAGUUUCUAAACUACAAACUUCUCUAAUUUUAGGUUAACUAAUCUAAGAAAAAGGAAUGACGUAUAACAUUUAUCAACAAAUGGUCCAACUAUUAACCAAAAUCUCAACAUUAAAUUCAUAAAUCGGCAAAUUGACUUUUAUUAUACACUAACACAACUUUCACUUUUUUUUUAUCACAUUUUUCUACUUUUCUCUUUUUUUGACUUUUUUCUUCUCUUUUUUUUUCUUUGCUUUUCUCAAUAGUAACAAAAGACUUAGUCGCUAGCCAUUGGAACCUUUUGACGCGAGCUCCGACAUUUUUAGAUGAAGGAGCCCGGUUACUUAGCUCCUAUCGCUACGUGACCACGUACUCAUAGUAAUUACUACUUUUUGACACGAAAAUCGACACUUUUGGUGAAGAUCCCCGGUUAUUUGGUACUAAAGACUAGCGGAGUACAGCUAACUCUUAUUCACAGUUAAAUAACACAAAAACUCAAAAUAACAUAAAAAUCAAAAGAGAAUUUACAUCAGCUAGCCUUAUUUUCAAACAUGGAGAACUGAGCUUAAUAACCGGACCAAUUCACAUGAAAAUGCCAACAAUCAUUCCCUAUGCCUAGAAAAGUUAAUCCAGAAAUUAUAAAAGUAAAACAAUCAUCGAUAUUCACCAAAUAGAUGUUUUUUGACUCAACCACAUUAAUUUGAUACCAUUUUAUUAUUAAAACAUGGCAAUAGCAGAAUUAGAGACAACAAUCCAACAUAAAACUUUGGUAUUCAUUAAAAAAAAAAUAAACGAAAACUAGACAAAUAACAAACUAGAAAUAAAAGAAGGACGUCUGAAAACUAAAAACUGGCAUAGCUGUCCCUCCCCCCACACCUAAAUCCUACAUUGUCCUCAAUAGAGGAGGGAAUAAAGCAAUUAAAUUGAAAAGGACAACGAAACUUCCCUCUCGAGUGGCUAAGGGGUAGGCGGGAACGGCGGAGGGAAAUCGAUGUGGUGAGGCAUCAAUUCAACCAGCAAAUGCACAACUCUGUCCAUCCAAAAUCUCAACAAAGUCUCCAAUAAUGUGCUAAAUCCAGCAAUAUCAGUUCAGGACUUUAGUAAUAGCAGCGCAGUCACAAGCCCUUGGCAGUCAAUCAGAUCUCUAACCAAAUAGAGUUAACAAGUACCCGCACCCUUACCAUUGGUGCAAAUUGCAGUCCAAAAUCAAUGAGAUUUCUAUAGCAGAGCAGAUCAGUAGUAAAGCAAUAGCCCCAAGUAUUAAUCUAGUCACAAGAGAGUGAAUGUGCCACCAACGGAGCAAUAUCAGAGCAGAGCAAUUGCUAAUAAUGUCUCUCAGUUAUCAAUAAUUGCAAAAUUCCAACCCACCCAAAAAACUCAACAAUAGCACCCAAAAGCUCAACAAUUGCCCCCAGCAGUCAACAAGUCAGGCAACAGUAGUGCAGUAAUUCGGCAAUAACGACUCAAUAUAUAACCUCAACUGGCAAUCAGGCGUCCACCCACAAAAGCAAGUGAAAUUAUCUCAACGACCUAAUGGUUCACCACACAGAAUUCACUUCCACCCAACGAAACAGUUGAAGUCACUAAGAUGAACACGUUAGUCAACCGUCACAGAAAAUUCUAACAAGCAAACCAGCUCCUAACAGGACAAAUUAAGCAGCACAGGCUCUCGAUUCAAUAGGCAAUAUCAGAAAUAAUUUAACCAAAACCUCAGUAAUCGAAACACUAGCAGAGAUGCCUUUCAAUGAUCAAUAGACAAUUGCAAAAUUUCAGCCCACCCAAAAUUGCAACAAAUGGCUCCAGUUGGCCAGUCAAUUUCUUAACUCAAGAUUAGUAAUCUCAACGAUAACAAUUUAGAAAUUUGGCAAUAAUAACUCAGACAGCCAAAUAGAGAUACCCAAUUGAGGUCCAAUUACCCCACCAAUACCACUGGUAUAGCAAACUAUGGAAGAGAAAUCACACACUACCAAUACCAGGCCACCGAUAAACCAAAAUACAAACUAACACUGCUAACAAUUGAGAAUCGCAACAAUCAAAACACAAGCAAAGCCGCCUCCCAAUUAUCAAUAGACAAUUUCACAAAUCCAGCCCACUCAAAAACUCAACAAAUGUAACCAAAAGUUCAACAAACAUUCUCAAGAGUAUGGCAAACUAGUAAUGAACAAGAUCUGGGUCAAAUAUCACAACCCGUACCACUGGUUUACCACACAAUUGAAGGAAUAACCCCCAACGGCCAACAAUACCAAGUAUAGAAAGACCAGACAGCACCAGUGAAUAUUAAAAAAUUGGGGGACAAAUUCCAAAUACCUCCACCGAAGAAAGUAGCCAAGCGAUACUCCUGAUAGAGAAUCAGUAGCGCGCGUCAGGCGGUGGACCAAGCAGCGGGCUGAGUUGCGGGACUGGGGCGGAUGGCGACGCGAGGAGGGAGAGACGCGAGCGGCCGGCGGUGGUCUGUGGCGCGCGACUUCGAGCGGCGCACGCUCAAGUAGCGUGCGAGGUUGGACGCUACCGCUAGGGCUGUUGGCAGCGUCCAAGCGCUUCAGUGGUGGUGUUGGCUCGUGAUGGAGCUGCGGCGGAGCUGGUUGUGUGAGCAGAGAGGGAGCAGCGAGCUAGAGUGGUGCGCGAGCUAUGGUGGAAGCUCGCUGAGGUAGAACGAGCAAAAGGGGUGGCGCGCGGUCGGAGGCUCGCACGGUGGACCUGCGACGGGCCAGCGGCUGCUCGAGUGGAGAGAGAGGGAGCUGGUGAGAGCUGCGGCGUGAAUAAAAUGGGCGAGGUUGGAGUGAGAACUGCGAGUGGAGUGAGCGAGAGAGAGCUCUGGGAGCUCGCGGCGGGCGUGAACAAAGUGGGCGGCGGCGGACAAGGCUUUGUGGUUUUCGACUGAGAGAAGAGUAACAGGGGACUCAGAGAUACCUAAAGGGCAACUCGGAAACAGAGGGACUCAGAGAUACCUACCCACUGCCCAACGGUGUCGUUGGUGACAGUGGGUAGCGGAACCGGCAAGGGGCGGCGGUCGCAACUAGGAGAGUAGGGGCUGCGAUGAGCUGGUGGAUGUGUACCAGCGAGGUGGAGAGGCGCGCGAGGCUUGUUACUGCGACGAGCUGGGUUGCCACAGCUGGAGUGCGACGGCGGCGAACGAGGUGGAUGAAUCGCGCGCGAUGGAAAGGAGCAGCGACCGCCGCUGUUGGCGGCCGUGGGCUGACAGAGUUGGCUGUGGACGACGCGCAGCACACGAGCAACGGCGGUGGUGGUCGUGUGACUGUAGGCAGGGGGCAGCGUGCGUCAUCGCUCGGCGUUGGUCACGGGUGAAGGAGAUGGCGGCGUGCAUGAGGUAUGCUCAGCCGAAAGAGAAGAAGAAACAGGGGAGAAGAAAGAAAGAAAGAAGAAGAAAGAAAGAAAAAGAAAAAGAAAAGGAAAGAAAGGAAAAGAAAAAGAAAAUAGUAUUUGUGUUUUUUUUUCUUUUUUCUUUUAUCUUUUUUUUUGCUUUUUCGUUUUUUAUUUUCAUUUUAGAAAUUUUUUUUUGUUUUUACGAAAAGACUCCCUUUUUUUUCUCCUUGUUACUUACUUGAAAAUUUUGUUUUUUGAAAUUUUUUUUUAAUAUAUCUUUUUUUUAUUAUUAUUGAUAAAAUUUAUUUUUGGACUUCAAAAGUAGGGAUUAACAGAAAAUCAAUAACCGUUCUUGAAUUUUUUGGAUACUUACCUUUCCCGCGAAUGUGACGUGGGUACGAAAGCACGGAAUGAGGAGCUCUCCAAGUGACUUGACGCGGGCACGUCAUGAGGGCAAGAACCCCUUCUGACGAUUCUGACCGUGAGCUCUUCAUACGUCAUAACGUGGGCGCGUCAUGUCAGAGAGAUGCCUGUAAAUCAUCAAAAACGAAAAUUGAAGCAAAAAAUCAGUCAAAUAGAAGGAAAAAUAUAUUUAAACUAACGAACAAAAAUGAACAAAUAACUAGAAGAAAUUGGGUUGCCUCCCAAUGAGCGUCUUUCUUUAAUGUCUUUGACUAGACAUUAUCAUAUUUUGUUUAUGGAGGAUAAAAUCUCGUGGCUCGUCUUAAUGUUUCAUUCUCUAUAUAGUCCUGAUAGCUCUCGUAAAUAGAGUAAUUCUUGAGCACACGAGUUACGGGCUUCCAUGGACUAGUAAAUGGCGCCAAACAAGUCAUCGAUAAUUUGCAUUCUCCACUCACUCCUCCCUCACAUGCAUUUAUUGGUCCAAGAUAUCUUGCCAUCGCCAUUCUUAAAUUUAUUCCUGUCAUGAAAUUCAAGAUUUUCUGGUAUAAUAAAAUCAAUUUCAUUAACAGGAAUUGAAGAAUAAGAGUCAAGAGAAUAUUGAUUAAGGAAUGGAGGAAAUGUCACCGCAUUUGGAGGUUGUUCACUGGAUUCAUUCACUUGGACGGGUUGAUAUUGGGGGCUCAUUUUUUGCACAUCAACUUCCUUUUCAACUGCAUCUUUAGAUUCGUCUUCUUGAAACUCUUGCAGUUCCAUGUCAUUUGACCGGAUAAUUGCACUCUCAUCUUCUUCAAGGUUGAUAUUGGUUUGUGAGGGCAAUUCUUCAAGAUGAGAAGCUAAUCGCGUUAUCCUGGAUGUCAAUAGAUGUACUUGAUCUGCCAUCCCGGAUGUCAAUAGUUGCACUUGAUCCGCCAUCUCUUGUAUCUCUUGUUGAAAUCAAUAUGAAUUAGCAGUUAGCAAUUUCAUCAUUUCUUCAAGAGACAUACUUGACACGGAGGAUGAUUGUUGAGACUCUUGCUGUUGAAAAUCCAUUGGCCCGAUCGCAUAAUUAAAAUUGAAAUUAUCUCACCAUCCUUGAUCAUACCUGUUUGGGUAAAGGUCAUACCACGUUUUAAAUCGAGGUGAAAAAUCUCCAAAAGUAUCAAUUGGAGCACUUAGAUUAUCUUGAAACGCGGGGCAUGUGUCGGUUGAAUAACUUGAGGCAAAAUAAGUCCCACAAUUUGCAACAGCCCAUUGAUCAUUAGGAAAAACAUGAGUCUCAUAACCCCAUUCAGGAAUAAAAUUUAGUCUAUCAUCAAAAUACGGAAUGUUAGCAGCCAUAAGCUAUAUAAAAAAAUAAGAGAAAAAUAAAUUAAAAAUGAAAACAAGGUGAACUAAAAAAGAAACAAAUUAAUCUGGCACCAGUCCUCGGCAAUGGCGCCAAAAAUUAACAGGUUGUCUGCCUGUGCAAUAAUAAAACCUGCUCAAACUAAAAGUAAUUUCUGUAGAUAGCGGUGAGUAGGGUCGAAUCCACAGGGAUUGGGAGUAAUUGUUUCUUUUCAAAUUCACAGUGACAAGAUGGGUGUUUUUAUAUCAGGGGUGACAAUUUAAACAAUUCAACUAAAAGUAAAAUAAUAAAAAUAAAAUAGUCAACUAGAAAUUAAAUAACAAUUUAUUAAAAUCAAAUGAGGGAUAAUUAAGGAUCUAACCAAGAAAUAACUUCAGCAAUAGUUCACCUAAUUGAUCAUCGAUGCAAAGCCAAUUCCAAUUAUUUAUUAAUAAAUAGGUUAUAACUGCCAAACAAGCGAUGACAGUCAACCCCUCCUUACUGUGUCGGUGAUCAAGGUACGCCCGUUAAUCACUGCUCUAAUUAGGAAAUAAUCCUAGGUACGCCCGUAAGAUUUAAUUCCCCAAUCGCCUUACGUAUUAAAAGAGCCCUAUUUUAACCAAAUAACGCACUACCAGGGUUAUUUCAGAUUAGCCCGCGUAUCCCCCUGACACGAACCCAAUCAUGCCAGUUAUCACUAUUUUGAGACAAUUAAACAAUUACGAAUUUAAUGUCUCAAUUGACAAUAGAUUAUCAAAUUAACUAAUUAUCCGGAUCCAAGACAAUCAAUUAAUUAAACAAUCAUAAGCACUGCAACCAAGGAAUAUGCGAAUACCAAUAAAUAAAGGAAAAGAUAAAAUUAAAUCGAUCUCACAAUUUUUAGGCGAACCAAAACCUCCGUUGCUCCUUGACUAGAGUGAAGAAAUUUAGUUCAUAUUUGAUGAAUAAAACCCAAACAAAAUUGCAACAAGAGUUGUCUGCCCAUGCGAAGGAAGAAAAGCAAUCGAAAGCUACAAAGGAAAAGUCAAAGGCCGAUGCUUCAUUCCUCCUGACAUGCACAGGGGGCAACCACAAAAGACGAAAGGAAAAAGUCAAAGAAAGCUAAAGGAAGUCUAUUGUUUUUCCUUGUCAUCACCAACGAGAGAACUCCUACUAAAAAGCUAAGAAAGGAAAAAUCAAAGCUACUCUGAUGCUUGGCUCCUGUGCGGCGGCCCCCUUGCAGAGAGGACGAAGCCCCCAGCCCUGCGUUCCUUCUCUUCUUUUAUGCUGUCUUCUGCAAACUACUAGAGAGGGUCAUGUCUUGAUAUUCCAAAAAUACCCCUAGAUGCCUGCUACUUGAACUCUUUUCUGAUGAUUGUCAAAUUGGCAUUGGUUAUGGUAUUUUCGUUCUAUUCCCUGAAAUAAAUGCAAAUUACGAAAAGUGAGUAGAAUCUAAUAAUUAAUCCAUAUCAAGUCAGGUAAUAGGGGAAAUUACUAAUAAAAUAAAUGACAAAAUUACAGCCUAUCAAUACCACUUUCCGCCAAAUAGUCAUCACAAACAAGAUAUUCAGUGCCUCUGUCAGUUCUCAAAAUUUUAAUAAAGUAGCCACUCUGCUUCUCUACAUAAUAUUUGAACUUUUUAAACACAUCACAUGCAUCAGAUUUAUUUCUUAAAAAAAACACCCAUGUCUUCCUAUUGAAAUCAUCAAUGAAGAUAAUAAAAUACUUACUAUCACCAUUGGAAGGAACUUCAACUGAGCAUAAAUCUGAAUGAAUCAGUUCAAGCGGUUGAUUGGCCCUCCAAGCCUUGCCUUUUGGAAAAGGAUCCCUGUGCUUCUUUCCCAAAAUACAAGACUCACACUUCUUAUCAGGAAACUCAACAGACGGCAACCCAAUAACAAAUUUCUUUUUUGCAAGAAAUUUCAAACUCCCAAAAUUCAAAUGCCCAAAACACAUAUGCCAUAACCAAGAAUCAUCACAAGUCAUGGAAUUAAAGCAAGGUAAAUCGCCACAGUUAAGAGAAAGAGCCCACAAACGACUACGGUUCAUCUUUACCUUGGCAAUUAAUCCCAAUUUUUCAUCACUUAUGGUGCCAUUACCAUAUUUAAAAUGCAGGUCAUAACCUUUCUCAGACAGUUGUCCUAAACUCAACAAAUUAUGAUAUAAACUUGGCAUAUAGAAAAUAUCAGAAAUAUAAUUCGAAAACCCAUCUUGCAAGAUAAUUCUGAUUUUUCCUUUUCCUAGAACAGGUACCUUUUCAUUAUUUCCAAAUCUCACAGAUACAUGAAAAGAUUCAUCCACGUUAGAAAACAUCUCCUUUUUACCACACAUAUGAUUACUACAACCAAAAUCAAUAAACCAAUCAUUCUUCAUAGACUCUUCAGCUGUAGAACUAGAAAACAAUAAGGUCUCCUCUCUAUCACUACUAUUUUCUGCCACUUUAACAUGUACCUCUUUAUUAGACCAACAUUCAUUUUGAUAAUGAUCAAUUUUACCACAAUUAUAACAUUGGACAUUAGAUCUAUCACGCCUUUGAAAAUUAUUUCUUUGACUUUGCUGUUAACUGUUUUUCUGAUCCCUAUUAGAAUUAUUUCUGGGCUGGUAAGAAUAAUUACCUCUUCCAUGACUAUGAAAGUUACCUUUGCCUCCACGUCCUCUACCUCUGAAGUUCUGGCCCCUUUGAUUUGUGUCCAUACGAUUCACCCCCUCUUUUCCUUUUGGGUGAUUCACCUUGGCUUGUAACACCUCCUCUACUGUAUCUGAUGGCUGCUGAUUUAGGGACAUCUCAUACGUUAGCAAUUCACCUUCCAAUUCAGCAAGUGACAAAUUGUCAAGGUCCUUUGUGGCUUCAAGGGCCGUCUUCUUGGUGUGAAAUUUGGCAGUUAGAGAUCUUAGAACUUUUUCAACCACUCUAACCUCUUCCAAAUUCUCACCAUUGGACUCCAUAUCAUUGACAAUUUCUUUAAUUGUGCCAAUAAAAUCUUUAACUGACUCUGUGGAUUUCAUUUGGGCCAACUCAAAUUGUCUCCUAAGUUCCUGCAAUCUGAUUUUUCUCACGUUAGCAGCUCCUUGAUUUGAGUUCACCAAAACUAUCCAAGUCUCUUUUGCCGACUUUGCAUGUAUAAUUUUUUUGGCAACAUGCAACUGGACUUGAGUGUUGAGAUAGUACAUUGCCUUGCAAUCCAACUGUCUAUUUCUCUCUAAUUCUUUAAUUACAUCGCUUGAUAAUUCCAUACCUGCGACCGAUUCCGUAUGUCCUAUUUCAACUAUAUUCCAAACUGCAAUAUUUUGGAAAAAAUUCUUCAUCAUCGACCUCCAAACCUCAAAAUCGUUUUUACCGUCGAAGAUAAAAACACGACAAUUGUGCAAAUAAUGCGGAUCCAUACUUUAAUUUCAUGAACAAACUCCAAACCCCAAUUUUGCAAACAAGCCCCAAGAUCAAAGCCUGGAGCUCUGAUACCACUUUGUAGAAAUCUAACCCACAGGAUAACAACAAAUAAACCUCACUCAAUGAAUUAAUUAGGCAGCGAAAGAGGAAUAAAAAGGGAUAAGCAAUAGACUAUUUAUGACAAAGCGAGGCAACGAAACAAAAGCAGAACUAUGAAAAGCUUCGGGAGGCAAAACCAAUAUUUCUUUACAAGUCUCUCGGCUCCUUUCUAUGUUACACACCGGCAGACUAGUACUACACACACACAUACAUAUAUAUAUAGGCACCAAGUCUCCAUAGUGCUCAGGGAUUUUGUCCUCACCAUCUAAUAAAUCAAAGACCACAUUGGAAUUGGACAUCAAGCAUCCUAGUUAGACUAGAACUCAACUAGCUAAACGUAAACCUGAACUAUACUAAUUCCAACCAACUCCAAUUAAGAAACUAACAAAUAAUAAUCUUGAUUUAAUUCCUACAUGUUCUUUCGUAAUUCUGAUAGACUAGUUAAACUUUGUGAAUUAUUUAUAAAGCAAUGAAUUACGAGCGACUCUUGAAAUUUUCACAGUACUAGAUACAGUUUCUCCUUUUGCUACCUCUAUUUUUUUUUUUUUUUGGAUUCUGAAAAUUGAUCUCUUGUAAUAUCUGACAGAUUUUGAAGUAAGAUUCUGAUGUAACUAUUUGCCAUUCAACAGGAUAGGUGAUUAAGUACAUCAGAUUUACCUGUUAGCCAUGUAAAACAGAAUGUAUGAAAUAAAUUUUAAGAGAGAGAGAGCUUGUAACGAUGAUAACUAUAAUUAUUCGUCUCACAGAAAUAUCAAAUAAUAUUGGAAGUUGACUUGACUAUGCUAAUAGGUGACUCAGAAUAAGGUAAGCAAGGGUAAUGUACCUAUCUAAUUUGUUUUGCUACAAGUUUUUUUUUAAAUUUUAUUUUGGGUGGGUGGGAGGGGAGGGGAGUUCUUCUUGGGUUUAAUCAACAAGUACAGAAAAGCUGGCGGUGUUGCUUAAGACAAUUGAAGUUGCGGGGGAGGUUGUUAAGACAAUUUGAUUUUUAAACCAAUCUUCAACACAAACUAAAACCAGAAACUCCAUACGUAGUUAAAUUAAAGAUCUUCUUGCCUGCGAUAUAAGGGCUGGGAAUGGAACUUGUGGUAUACAGAACAUAUUAGUUGCCGCACAUCAUGCCAUCUACUAUGAUAUUCCACAUCGGAACUCGAAAGAGGAGAGUAAAGAUAUAUGACGUUCAGCCCGUCGAAUAAUCAAUAACAUUGGGUUAAUUUAGCUUUUAUUGGGCCAGUCCAGCAGGCACGGACCAUUACAAAUAGUAUCAGAGCGAAUUGUGUGUGGUUUCUAUGUGAAGUGAGCCUUUCCAACUAACAAUUAAAGAUUUUAGUCUGAAAUCUAAAGUUUGAAUCCAUUAAACUAUUGAAUUGUUAAGUAUUAAAUAUAAUACAUUUGAGUGCAUGUCAGAUUCAGUGAUAAGUGAAUAGUUUAUCACUUAAUUUUGGAAACAAGUUUUACCUAAAAAAUUCAGUGCUACUUAAUUUAUUCAGAUGUUUAAUUUUUUGUUAUCAGACGGUUUGAAUAUGUUAACAGCUGCUUCCAUUAAGUUUAAGUGCUGAAUUGAAUUAUCAAACAUGAUCUAAGUAAAAAAUAUAAGGAACUAAGUGCUAUACGGGACAAAACCCCAUAUUAGAUGGGGUCACCUUUAGAAUUCGUAUGAGUUAUCUCUAGAAUCCGCAUAUGACUAAAUAAUCAGUUGGAUUGCAAUGGAGUCCUCUUAACAAUCUAGAAUCCGCACACGAUUAAAUGAUCAGUUGGAUUGCAACGGGGUUUUCUUAACAAUAAGUCAAGUCAGUUGUGGAAAACAAAUGGGACGCCAUAAACUGCACUAUCCACAAAUUAGAAAUAUGAAAGAGAUGGAGUCAGCCAAAGUGAGGCUCAUGAAGCUUAGAAUUCUGAUGCUUGCCUAUUGGGCUGUCACACUCUUUGCAAGAUUUUGUAGCUGGUCAACAUUGUGACCUCCUAGAACAGUUAGAUGGUAGGCCUAUAACCGCAAGGAUAGAGCAGGAAAACAUUAGUGUAUGUGAAGUGUCAGCUUUGGAAACUAGGGUCUACUUGCGUGGCUGGUUUUGGCAAAACUCUAGUGUAACCCUUCCCAAAACACUAAGACACAGCUAAAAUAAUGUCAGCACAAAAAAACACAUGGAAGUAAUAUUAAAAUAUUACACAAGAUCAACGAAAGCACGUGAGGUUAUUCAAUCAAUCUAUUAAUUUUCUUCUGUCACAACUCAACUCAACUCAACAAAUUCUUCAACUCAAUAUAACAAGAGUCAACUCAAUUCUCUAAUUGGAUAUGAAACAAGCAUCACAUAUAUGUAGGCAAUAGGUUACCAUAUAACUAAAGACUCGAGUGACUUCCACCGACUUGGACUAAGAAACCAAUUACACUUAGAAAACCAACUAAUCAAGGAUUCGGACUUGACUAUUCACCGACCAAAAUUCAAGGAAACUAACAAGCGGACAGCUGACUAAAACUUUACCAUGUAAGUGGAUAUAGUAACAACUUUAAUCUAAUAAUCUAAACAAAAAAAUGAAGUAAACUUGGUUUAAUUUCCUUCAUUACCUUUCUUAAACUAAACUCAUCAUUAUGGUCAAUUCCAAUACCAUCUCGAACUUGAAUCUAUAUGAAAAGCUUUGUUGUUAUAUAGAUCAUAUGGAAUCUCAACUUACAAUUGAUCUUCAGUUUCAUCUUCUCCGGUGGAAGUAGACGAAACUUAUACUUUUUGAAUAAUUUCUUCGUUUGAUCGGUCUUGCCAAAAAAUUCAAACAUGUUCACCUAUGCUUCAUUAGAUACUCCAUAAUUUAAUUCGUCCACGCCACCAAGAAAAUUUCAUGAAAUCACAAAAUCAUGCUUUCCACCACCAAAAAUUUCAACAUCAUCAUGAACUUAUUUUGAUUCAUCCAUACCAAUGCCCACAUUAGUUUCAGCAAUGCCACAAUCUUUAACUAAUUUGUCCACGUCACAAUUGUUCUUAACCAAUUCUAUCGCUUGAUUUUUCUCGUCAAAAUAUUCAUCAAUCCCGAAAAAAUUAACAAUUUCUAUGUUGCGAUAAGCUUCAAUCACAUCUUUAAUCUGAUGAAUGAUUUCACUUUCUUUCUCAACCACUUGUGAAAUUCCUUUUGAACAAAAUUUUCAUCUUCAUGGGCACCCACAACUUCUGUAAUUUCUUCUUUCUUUAUCUCAUCCAAAAAAAAAAUAUUUUUCUUCUUUCUCAUCACAAAUUUUUUGUCAAUCAUAACUACAAUAAGAAUUUGUCAAAAAUUUUCAAACCUCCUUUGCCGUCUUUGCAUGUAUGAAUCUUUUCGCUACAUGCAAUUGAACUUGGGUGUUGAGGUAGUAGAAUAUCUUGCAAUCCAACUGUCUAUUUCUCUCUAACUCUUUAACUAAACUACCAAUAAUUCUGCACCUUGUGUAGGUUCCUUGAACCCCUUUUGAAUAAUAUCCCAAAAUCCAAUAGUUUGAAAAUAUCUCUUCAUCCAACUCCAAACAUCAGAGUCCUUUUUACCAUCAAUGUUAAAAAUGUCAUAACAUCAAAAUGUUAUAAAUAACACGGAUUCAUAUUUUAAUUUUACAAAUAAGCCCUAAGUUCAUAGUCUAGAUGUCUGAUACUACUUGUUAGCACAAAAGUCACGCAUUAGAAGUAACAUUAAAUCUUAUACAAGAACGACGAAGGCACGGGAGGUUAUUCAAUCAAUCCAUUAAUUUCUCUCUAUCUCGUAACUCAAUUCAAUAAAUUUUUCAACUCCAUUUAAUAAGACUUGAGUAAACUUAACUCUCCAAUUAGAUAUCAAACAGGCACCACAUAUACAUAGGCAAUAGGUUGCCAUAAAACUAAAGACUAAAGGAACUUCCUAAACCGAUACCAACUUGGACUAAGAAACCAAUUACACACAUGAAACUAACUAAUCAAGGAUUCGGACUUGACUAUUCACCGACCAAAAUUUAAGGAAACUAACAAGUGGAUAGCUGACUAAAAUGUUACCAUGUAAUUGGUUAUAGUAAUAACUUUAAUCAAUAAUCUAAACAAAUAAAUGAAAUAAGCUUGAUUUCAUUUCCUUCAAAUAACACACGGAAAACACCUAGAACACCCAAAACAACCCAUCAACCACUCACCCUCCAUCCCCUCCUUCCUCUCCCACCCAAGUCCCCUUCAUCAACCCUUCACCUCUCCUGCCUGCCACCAGCUCCCUAGUCACUUCUCCCACUCACGUGCUCGCCAAAAAUUGGGAUGUUUUUAUGUGGCUGCGAGUAAUAUGUAAUGGUAUGAUCAUUGAAGUAGUACACCAUCACUCAACUAAAGCAAACCAUUACAACUAAUAAUUCAUUGGCACCAAUUAAAGGGCAGUUCGACCGAUGACAGGUGCCGAACCUGUACAAUAAUAAAUACCUACUCGAGAAAAAUACAAAUUUUGUAUAUAGUGGUGAGUAGGGUCGAAUCCACAGGGAUUGGGGAUAAUUCGUUUCUUCUAGAGUUCAAAGUAUGGGAGUUUUCAGGAUUAAAUGCUAACUAAAUAAAUGAAAUGCAGAAAAUAAUUAAUUAAAAGAAAUAAUUGGGAGAACUCUAGCCAAGGGUGCACUUCAGAAAUGGUUCAUCCACUGAUCAUUGAUUCCCGCAUAAUUCCUACAAUUACUAAUAGAUUGGUUAUAGUUGUCAUGCACACGAUAAACAACCAACCCUUCCUUAAUUUCUCGGUAGUUAAGGUACGACCGUUAACUAUUUCUCUAACCCAAAAAUAACCCUAGGUACGACCGUAGGAUUUAAUUUCUAAAUUGCAUUAAUAAUUAGAAAGACCCAAUCCUAACUAACAAAUACGCUACGAGGGUUUGUUUAAGUUAGAUCAUACGUUUCCCUGACAUAAACCCAAUUACGCCAGUUGCUACUGAGAUAGGGAUAUUCGAACAAUUACGGAUUCAAUUACUCCUAAUUAGCGAAAUAGCCUAUAUGAAUAAUUAAUUAUUGCGCACUAAUCAAUCAUACACACGAGCUAUAGCAAUUAAAAGCAGGAAACAUAUAAAUACCAAUAAAUGAAAGAAAUAAUUAAAUAAAUUCGAUCUCACAGUAAUUGUCGAACCAAAUCCUCAGUUGCCCCUUUAACUAGAAUUGGAGAGUUAGUUCUCCAUUAAUGGAGAACCAUCCAUGCGAAUGGUUAGAGAAAGAGGCCCCCAAGACUUGACUUCCACCAUUGAUUGAAAGAAAGAAAAGAUCGAAAGCCUAACAAGUAAAAGCCUCCCCAGCCGAGAGCUUGCGGAGCAGACCAUGAUGAAUUAAUCUCCCCUCCGUCAAUGUUGCCAACCAACUCUUAAUCACGCGGGAUCCGGCUUUUUUUCCCUCUCAUUUGUUUUGUUUCCUAUUCAGCUUCUACUACUCAUUGUUCCUUUCCAAACGUGAAAGAAGGAAUAAAAAUAGACUAGCCUCCUUUUUUUCUUUUCUAAGAAGUAGCAAUCAAAAUGGGAGUCGGCCUUUUCUUUCCGUAUUUUCUAGUUUCCCAAAUACAUUGAACUUCCUAAUUUUCCUAAGAAGAAGAUAUUUCCUCCUAAUCUAAGACGUUUCCCAACUGUAUUUGAAAACAUGCUUCGUAAGUCUUCGGCUUGAACUAGGAAACUGCCAUCCGUGAACCCCGUCAUCUCUAGACUUGACAGUAAUUCUUGGAAAAUUACCCCUUUUAUCACAUGUUGCUCAUUUUCCUACAAUUGGCACCAUUAUACCAAACAUAAGUAGAAUCCGACAAUUAAAAUAAUGUUUGGCUAAAAUCAAGGGAAGAAUAAUAAAAAUUUGGCAACAAAUUAUGACUUAUCAACCGAUACAACUAUUAUUGGUUCAACUGAUUUGCCUCUAACAUAAAUGUAACAACUUAUAUUUCAUUAGUUCCUUUAAUUAAUGUCCUUAAGACACUAAUCAAGACACAUCCAAGUGCAAUUUAACAAACUAGUAAUAAAGCAUGUGUUUUUGAUAAAGCAAUUAUUGGGCACAUUUUGCACUGUUAUUUUGUCAUAAUUUUGGCAACUUACUGUGCUAAAUAUUGAGAUUUUGCUAAUAUUUCAUAUUUGUAUGAAUUAUAGGUGGUUGGUGUAAAAAGUGUUUUCACGAGGCAAAUUUUCAGAAGACUCUCUAUUUCAUGGCGUGCCCACGCCAGAAACUGAAGAGUUACACCUAAAAGCUGGAUCCGCGAGAUUGGUUGCAGCGCAAAGUGGGCAAUUAGGAGGUUGGGUCCACGUGGACCGGACGCAUGGGAUUAAAACCCCAAAAAAGCAAAGCUUUGCAGAGGACCCUUUGUGGAUUGCUCCUGGCGGCUGCAAAAGGCCAAAAACCAAAAGAAAGCCAGACUCACUUUUUAAUUGAUAGAUUAGCUUUUAGCUUUUGCUUUUUAGGGUCAGACGUCUUCUUUUUCUUGGGACUUUUUGCACUAGCUUUAGACAAUUAGGGAGUAACUUUCGUUUGCGAACCCUGGAAGACGAAUUGAAGUCUGCCGUCUUUGUUUCGUUUAUCUCAGACGCCUGUCGUGAGACAGGGGCUUUUACCUUUUGCUUUGGUACAAACACGAAACAAAGUGAAGCUAGAAUUUUUCUUCGGGUCCGUUGUUAUUCCGUCUCUCCCAGAUUAUUGGUAAAUAAUUGGAUGUUAUCAAUUAAAUCACGGGAGAGUGAUAUGAUGAGGAGCGGCUAGUUUUCUCCUCUACCCAAAGGUCGACGCGAGGGCGCGGUCCAUAACAUCUGUGAGAUCUAAUCGAAUUUUCAUUAUUUCUUUCAAUUCAUUACUAUUCAUGCGUUUCCUAGAUUAAUUGUUCAUGGGUAUUUUAUUAAUUGAGUAUCAACGGCCGAAUAUUUAAUUUAAUAUAAUAGCCUACUGCCACGUUAAUUAAAUUGAAUCCGUAAUUGUUCGUUUAGUUGACAACUAGUGGCAACCACCAUAAUUGAUUUUAUGUUGGGAAAAUGUAAGAUCUGACUUAAAUAAACCCUCUUAGCGUGUUUAUUGGUUAGGGUUGGGUUCUUCUAGUUUUAAUGCAACUGGAUAAUUAAAUUCCUACGGUUGUAUCUAGCGUUGUUUUCUGGUUAGAGAAGCAGUCAAUGGUCAUACCUUGACUGUCGAAAAAGUAAGGAAGAACUGGUUGUCAGAACUUGUUGAUAACUAUAAUCAAUCUAGUGACUGAUGAAUGAAAUAUCUUUGCAUCGAUGAUCAUUUAAUUGGACCGUGCCUGAAAAGUUGAUCCUUUGGAUAGAAUUUUAUUAAUUGCUAUUUUUACUAAAUUGAACUUGUUGAGUUAGCUCUUGAAUUUUAUUUAUUUCAUUUUUAUUUUCAUCCCAUUAAUUAUCCCCCUAUUUUAUUUUAUUAACUUGGAAAGAAACAAGUUCCUACCUGUUCUCUGUGGAAUCAACCCUACUUGCCAUUGUAUGCAAAUUUAAUAUUUUUAUAGACAAUUCUGGUAUAUCGAAUCAAGCAAACUCUUCGGGAACAGGGUGAAUCAAGUAACCCAUUGCACACCUAGGGUCCCUGCUCCAAUAUUCGGAUUUGUUCUAUAAUUAAUUGUGGUGGUAAUUAGGACUUUUUAGUAAUUAUUAUUGCAUAGACUCGACACCUGUCAAUUUUUGGCGCCGUUGCCGGGGAACGGUGUUUUGGUUAAUUUUGUUUCUUUCUAAGUUAUUUUCUUUGGAUUUGUCUGACAUUUUCUAGUUUAUGCCUCGUUCUUCUCGUACAGGCGAAUUGAUUUUCGAUCCAGAAGUAGAGAAGACUACGCGCCGAACUAAAAAAGAGACUAGACAGCUCAGGGAGGAGCAAUCUAGCAUUGCAUCUCAGGGACUUGAUCCUGAGGUCGAAUCAACAGAUUCAAGUGGUGAUAAUUCAAGUGAUUCAGGCCAAGAGGAUAUCCGUAUGGCAAACGCAAGAACACUAAGGGAGUUGGCUGCUCCGGAAUUGCCCCAGCAGCCUUUGUGCAUCACGUUUCCAAGUCUAGCGGAAAAUACCUCAUUCGAGUUGAAGUCAGGAUUGAUUCACCUCUUACCCUCAUUCUAUGGCAUUUCGGGGGAGGAACCCCAUAAACACAUCCUGAAGUUCGAUUUGGUAUGCUCCAGUAUGAAACCUCCAGGAAUUACUAAGGAGCAGAUUAAACUUAGAGCUUUCCCUUUCUUCCUCGAGGACGCAGCUAAGGAUUGGUUAUACUACCUACCUGCAGGUAGUAUCACAACAUGGGCUCAACUGAAGAAGAAAUUUUUGGAAAAAUUCUUCCCUGCAUCCCGGGCUGCAAGUUUGAGAAAAAAAAUUUGCAGCAUUAAGCAGUACCCUGGAGAAUCCCUAUAUGACUAUUGGGAGAGGUUCAAUAAAUUGUGUAUUAGAUGCCCACAGCAUCAAAUUAGUGAACAACUAUUGAUCCAAUACUUUUAUGAGGGACCUCAGUCGUCCGAUAGGAGUAUCAUUGAUGCUGCAAGCGGGGGAGCACUGGCAAAUAAGACCCCGAGGGAAGCAUGGCUGCUCAUUGAAGUUAUGGCAGAGAAUUCUCAACAGUUUGGCUUCCGUGAGAGUAACCCUACCCGCAGGGUUAAUGAGGUGGAGACGACAUCUAUUCAGCAGCAGUUGUCGGAGUUAACAUCUUUUGUUCGACAAUUAGCUGUGGGGAAUGUGCACCAAGUAAAAGCCUGUGGAAUUUGCACAAAUGUGGGCCACGCCACUGACUCAUGCCCUAUGUUGUAAGAGGAUGGGUUGAACAAGUGAACAUGACUGGAGGCGUGUCCACGCCUCGUAGGCAGUACGAUCCAUACUUCAAUACGUACAAUCCGAGUUGGAGAGACCACCCCAAUUUCAGCUAUGGUAAUAGGCCGCAGAAUUCAUUCUCCAAUUGUCUACCAGGAUUUCAGCAACCUUGGCAACAAAAGUCUCAACUCUCGUCCUCCAACUCAGGAAGUUCCUUGGAGGAAAUUGUCAAGAGUUUGGCUACGACUACCACUCAACUCCAGCAAGAGACUAGGGCCCUGGUUGCAAACACUACUCAGUUCCAGCAGGACACCAGAGCAGGCAUGAAAGACAUGGAGAUUUGAAUGAAUCAAAUGAUAACUACCAUUAAUCGCCUGGAGUCCCACAUUUAUGAGAAAUUGCCAUCACAACCCGAGGCAAAUCCCAAAAAUGUAAUUGCCAUGACAUUAAGGAGUGACAAAGAGGUGGAGGGAUCUAAGUUAACGAUUUCGAAAAGCAAAAGUGAGGAGGAGAUAGAAAACGGAAUUGAAGAGAAAGGGCGCAUUCGCGAAGAGCCUAAGGUAACAUCUAUUCCUUCUAUCCCUAUUAAAUCUAAUCUAGCUCCUUUUCCUUGCAGGUUAGAAAAGACAAAGAGGGCAGAAAAGGAAAAAGAAAUCCUGGAUGUAUUCAGCAAAAUUCAAGUAAACAUCCCCCUAUUGGAUGCGAUCAAACAGGUACCCAAGUACGUAAAAUUCUUGAAAAACUUGUGCGUUAACAAAAGAAAGCUAAGGGGUGAUGAAAGAGUGAUGAUAGGAGAGAAUGUAUCAGCUGUACUUCAAAGAAAACUCCCACCCAAAUGCGGGGAUCCAAGUAUGUUUACUAUUCCCUGUAAGAUUGGCCAUUCUAGUAUCAAAAAUGUCAUGAUAGAUUUAGGGAUUUUUAUUAAUGUGAUGCCUAAGUCAAUCUAUGAUUCCCUAAAUUUAAAAUCUUUAAAAGAAACGGGAAUAAUAAUUCAAUUGGCUGAUCGUACAUGUGCUUAUCCGGAUGGGAUAGUUGAAGAUGUUUUAGUCCAAGUAGAUGGAUUAAUUUUUUCCUGCUGAUUUUUAUGUGCUUUACAUGGAUGAUAGAAGUGCUCCAAAUCCAUUACCGAUUAUAUUAGGAAGACCAUUCUUGAGUACUGUCCAGACUAAAAUUGAUGUUAGUAAGGCUACUCUCACGAUGAAAUUUGAUGGAGAAAUAGUCCACUUUAAUAUUUUUGAUACAAUGAAACAUCCUAUUAACUCUCACUCUGUGUUUGCUAUUCAUGCUACUGAUCCCUCUGUGUAAGAAUUUUCUGAGUUUACUUGUAGGAGUAAAUUCAAAAUUGCUGCGAACAAGUAUCAUGGAAUGAAAGCAAUUUAUGAGGUGAAAAUGGGUAGAAAAUUAAGAAAAAAAUGUUGCAUUCAAUGGCUAUUUGGAUCCCGGAGGAGGGCCACAGAUUAGAAGAAAAAUUGAAUUACAUCCAAACUGAAGAGCGGUGUACAGUGUCUAGUCAAAAACAUUAAAGAAAGGCGCUACUUGGAAGGCAAUCCAAGGAUUUCAAUUGUGUUUUAUUUCAUAUUUGUGUGUUCAAGAUCAGUGAGUUUAGAUUCCUAUUGACAAACAAUCUUUAUUGUAGGUCAUGAGUGUUUCUGUGUAGUUUUAUUCUAGGUUGGGGGCAAAAAUUUGUGGGCAGAAGACUUCGACCUCCAAGGCGUGCCCACGCCUGCCAACCUUUGCAACAAUGAAAGUCAAAAAAAAAAAAUUGAUUGACCAGGACCUUCUCUAACCCCACUUUUCUACUUUUCUCUUUUCUUGUCUUGUCUGGUCUUUUUAAUUUCCUCUGUCUUAGUUUCUACUUUUCAAUUUCCUUUGUUUUGUCUUAGUUUCAGUUUCUUCGUUUCCUCUUUUCUUGUUAGUCCGCCGCGCAUAGCGCGUCGCCGUGGCGUGCUCCUUUUACCAUGCUCCUCCUGCUGGGGAUUCUCAAUACCGUGCCCUCCAAGAUUCUAUCAGUGAAAUAGGUGAGCGAGUUGAGGGACUAGAGGACCGUCUUAGAGCGUUACGGGUUUUUUUCCGUAUUCAGAUGGAGAAUCAGGCAACUUUCUUUGCUCAUAUUGGAUUUCUACCGCCUCAUCCUCCUCCUCCUUAGUGUCUCGUUGCACCAUCUCGGUAGUCAGGGAAGUUUCGCCCCCUUUAUCCUUACACUUUAUUUAUUUUUGCUACAUUGAGCACAAUAUAGGUUUUAGGUGUGGGGGGAUGGUUUCUAUUAUUUCUUUUUGUUUCUAUUAUUUCUUUUUGCUUGAAAAAGAGAAAAAAAAUGAAAAACAAAAAAAUAUUUCAAAAAAAAAAAGUGCAGUUAGUUGCCUUUCUUUUUAUUUCUACAGUUGUUAACUGUUAGAGCAUGUUGCUAUGAUGGAUUGCACAAUCAGGGUGCACGGGUAUGUGGUCAUAUAUGCUAGCCAUGCAUUUUGGUUUUCUUUGGCAAUAUCGGUGAAUGUUGAACAUGCUGGACUUGACCCAUUCUUGAAACUUUUGGGAGCUUUUGAGCCAUGUACGAGCACGUUAUUCUUGUUUGCUUCGUUUGUGUUAUUGAGUGGGUAUCACACAUGGCAUUGGCAUUCUAGAACUUGCUAUUUUAUACAUGUCGAGGCCACAUUUUGUUGAACUAGAUGCAUCUGAAAUGAUAAGGGCAUUUAGGAUCUAACAUUCUUUAACUUUCUACAAACCAUGCCUUCAUCUUGUCUCCUCGUAAUGAACCUAUUUGAGCUUUUAUCCUUCGCUAUUGUUUGAUUAACCGUAUUUGAUAACCCAUGACCUUUUUAGACUUUUUUGUUUAACCUUGUGCCGUCAAGAGAUGUCUGAAUUCCGUUGUUUGUGCAAGGCAAAUGAAUCUAAGGUGGCAAGUGUUGUCGGAAUAGAAGUUGUAUGGUGCUCUGUGCAUCUGAGAUAAAAAAAAAAGGGGAAGGGGGAGAAGUCGGCAAUGAGCUGGUGGGCAGAAGACUCCAGCCUGCAAGGCGUGCCCACGCCUUGCAAGACAUUUGCUCCAUUAAAAAAAAAAGAAAAAAAAAGAUUGUCAGCAGAAGACUCCGGCCUACAAGGCGUGCCCACGUCUUGCGAGCCGCUUGUUCAAAAAAAAAUUAAAAGAAAAAAGAAAAAAAAAAGAUAAAAGGGGAAGAGUUUCGGCACUUGCACAGUGGAAAUGGCAAAUGAAAAUGCCUUGCUCGUGAAAUUUCUCUGAUGAAGCGUUGUGGUGAUGUGGUGGAUAUUAGGCAUUCUCUUGAUACACUACACCUUAUUUUUACCUUUUUAUCCCGCCUUUUACCUAAACCCCAUUACAACCUUAUUAAAGUCCCUUUGAUUUGUGUAUUUAGUUCACUUGCGAGUGGUGGAGAUGUGAUAAAUGUGCAAGCCUAUGGUAAUGCCAUUCCGUGAUGUUGAUUUGAGCAUUCCUAGUAUUCAUAUAUUUUCUUUGAAUUACCACUUGUCCGGUGUGCUCUAAUUUUGGAAACAUUGUCAGGGAUCUGAGAUGUUUGUGUUAGUACAAAUUACUACAUGACCUUUGCUCUCUUGGUUGUACUUUUGAGCUCCGAAAUGCUUGAGGGCAAGCAUUGUUUAGGUGUGGGGGGAUUUGAUAGAGCAAUUAUUGGGCACAUUUUGCACUGUUAUUUUGUCAUAAUUUUGGCUAUUUACUGUGCUAAGUAUUGAGAUUUUGCUAAUAUUUCAUAUUUGUAUGAAUUUAUAGGUGGUUGGCGUAAAAAGUGUUUUCGCGAGGCAAAUUUCCAGAAGACUCUCUAUUUCAUGACUUGCCCACGCCAGAAACUAAAGAGUUACACCUAAAAGCCGGACCCGCGAGAUUGGUUGCAGCGCAAAGUGGGCAAUUAGGAGGUUGGGUCCACGUGGACCGGACGCAUGGGAUUAAAAUCCCAAAAAAGCAAAGCUUUGCAGAGGACCCUUUGUGGAUUGCUCCUGGCGGCUGCAAAAGGCCAAAAACCAAAAGAAAGCCAGAUUCACGUUUUAAUUGAUAGAUUAGCCUUUAGCUUUUGCUUUUUAGGGUCAGACGUCUUCUUUUUCUUGGGACUUUUCGCACUAGCUUUAGACAAUUAGGGAGUAGCUUUCGUUUGUGAACCCUGGAAGACGAAUUGAAGUCUGCCGUCUUUGUUUCGUUUAUCUCAGACGCCUGUCGUGAGACCGGGGCUUUUACCUUUUGCUUUGGUACAAACACGAAACAAAGUGAAGCUAGAGUUUUUCUUCGGGUCCGUUGUUAUUCCGUCUCUCCCAGAUUAUUGGUAAAUAAUUGGAUGUUAUCAAUUAAAUCACGGGAGAGUGAUAUGAUGAGGAGCGGCUAGUUUUCUCCUCUACCCAAAGGUCGACGCGAGGGCGCGGUCCAUAACAUCUGUGAGAUCUAAUCGAAUUUUCAUUAUUUCUUUCAAUUCAUUACUAUUCAUGUGUUUCCUAGAUUAAUUGCUCAUGGGUAUUUUAUUAAUUGAGUAUCAACGGCCGGAUAUUUAAUUUAAUAUAAUAGCCUACUGCCACGUUAAUUAAAUUGAAUCCGUAAUUGUUCGUUUAGUUGACAACUAGUGGGAACCAUCAUAAUUGAUUUUAUGUUGGGGAAACGUAAGAUCUGGCUUAAAUAAACCCUCUUAGCGUGUUUAUUGGUUAGGGUUGGGUUCUUCUAGUUUUAAUGAAACUGGAUAAUUAAAUUCCUACGGUUGUAACUAGGAUUAUUUUCUGGUUAGAGAAGCAGUCAAUGGUCGUACCUUGACUGUCGAAAAAGUAAGGAAGAACUGGUUGUUAGAGCUUGUUGAUAACUAUAACCAAUCUAGUGACUGAUGAAUGAAAUAUCUUUGCAUCGAUGAUCAUUUAAUUGGACCGUGCCUGAAAAGUUGAUCAUUUGGAUAGAAUUUUAUUAAUUGCUAUUUUUACUAAAUUGAACUUGUUGAGUUAGCUCUUGAAUUUUAUUUAUUUCAUUUUUAUUUUUAUCCCAUUAAUUAUCCCCCUAUUUUAUUUUAUUAACUUGGAAAGAAACAAGUUCCUACCCGUUCUCUGUGGAAUCGACCCUACUUGCCAUUGUAUGCAAAUUUAAUAUUUUUAUAGACAAUUAUGAUAUAUCGGAUCAAGCAAACUCUUCGGGAACAGGGUGAAUCAAGUAACCCAUUGCACACCUAGGGUCCCUUCUCCAGUACUCGGAUUUAUUAUAUAAUUAAUUGUGGUGGUAAUUAGGGCUUUUUAGUAAUUAUUAUUGCACAGGCUUGACACCUGUCAAUUUUUGUGUUUUGCACGUGAACAUGAUGCUUUUAUAUUUUUUUCCCUUAAAAAUUUUUAGAAAAUCAAUUAUUUUGAAGGAAUAAAUGUAAUUGAGACAAAAAAAAUAUGACAUUUUAUAUUUAUAUUGCUUUAUAUUUUUCUGAACUUAGUUUUCCCUAACUAAACAUAAAUGCACAAGUAAUAAAUCACUCUUUGUUUUAAGAGCACUUUUAUUUUGUAACAGUAUGAAUAUUUUUGUCUUUUGGUUAAAUUUAGAUGACCUAAAUGUUCUUUUUUAUGCCAUCUAAGUUUACAUUUUUAAUUUUUUGAAUAAUUUAUUGCUCCCUUUAAGUUAUUCUAUGAAUUGUUUAUUAGUUUUGGUGAGAUUUUCUAAUAAUUAUUAUUUUUUGCUAAUGGUGGAUUGUAAAAUGAUCUAUAGUGCUACUAUAAUUAUAGUAGUAUUUAAAUAUAUUGAAAUUCCAUUGUUUGAAUUUAAAUAGCUUAACUUUAGAGAGAAAUAUUUUGAUUUGGUGAAACCUAUUUGUAUUUCUCACUGAUGACAUGCUUUAUGAAUAUAGAGUUUCUAUGAUUAAAAAUUGUAAGACAUUAAGACUAUUUAUUAUAUAAUAGUUAAAUUGAACUCGGAUAUAUUUUUAUUCACCUUUGAAAUACUCCUUGAAAUUGAUAUUUUAUAUAAAAAAAAAAUUUGGAUUAAUUCACCAUAACUCAAAGGGAUGUUUUAGCUGUGUAAUUAUUAUUAUGAUUAGCAUUGAUGAAUAUAAUAUUCAUUAAUUGUGGUUUAAUAUAUUAGUUGUUACAAGAAUAUGAUUGCUAAAGUCCAUUAAAUCUAAUCUUUAUUGCAAUUUAAAUAAAUAAAUUCCUAACACAAAACUCUUUGCCUACCUUGGCACUCCAUUUCCUAUUUUAUUUUGUAUUAAAAUUUUUUACUCAAUAGUAAUAUAUGCAUAUUAAAAAGAUACUCUUAAGACUUAAUUAACUUGUAUCCAAAAAAUUAAAAAAAAACAUGGUACUUUUUAAGAGACUCAUAGUACCAAUUUAUUAUGUUUUGUUUCAUGUUUGAAGCACUCUAACUUAGAUUUUGUAAAUAAAAUUUGUUGUUCUUUCUUUUGUAAAUAAAAAGUAAGGAAUCUUUCAUAUUCGUAACUGCUAGCCUAUUUGAUAUUAUUUAUUAAUGAUGAAAUACAAUGCAAUUUAUCCAUUUAUUAGAGAGGAGUGUAAUUUUGGUAUCAAAAAAAUUAAUAUCAUUUUUGUUACAUUAUUGACCACUAAAAUUCACCAUAUUUUUUUAAAAUUUAUAAAUAAAAUUUAUUCUUCUUUUUUUCUUUAAUUCACUAUAACUCAAAUUCUAAUUGUUCAAAUUAUUUUCUAAUGCUUCAAUUUUUAUUCUAAUUACUCAUAUUAUUGAAGCAAUUGGUAACAUUUUGUUCAUUUCAUUAAUAUCAUAACCGAAAUAAAAUGACUGUAAUUAUUAGACAAAAGGGUACUUUGGUCACAGCAAAAACUAAGACCAACAAAAAAAUGCUUACACUUUAGAUUGUUUACACUCUAUUUGCCUAAACUAUCCAUUGUUUUAUUGGGAUUAUAGAUACAGAUAGAUAGAUAGAUUAGUUUGCUAGUUUGCCAAGGUAUUAAAAGGCAUCAAUAGCACCUAUCGCAACAGAUUUAUGUCAUCAAUUGGACAAGGUAUUGAGCUUUGUAGGGGUGGCAAUUCCCGAUGCAACCUGAAAACACGACACGAAUCUAAUACGAAAUUAAUGAAUUUGGGUUUAGAUUUUGAGGAUUCGGGUCAAACCCGAUAAACCCAGAAAAAAAGGUCAAAAUCGAGUCCAAAUCAGAUUGACCGCUAACCCGUUUCUGAAAUAAAAAUAAAUAAAUAAAUAUUAAAGACUUAUCUAAAGACUAAAUAGUAAAUACCACUACACAUCAAAACAACAAUUCACACACUUGACUUGGUCGGCCAUAUUAAUUUGUCUAGCUUGUAGGUGGACUGUUUAAGCAGCAUCCAAGGAACAAAUUUUGAAAAGUUGCCUCAAAUAGUCAAAUGUUGUCACCUGAUCCUCACUCGAAGCCAAAAUCUUUCUUCCUCCUAAUAGUUCACUACUUCACCUAACCUAAAUCUUUCUUCCCCUUUUCUUCUAAACGGUAAAAUCGGAAAGGGCAGCCUUGCCCUUCACCAGUUCACCUCACGGUCCUCACCUCAUCACCUAUCAGUAGCAGACGAUGGUUAGAAGCAAGCAACGGCUUUUCUUCCCUAAGGUCUGAGCAGCAAGCAAUUCCUAAUCUAGAUCGAUUAUUGAAGAAGCGAAAAAGUUAUGCAGAAUUGGAUGCAACCUGUCUUGGUUCAUGGUAUUCAUUUUGAAAUUUAUAUAAUCACAAUUAAAACACAAGUAGAAUUUGGACAUCCGUUAGGACUUAGGAGGCACUCUAUGAGUUACUUAUAAACUCUUUCUUAUCAAGUUUAAUAAUCAUUGCAUUCUGCAUUCGUGUGGCUUCUGGAAUAUAGGUUAUUAGACAGCAUCAUUAUGAAUGCUGUUGUUGCUGGUGAUGAGGGCCGAAGCAUUGGUUGGCCUUGGAGCACCACUUUUGUUGUGAUUUAAUAUCAUGUGAAUUGUAAUAUAUUGACUCUAAACUUGUAUUUGAUUGGCAACCUUUUGUUUAGAUUGUUCUAACUGAAUUUGUUUGACUUGUAUAAAGUUGGAGUUAUUAGAUUUGGAUUGAUGAUGUAUUACAUUAUUUCUACUCUUAUGGUGUCUUUUUUUAGUUUGGAAUUGAUUCUGUUAAAAAACACAGCCGAUUAAUCAAUAAAAUUAAAUUAAAUUUCGGAUCAUUUCGGAUCAGCCCGGUUGAUCCGUCAAUCCAGAUAUUUCGGGUUCAAGUCAGAUAUUCUGACCCGUUUCGAGUUGACGGGUCAAAUUUGAGUCAACGAGUUUUUGGUUUUAUUCGGGUCUCAAUCCGACCCGUCACCCAAGAGCUUUGCACGCUAUUAAUGGUUUGACCAAGUGUGUCUCCAUGUUUCAAAUACUAUUUGGUUAGUUAUUAGAAUGAUGCAUCCCAAACUUCUUUUGCAACUAAUGUUGAUAGCCAAAAAGCCAAAAUCGGGCCUUAUCGGGGGCUGCAGUGAUUAAAGAAAAUAAUUUGUCGACGAGUACUUUUUCCAUCCUAAUGUCGCCGCAGACAAUGUGAAUGCAAUAGUACUGUCCUCUAAACCUUUACCAACAGUUAAAAUCCACACAAUUUGUCUGAUCAAAAUUGUAUAUUUGUAAAAAUUAUAGCACUCCAAGAAACGAUACUGACAGGUUGUCAGCCUGUGCAAUAAUAAAACCUGCUCAAACUAAAAGUAAUUUCUGUAGAUAGCGGUAAGCAGGGUCGAAUCCACAGGGACUGGGAGUAAUUGUUUCAUUUCAAAUUCACAGUGACAAAUGGGGGUGUUUUUGUGUAGAAGGUGACACUCAAAGAAAUUCAAAUAAAAUCUAAGAAACUACUAAAAAUUAAAUAACAAAAUAUUAAAAUCAAAUGAGUAAUAAUUAAAGAUCUAGCCAAGAAAUAACUUCAGCAAUGGUUCACCUAAUUGAUCAUCGAUGCAAAGCCAAUUCCAAUUAUUUAUCAAUAAAUAGGUUAUAACUACCAAACAAGCGAUGACAGUCAACCCCUCCUUACUGUGUCGGUGAUCAAGGUACGCCCGUUAAUCACUGCUCUAAUUGAGAAAUAAUCCUAGGUACGCCCAUAGGAUUUAAUUCCCCAAUUGCCUUACGUAUUAGAGGAGCCCUAUUCUAACCAAUAACGCACUACCAGGGUUAUUUUAGAUUAACCCGCGUAUUCCCCUGACACAAACCUAAUCAUGCCAGUUGUCACUAUUUUAGAGCAAUUAAACAAUUACGGAUUUAAUGCCCUAAUUGACAAUAGAUUACUAAAUCAAUUAAUUAUCCGGAUCUAAGACAACCAAUUAAUUGAACAAUCAUAAGCACUGCAAUCAAGGAAUAUGCGAAUACCAAUAAUUCAAAGGGAAAGAUUAAAUUAAAUCGAUCUCACAAUUUUUAGGUAACCCAAAGCAUCCGUCGUUUCUUGACUAGAGUGAGGGGAUUAGCUCAUAUUGGAUGAACUACGCCCGCGGGAAAUUUCAGCAGAAGUCACGACCAUUGUCUGCGUUUCAGGAAGUUGCAAUUCGUCGAACAGAAAGAACGCAAAUGAAAGUCUCAAGCAGCAAUUGAAUCUAUUUAUUAUUCCCAGCAUCCGUAUAGCAAAACCACUCCAGCAGUACAAGGAGGAAAAGUCAAAGCUAAAAGAAAAAGUUGCUUCCUCCUCACAUGCGUGGAGAAAAGCCAAAGGAAAACUUAACAAGAAAAGUCCAAGUCAAGAAGAGUCAAAACAUUUCUGCUAAGCUACAGCCGAGAAAGCUAAGAAAAAACUCGCCGCCCAACUUCCUUCUUUUUACUCCUUUUAAUUGCGGCGCCCCUCAGCAGAACCAAGCCCUCCCAGGUGUCCUUCCCUCGCGGAAUUUACCAAAAUGGGCGUGAUAUCUUCAUUUCCAAAAAUACCCGUUGGACAAGCUCUAUCAUCUGCAUCCCUUUUCUGUCAAAUUGGUACCUGUUAUCAUAUUUUCGUUCUACUCCCUGAAAUAAAUGCAAUUUACGAAAAGUGAGUAGAAUCUACUAAUUAAUCCACAUCCGGUCAGAUAAUAGGGGAAAUUAAUAAUAAAAUAAGUAAUAGAAUUGCUACCUAUCAAUUCCCCCCACACCUAAAUCAUGCUUGCCCUCAAGCAUAAGAAAAGGGUACAGACACCAAAAUUUGAUGACGGUCAUUGCUCUAUCUACCAAAUUGCCAAGAUAUCCAGAAAAAUCAUAUAUCGAGCACUAGUGAUUAAAAUCCAAGAAGCAUCCCUCCCGGUUAGCCCCUAGACUGCAAAUUCCUUCAAUUUCCAGGUUAACUACUCUAAGAAAAGGGAAUGGCACACAACAUUUAUCAGCUAAUGGUCCAAAUAUUCACACAAGUCUCCAUAUUAAGUCCAUAAAUCGGCAAGCCUUCCCAUUAUUUAUUCUCUCUUUUUUUUCAUUUUUUUUCUUUCGUUCCCUGUGUUUUUCUCUUUUUUUGUUUUGUUUUUUUUAAAGCAAUAAUAAUUAACACAAAAAGACUUAGUCUUUAGCCGUCGGGGCCUUUUGACGCGAACUCCAACAUUUUUAGAUGAAGGAGCCCGGUUACUCAGCUCCUACCGCUAUACGACCACGUACUCAUAGAAAGCACCACCUUUUGACGCGAGAAUCGACACUUUUAGGUGCAGAUUCCCGGUUACUCAGUAGUAACUUAAUAGCGGAGUACAGUCAAGCUUAUUCACAGCCAAACAAUGCACAAACGCAAAAUAACAACACUAACAACUAAGCAUAGGAGCAGCUCGCCUCAUUAUUGCCAAACAUGGAGAACUGGAGUCAAUAUUGGACCAGUUCACAUUAAAAACACCAACAAUCAUUCCCUAUGCCUAGAAAAGUUAACAAAGAAAUCAAAAGAGUCAAGCAGUCCGAUAUUCACCAAGGAGAUGUCUUGGACCCAACCACAUUAACCCGAUACAUACUUAUUUUAAAAACUUGGCAAAAGUAGAAUUAGAGUCAAUAAGCCAACAUCCAAAAAUUUUGUCCUCUUUUCGUUUUCUGUUUUUUUUUUCUCUUUUUUUUUUGUUUUUGUUUCUCUUUUUUUCAUUCGCAGGAGAGAUAAGCACCAAGAAGAAAGAAAGAAAAUGAGCAACUAGAAAUAAAACUAAAAACUAAAGAAAACUAAAAACACUAGCACCCUUUUAGAUCCCCCCACACCUAUAGGACACAUUGUCCUCAAUGUGACAAAUAACCAACAAAAGUGGGUGAGAGGACAGCAACACUUCCCUGAAAUCCGGUCAAAGAGGUGGGCGAGGCGGAGCUGGAGGAGGAAAGCCCGUAUGAUGCAGAAAUUGCGCCAAAUUCUGUGCUAUGCCAGCUACAUUGAGGUCGACGUUGAGCAUUCGAGCCUCCAAAUUCUGAACCUGCUCUCGGAGUUGCUGCCAUUCAUUGGUCCCAGGUGGUGGAGGUGGCGCAGAAGCAGAGGUAGAUGGCCCAGCAGUGUCCUCGGCCGACCCAGGGAAUGAAGAGUGCCCCGCCUGUGUUGAAGGCCGCGUACCCGGAGCUCGAACUAGGCCCGGAGGGGUAAACUGGUGGAAACCAUUGGGCAGGCGCUCGACGACUCCCAUUUUCUCUAAGCAGUCCACGUCCAGGAGCUCCAUCUCGAAAGCCAAAUGUAAGUCGUGGUCCUCCAGAAUAAGAACUCCCAACUGCGUCGCCAAGUGGGUAAUGUAGGACCCAAGAAUCAGAGGUUUGUUCUUCUUGGUCAAAACAGUCUUGAACUGUGCAGCCAACCAACACCCCAAGUUGACCUUGAUAUUGUUCUUCAUACUCCAGAGGAAGAAAAACUCAGGUCGAGAGAGUAUACCAGAGCUGUCCUUGCGCCCUGAGUAGCUGUAGGCUAAGAAUCGCUGAACGUAUCGGGCACCAGGAUCUUUAAGAAAGGAGCUCCUAGACCUAGAAGGGUCGUAGCGGUGCCGAUCGACUGACAUUUCCUCCCACACAUCAUGGUAGUGGGAGAGUAAUGGCUCUAUGUAAUCACAGGCACUCCCCGCAUACUCCCUAGUUUCAGCAUACUCUCUCGUGAUAAAUCCAAAUGCCAGAUUGAACUGGGUAAUGGAGAAGUUGAACUCCCUACCCAUUAGACGGGAAUGAAUGACAUUUGGUGUAUCAACGGUGUAUCUCGUAGGCAACUCGAACUCAAAGGUGGAGUAAAACUCCCGAAUCAGCUCAACAAAAGCAGGGCAGGAGAUAUCAAGAUACGGGCACCACCCAAUGGAGGUAAACAUCUGAUUGACCUCCUCCCGUAUACCCAGGGCAGUCAUAGUGAUUUUGUGACAAGAUUUGCAGGGUAUAAUACGCCUCUCACAGACCUUAGCGUAUCUCUGCCGAUCGGCGGGUCUGGUAAACGUUAAGUGCCCCCCAAAGUGAGCAGGGGUAUCUACCUGAGCACCCCUACCCCUACCCAAACGGGUUCGAACACUAGAAGAGGAGGGUCGGUUGGUAGGUGAGUUGACAGGAAUAGAGGUUGGUAGGUGAGUUGACAGGAAUAGAGGCUUGUGGAGGGGGUUGAGACUGAGAGGUCCUAGACCUAGAGGAGGAUUUUGGUCUCACCAUUUCACCCACAGUCAACUGGAACAACAAGAUACAGAAUUUCCCACGCCCAGUGCAACCAGCAAUUACCGAUGGAAUCAACCAGCAAAUGGACAACAGAGCUACCCACAAAUUUAUACCAAUUUACCAACAAAGCAACAAUGGUACUCAAUAACCACAGGAUGCCCAACUAUUAACCACAACUAGCAACUGGCAAAGGUUAUUUAAUAAGCAAGGAGAUUAUCCAAGUCACUCAGUAAUCAAGCAAACGUUGUCCAUCCAAAAAUUCCAACAAGCAGCCCAAUUAGUGAAACAGCUAUAAAAGAUCAGAACAGAUGCUACCUAUGGCCCCCAAUCCAGCAGUCACAGCAGAGUAUACAAUUCCAAACUUACAAAGUAAGUCAAGCGACACAGGAUUUCAGCUCAAUAUGCAAUAUUCGAAGUAACUGAAGCAAAAACCCCACAAAACCUCAACAAUUCCUCCAGCAAAGCAAGCAAAAUAGACCUUAACAGGGUAACAUACGGCUGCAGUAUUUAAGCUCACCCCAAAAUUUCAACAAGUGGCUCCAGAUGGCCAGUUAAUUGCACAAUUACAGCCAACCCACAGGAAUGAGCAAUUCUAAGCAAAAACAAUCUAACAAGUACCACUGGUGAAAAUCGCACACGGCCAAAAUACCAACUCUUGACGAACCCAGAUAGCAUUAAUCAAUUUAGGAGAAAUUGGGGAGCAAGCUUCAAAUACCUCCGCCAAUAUCUUGGCAGUCGGCGGACAGGGCAGACGGGUCAAAGCUCCACGCAAGUGAAGUGCUCGCCGCUGGUUGGGUCGCCUUGCGCAGGAGAGCUGUCUGGCAGCGAUUGCGGCGGCAGUCCAAGGGCUGGCUGUCGCGUGCGGCUGUGGUGGCGUCUGAAGUGGGUGUGCGCGGCUGGGCAAGGGAAAACCAGACAGCGGCGGCGUGGGAAGCUGUCUGUCGCGGGCAUGCGCGCGAGCUAGUGGCGCUCGGCUGUGGGCAAGAGGCCGCGACGCUGGAGAGAGGGCUGGUGGGUCGGCGGCGCAGGCUGGUGACGACUGGUGGAGCUCGAUGCGAGGGGGACAGUAGCGGCGGAGCGCGCGAUUGGGGCGCGCGAUGGGAGAGGGAAUUUUAGCCGUAGAGCAGAUCUGGUGGUGGAGGAGGUGCGCCAGUGAGCGGCGGACAGGGGGUCUUCGGUCGACAGAGAAGAAAAAGAAACAGGGGAGAAGAAAGAAAGAAAAGAGAAAGAAGAAGAAAGAAAGAAAGAAAAAGAAAGAAAAGAAAAGAAGGAAAAAAAAACAGAAAUUGUUUUGUUUCUUUUUUCUCUUCUCCAGGCUCCAUUUAAGCCAUGGUGAUGAUGAUUUUUUUUUUUUUUUUGAAAAUUAUUUCAUUAUCAGUAUAUAACUAGUAUAUAUAUAUAUAUAUUAUUUUUCUUUUUUUUUUUCUUUUGUUCAACUUUUUUUUUUUUAAAUCCUUACCUUUCCCGCGAACGUGACGCGGGCACGUCAAGAGAGCAAGAGAGCUCCCAGAAGUUUCUGAUCGUGAGCUUCCUGCACGUCACCACGCGGGCGCGUCAUGACUGAAGGGCACCUAUAAAUCAGCAAAAACGAAAACUGAAACCCAAGAUCAGUCGAAUUCAAGGAGAAAACAUCUAAACUACCACACGAAAAUGAACAAACAAUUAAAAGGAACAAUUGGGUUGCCUCCCAAGGAGCGCCUUUCUUUAAUGUCUUUUGGCUAGACAUGGUAAAGUGUCACUGAUUAAGACACGGUGGUGCGUCUAGAUGUACUGUCUCCACUUCUCCACCUGAAAAACUUUCGUAAUAGUGUUUGAGACGGUGUCCAUUCACCACAAACUUGUUGUCUGUCUUAGCACUUCGGAUUUCGACUGCACCAUAUGGAAAAACGUGAGUAACAAUAAAAGGUCCAAUCCAACGGGAACGUAGCUUACCUGGGAAUAGCUUGAGCCUUGAUUGGUAUAGGAGGACCUUCUGACCAACUUCAAAUGUUUUUCUUGAAAUUUGUUGGUCAUGAAAUGUCCGGCUUCUCUCCUUAUAAAUUAAUGCAUUUUCGUAGGUUUCGUUCCGGAUCUCCUCUAAUUCCUGCAAAUCUAACUUCCGUUGGGCACCGGCCUCCUCUAAAUUCAUGUUGCAUUGCUUAAUCGCCCAAAAAGCCUUGUGCUCAAACUCCACUGGAAGGUGACACGGCUUCCCAAAUACUAACCUGUACGGCGACAUCCCUAUAGGAGUCUUAUAUGCCGUUCGAUAGGCCCAGAGUGCGUCCUCCAACCUUUGACUCCAGUCUUUCCUAUCGGGGCGCACCAUUUUCUCCAAAAUGGAUUUAAUCUCCCGAUUCGAUACUUCCGCUUGACCAUUAGUCUGCAGGUGGUACGACGUCGAGACCCUGUGGAGUACACCAUACUUGCGAAACAACGCAGCAAUGGUUUUGUUGCAGAAGUGCGUUCCCCUAUCACUGACAAUAGCUCUUGGCAUUCCAAAUCGCACAAAAAUAUUAGCCCUGAUAAAAUCUGCAACUACUUUCGAGUCAUUAGUCCUAGUGGCCUUAGCCUCCACCCAUUUAGAUACAUAAUCAACUGCCAGCAAAAUAUAUAUAAAAUCAAAAGAAGUAGGAAAAGGCCCCAUGAAAUCUAUACCCCAAACAUCAAAAAUUUCAACAAAAAUCAACGGGACUUGGGGCAUUUGAUCUCUACGGGCUAUAUUACCUACCCUUUAACAGCGAUCACAUGACUUACAGAACACAUAGGCAUCCCUAAACAAUGAAGGCCAAUAAAAUUCACUUUCUAAAAUCUUGUGAGCAGUUCUCUUGGAUCCAAAAUGACCUCCACAGGCAAAAGUAUGAUAGAAAGCUAAAAUCGAUUGAAAUUCCACUUCACUUACACAUCUCCGCAUCACUUGAUCUGCACAUCUCUUCCAUAGGUACGGGUCAUCCCAGAUAAAAUACUUGGCGUCGCUCUUCAAUUUAUCCCUCUUCGAUUUUGGCCAACCUGCAGGAAAAUUACCAGUUACCAAAUAAUUGACCAGAUCAGCAUACCAAGGCAAUUGAGAAUUUAAAGAAAAUAAAUGCUCUUCAGGGAAUGCAUCUUUCAACGGCUCGCUCUCCUCCCCAACUGGUAAGCGACUCAAAUGGUCUGCUACUAGAUUCUCUGAGCCUUUUUUAUCCCUUAUCUCUAAGUCAAAUUCCUGCAGUAGCAAUAUCCACCUGAUGAGCCUCGGUUUGGCAUCUUUCUUGGUCAUCAGGUACCUUAAUGCUGCAUGAUCAGAAAAUACAAUUACUUUAGCACCUAGCAAAUAUGACCUGAAUUUCUCUAAAGCAAAAAUUACUGCAAGAAGCUCCUUCUCAGUAGUGGAGUAAUUCAGUUGAGCUCCAUUCAGUGCUCGGGACGCAUAGUAGAUGACGUGAGCCGCCUUUCCUACUCUUUGCCCCAGUACAGCCCCAACAGCAUGAUCACUGGCAUCGCACAUGAUCUCAAAUGGCAAACUCCAAUCGGGGGGCUGGAUGAUUGGGGGUGAAGUCAACAGUUCCUUCAACUUGUCGAAGGCUCUCUCACACUUGUCAUCAAACUCGAAGGCUACAUCCUUUUGCAAGAGUUGGAACAACGGGGCCCCAAUUUUUGAAAAUUCCUUGAUGAACCUUCGAUAAAAACCUGCAUGUCCAAGAAAAGAACGCACCUCCCGCACAUUCACGGGGUAAGGCAAUGCAGAAAUAACGUCUAUUUUAGCCUUGUCAACCUCAAUGCCCUUAGACGAUACAAUAUGACCCAGGACUAUCCCGUGCUCAACCAUAAAAUGACAUUUUUCCCAAUUAAGCAUAAGAUUAAUCUCUAUACACCUUAUCAGGAUCAAUUUCAGGUUAUCUAGACAUGUAUCAAAACUAUCACCAUACACACUGAAAUCAUCCAUGAAAACUUCAAUUAUUUUCUCCACAUACUCAGAAAAAAUACUUACCAUACACCUCUGGAAUAUUGCAGGUGCAUUGUACAACCCGAAUGGCAUUCGUCUGUAGGCAAAGGUCCCGAACGGGCACGUGAAGGUUGUCUUCUCUUGAUCCUCUGGUGCAAUUGCUAUCUGAAAAUAUCCUGAAAAUCCAUCCAAAAAGCAAUAGUAAGCCCUACAAGCUAGACGUUCAACCAUCUGGUCAAUGAAAGGGAGAGGGAAGUGGUCCUUUUUAGUGACGACGUUUAGCCUACGGUAGUCUAUACAUUGCCUCUAUCCAGUGGGUUUGCGCACUGGCACGAGCUCACCCGUUUGGUUGGCCCCACCGUCACCCCUGCCUUCUUUGGGACUACCUGGACCGGGCUCACCCAAGGGCUAUCUGAUAUUGCAAAAAUAAUCCCCACAUCUAGCAAUUUCAGAAUUUCUUUCUUUACAACUUCCAUCAUGAGGGGAUUGAGUCUCCUUUGAGCCUGCCGUACAGGUUUGGCAUCCUCUUCUAGUCUAAUCCGGUGCAUACAGAUGGCCGGGCUGAUCCCCUUAAUGUCUGCGAUUGUCCAACCUAUCGCCUCUUUAUGCUCUCUAAGGACCCGGAUCAGUUUCUCCUCAUGGGUUUUUGACAGUGCCGAUGAGAUAAUCACCGGGAGUGUCUCAUUAUCACCCAGAUAUGCAUAUUUCAGGUGCUCUGGUAGAGUUUUCAACUCCAGUACAGGUGCCUGCAUCACAGAUGGCAAUACCCUCUGGUGAGGUUCGGGAGUAAAAAUAGGUAAGACUUCAUACCUUUUCGUGGUGGUCUGCAAUGAGUGUAAUGCACCUAUUGUGCAUUUUAGAUCCUCGCUCCACUCCACCUCAGGAGUUGUCUCCAACUCGAGGUUCUUUGUUAGAGCCACCUCUAACUCAUCCCUGCCAACAGUUUCAAACACUUCCUGCACUACAGGGUCAAUAGCACUCACAGAGAAAACUGAACUAAAGUUGGAGUUUGAGGGAUAUUUCAUAGUAUCAAAGAUAUUGAAAUGGACAAUUUCCCCAUCAAAUUCCAUGGACAAUGUACCCUUGUUAACAUCAAUUUUUGUCUGUACUGUACUCAUAAAGGGUCUACCUAAUAACAACGGUGAGAAAUCAGGGGAGUGAUCAUCAUCCAUAUCAAGUACAUAAAAAUCAGCUGGAAAUACCAAAUCAUUAACUUUUACCAACACAUCUUCAACCAACCCAUCAGGGUAUGCGUUAGUUCGGUCAGCUAAUUGAAUGAUUAUUCCAGUUUCUUUUAAUGGACCUAAUUUCAGAGAAGCAUAGAUAGAUUUAGGCAUGACAUUAAUUGAUGCUCCCAGAUCCAACAUGGCCCUUCUAAUCACAGUAUUACCUAUCCUACAGGGGAUAGUAAACAUACAUGGGUCCCCGCACUUGGGUGGAAGCUUUCUCUGCAGGACCGCUGACACAUUCUCCCCAACAAUGACCCUCUCAUCUCCCCUCAACCGCCUUCGGUUGACACACAAGUCCCUUAGGAAUUUGGCAUAUUUUGGUACUUGUUUGAUCGCGUCUAACAGGGGGAUAUUUAUCUCGACCUUGCGAAAAACCUCCAAAAUCUCCUUCUCCUUAUCCUGUUUCUUUGAUUUUUCCAACCUGCUAGGAAAAGGAGGCGGGUUAGUUUUAACUGUAAUUACUGGGUCUGGAAGUACCUUUGGGUCUGCACCACUGCUGUCCUCCCUCUCGAGCUCAUUUUCGAUCUUUUCCUCAUCUUUAUCCUUAGGCAUCACAGGUUCAAACCCCUGAAUUUCCUUGCCGCUCCUCAGGGUCAUGGCGCUCACAUUCUUCGGGUUCAACUCAGGUUGAGAUGGCAGCUUCCCUUGGUUCUGGGAAUCCAAACGGUUGAUUGUUGUGGCCAUUUGACUUAUCUGAUUCCCUAUGUCCUGCAUUUCGGAGUCAGUCCUUUGCUGAUUUUGCAUAAUGGUUGCCUCCGUCCUCUGCUGAUUUUGCGCCAUGGUUGUCAUCAUUUGUUUCAUCAUCUCCUCCAAAGAUGGACCAGAGCUUGGGGACAGAGGUGGUCGGGGUUGGUAUUGCUGCUGGUACCCUGGUGGCUUAUUUGGCACAAAGUUAGACUGCCUGUUCGGUGCGAAGUUGGGCUGCAUAUUUCCCCCAUAACUGAGAUUCGGGUGGUCCUUCCAGCCGGGAUUGUACGUGUUCGAGUACUGGUCAUAGGGCCUUCUUGGCGCGGGCGCGUGACCAGUCAUGUUCACCUGUUCUGCAGUUUCUUCCUGAAGCAUUGGGCACAUGUCUGCAGAGUGACCCAUACCAGUGCAAAUCCGGCACACCCUGGCCUGAGAUGCAUUCCCUACAGCCAGUUGCCUAACAAACGAGGUCAACUCAGUUAGCUGCUGCUGCAUAGAGGACGUCUCUACCUCAUUCACCUUACGUAUUGGGACGUCCUCUCUCGAACUGAAUUGUUGUGAAUUCUCUGCCAUCCCCUCUAUUAACUCUCGUUCUUCCUGAGGGGUUUUGUUCACCAGUGCCCCUCCACUUGCAGCAUCAAUUAUGCUCCUGUCUCUGAAAAGGAGCCCCUCAUAAAAAUACUGUAUGAGCAACUGCUCACUUAUUUGGUGCUGGGGGCACAUUCUGCACAACUUCUUGAACCGUUCCCAAUACUCAUAGAGUGACUCCCCUGAGUGCUGCUUGAUCCCGCAAAUUUCUUUCCUCAGACUUGCAGCCCUGGACGCAGGAAAAUAUUUAUCUAAGAACUUUUUCUUCAAUUGGUCCCACGUGGUGAUGCUACCUGGCGGUAGGUAAUAUAACCAGUCCUUUGCAGAGUCCUUCAAGGAAAAGGGAAAUGCCCUCAUUUUUAUCUGCUCUUCUGUAAUGCCCGGGGGCUUCAUACUGUUGCACACGACAUCAAACUCCUGCAGAUGCUUAUAUGGCUCCUCACCUGGUAAACCAUGAAAAGAGGGUAAAAGAGAAAUCAGACCAGAUUUUAACUCAAAUGAAGUGUUUUCACUCAAACUCGGGAAAGUAAUGCACAAAGGCUGCUGAUUUAAAUUAGGGGCAGCCAACUCCUUUAAUGUUCGUGCAUUAGCCAUGGGGAUUUCUUCUUGCUCCGGGUCACUCGAAGUGUCACCAAAUGAAUCUGUUGGUUCAACUCCUGACUCAGGUCUCUGAGAUGUAGCACUGGAGUGCUCCUCUCUGAGGUGUCUUGUUUCCUUUCUCGUUCUACGCGCGAUUUUCUCUACUUCAGGGUCAAAAAUCAAAUCACCUGUACGAGAAGACCGAGGCAUACACUAGAGAAAUACCAGAAAAUUAGAACAAAAAUGAAUUUUAAAAAAAACAAAUAAUAACGCCAGUCCCCGGCAACGGCGCCAAAAAUUGACAGGUUGUUAGCCUGUGCAAUAAUAAAACCUGCUCAAACUAAAAGUAAUUUCUGUAGAUAGCGGUAAGCAGGGUCGAAUCCACAGGUACUGGGAGUAAUUGUUUCAUUUCAAAUUCACAGUGACAAAGGGGGGUGUUUUUGUGUAGAAGGUGACACUCAAAGAAAUUCAAAUAAAAUCUAAAAAAUUACUAAAAAUUAAAUAACAAAAUAUUAAAAUCAAAUGAGUAAUAAUUAAAAAUCUAGCCAAGAAAUAACUUCAGCAAUGGUUCACCUAAUUGAUCAUCGAUGCAAAGCCAAUUCCAAUUAUUUAUCAAUAAAUAGGUUAUAACUACCAAACAAGCGAUGACAGUCAACCCCUCCUUACUGUGUCGGUGAUCAAGGUACGCCCGUUAAUCACUGCUCUAAUUGAGAAAUAAUCCUAGGUACGCCCAUAGGAUUUAAUUCCCCAAUUGCCUUACGUAUUAGAGGAGCCCUAUUCUAACCAAAUAACGCACUACCAGGGUUAUUUUAGAUUAACCCGCGUAUUCCCCUGACACAAACCUAAUCAUGCCAGUUGUCACUAUUUUAGAGCAAUUAAACAAUUACGGAUUUAAUGCCCUAAUUGACAAUAGAUUACCAAAUCAAUUAAUUAUCUGGAUCCAAGACAACCAAUUAAUUGAACAAUCAUAAGCACUGCAAUCAAGGAAUAUGUGAAUACCAAUAAUUAAAAGGGAAAGAUUAAAUUAAAUCGAUCUCACAAUUGUUAGGUAACCCAAAGCAUCCGUCGUUUCUUGACUAGAGUGAGGGGAUUAGCUCAUAUUGGAUGAACUACGCCCGCGGGAAAUUUCAGCAGAAGUCACGACCAUUGUCUGCGUUUCAGGAAGUUGCAAUUCGUCGAACAGAAAGAACGCAAAUGAAAGUCUCAAGCAGCAAUUGAAUCUAUUUAUUAUUCCCAGCAUCCGUAUAGCAAAACCACUCCAGCGGUACAAGGAGGAAAAGUCAAAGCUAAAAGAAAAAGUUGCUUCCUCCUCACAUGCGUGGAGAAAAGCCAAAGGAAAACUUAACAAGAAAAGUCCAAGUCAAGAAGAGUCAAAACAUUUCUGCUAAGCUACUGCCGAGAAAGCUAAGAAAAAACUCGCCGCCCAACUUCCUUCUUUUUACUCCUUUUAAUUGCGGCGCCCCUCAGCAGAACCAAGCCCUCCCAGGUGUCCUUCCCUCGCGGAAUUUACCAAAAUGGGCGUGAUAUCUUCAUUUCCAAAAAUACCCGUUGGACAAGCUCUAUCAUCUGCAUCCCUUUUCUGUCAAAUUGGUACCUGUUAUCAUAUUUUCGUUCUACUCCCUGAAAUAAAUGCAAUUUACGAAAAGUGAGUAGAAUCUACUAAUUAAUCCACAUCCGGUCAGAUAAUAGGGGAAAUUAAUAAUAAAAUAAGUAAUAGAAUUGCUACCUAUCAGAUACUCUUCUUGGACAUAUCCCCGGACAAUCAGAUUGCUUAAAGAGUCAAUAUGAGAAACAAUCAGAAUUGACCUAAAUUCUACAAUAAUUAUAAAUUGAAAUACCUUAACGUCAACAAUAAUUUUUAAGUAAUCUCGUGGUACAAGUAUUUUUUUUUUAAUGAUGAUGAAACGGGGUCUAAUUGAUAAAAGGGAUAAUUUCAGAAACCUCCUUUGAAGUUUUUGACAAUUUCACUUAGCUCCCCCCAAUUUUAGAAAAUCACACUAUCCUCCCUCGGUUCAAUAAAGUGACUACAAUGCCCUUUACUUAAUAGAUAAUUUACCACAUAUGUGGGUUACAAAAACCAAACCAAAAGUAAAAGAAAAUAUAAAAACCUGCAACAAUUCGUCAUCAUCCCUAAUCCUACUUUAACUAACAACAGUUUCUUUUCUCUUUCACUCACUUUUUUUCUAUUUCUUAUGAUUCUCUCCUUCCUACUUAUAACCCAACAAUCUCUUCCAUCCAUCAACUACACCACCAUGCAAACCUACUCGAAGUGUUUAUUUCUUGUCUAUUUCUCUCUUUCAUGGUACUUAACUAUUAGCCCCUUGUUUAUAACUUGCAUAUAUUAAAUAAUCAAAAUUUCCAAAAUAACAAAUUGAGGGAGCAAAUAAAAAUUUCAUGGUCAAAUUAGAUGGAGAUGAUGAAGAUGGUUGUGACAGAGAGGGAAAAAAUGAAAUUAAUGGGCUAUGGUUGGAAGAGAAAAAGGGAUGACUCUAGAUUAUGUUAUUAUGUCUAUUACGCACUAGAAUCUAAUAUCUGUAUUUAGUUUCAUUUUUGUUUGAUUUACAAGUAUUGGUGGUGGUUUGUUAUAAAGAUUAGUUUCUCUGUUUCUAAUGCCAUUGGAGUAUGGGUUUGCGCUUGGCAUAGACAUCACUAAAUUGGGAUUUUAGUGAUAUCAAAAUUGAUAGAAUUUGGGAAUUAAAUAGGAGUUUGCUUGAACGGUUGAUGAGAUUUUGGGCUUACAAUUAUCAUGGAAGCAUAGAAAAUUUGGAUAAAAGUAUUUGUUACUUUUUUUUGGUUAAAUUGAUCACUAAACCUUUUUUUCACUUUCUUUUGAUGUUAUGAUAUUGCAUAAGGGUAUUUUAGGAUACUUAAGUAUAAUUCUAGUCUAAUGGAUCUAUAAUGUUACCUAAAUAGUAAAAUCAAGGGAGGUUAGUGUAAUUUUCUAAAAUUGGGGGAGCUGAGUGAAAUUGUCAGAAACCUCAAGGAAGGUUUCUGAAAUUAUCCCUUGAUAAAAUGCUUUACUGUAUCCAACAGGUCCUGACUACAAUGUAUUUCUUUUUUCUAUUUGUUUUAAGUUGAUUGGAUUGUCAAUGGCGAAAUCAAAUGAGCAGUUAUUGGUCUGCGAAGAUUGAAAAACUUAGCCCAUCUUGACCUUUGCUUUCUAAUUUCCAAGCCGCAUAUAUGCAAGGACUUGCAAGUCUUCAGCAAAGAGCAAGAAAAGGGUUAUAACACAGGACCAAACUGGCUAUGAUUAUAUUCAUAUUUUUUUCUAAACAAUUUGUUGAUACUUCUAGCGCCAUAGCAAUUCGUGAAAUCUCUCCAUCACAGUGUCCAUUUCAUGUUUGUCUUUUUAGAAAAAGGGAUAAUUUCACAAACCUCCCCUGAGAUUUAUGACAGUUUCACUUGGUUCCCCUUAAGUUUUACAAAUUACACUAACCUCCCCUGUCACCAUAAAAUCACUAUAAUGACCUUCACUUAAUAAAUAAUUCAUAGUAUAAUGAAAUUAAAUUAAAAAAGAAAAAAAACAUGACCUCUUUAACUAUCCUAUUUACAAGUUACAGCUAACGAUGAUUGUCUCUCACUUACUAUCAUUCAAUUUUCAUCCAUCAACCUUUCCUCCUAUAAUUCGCUUUCAAAUUACUACCCUAUAAUUGUAGCCAAUCACACCACAAGUGAUCCCUCAAACUCUAUUAUAUAUUCUUAUUCCUCCUUUCUUCUCUUUGAAAUUGCCAAAUCACAAGUUUAAUCGAGGGAUUAGAUUUGAUGAUUAAAGUAAAAUCCAAUUUCAUGGACAAAUUAAAAGGAGAUGAAGAGGCACACAAUAAUAAUGGAACAAAUAAUGCAAUCAUUGGCCAAAAGAGGAAGAGGGAUUGAAAUUGGUAAAUUUGCUGAUUUGUCUAUUAUCUAUCCAAAAAAAUUUUUAAGAUGUUAAUAAGUACAUUCAUAUUUCUUUUUAUGCUUGACAAUUAUUGUUAUGGUUUGGCUAUCGAGAUAGAGUUUCUUAUCUGUAUUUAAGACGUUAACAUGCUUGAAGAUUUAGUGGUAGGCUAGAUUAUUUUGUUUUGAGAAGGUGUGGGCAUUGGGUUUGAUGUUUGGGGUGUGACUAGUUGUAAAUAGAUUUUGGUUUUUUUGGGAAAAUGAAUUUCUUAAAAAACUCUAUAGUUAUAAUGAUGUCUUUCCCUUUUUUUUAAACUUGAUUAAUUCCAUCCAUGUCUAAAUCUCCCUUAAAGAUUUUCUUCAAGGCCAUAAUUUGGUUCACAUAGUAGGCAUUAAGCCACUUAUAUGGAACCAAAUCAUGGCAUCCUAUGUUGAAAAUUAUGCAAAUAUAAGGGCAGUUGAUUGUGAGUUUGACCACUCCAUGGAAUCAUAUGGUGAGAAUAUUUCUGAAAAAUGGAACAAAUCUUCAGAAUUGAAUGCAUGCUUUAGGAGAAGCAAUUUUAUGACUAUGCUGAUGGAAUUGCUUGGGUUUAGAAUUUGAAAUUAGACUAUUUGUUAGAUUGGUUUGUUAGUACAGUGGGUUUAGUUGAAUUAUGAAACAAAGCAAUUGUCAAAAUAAAUUUUUUAAUUUUUGUACAAAAAGGGUAGUUUAGGAUUUUUGAGAAAAAAUUUAGGCUUUUGGGCCUAUAUUAUUAUAUAAAUAGUAAAAGUAAGGGAGGUAUGUGUAAUUUAAUAUACCUGAGGGGAGGUCUCUGUAAUUGCUAGAAACCUCAAGGGAGGUUUCUGAAAUUAUCCCCCAGAAAAAUAGUUUAUGGAACAUCCAGUAGCUCGUGUAAAAAAAAUUGAAAGAAAAAAAAAAACAAAUGCUGUGCAUGUCCCAAUGUCUUUGGCACCUUCUGAAAGUUUUCAAUAGCGGAUUUAAACUUAAGUCAAUUGUUAAAGUGUUAACGAACCAAUUAGAGGCUAGUCAGUUUGACCGAUACAAUUGUUAAAGUUUGGCCUUAUUUAGAAUUGUAGUGGCUUUAGAAAUUAAUUUGUUAUUGGAGCUUUUUUUUGGGGGGUCAUUGGAGCUUGCUGUAUAGGAACUUAAUUAUUGAAAUAAAGUGUUCAAACAUGUAGUAAAGACAUAAUUUAGUGAACUGGAGAGUGAAUUGAUAGUUGGAUUAGAUAUUGUUCAUAUGUGCAACUAGAUGUUAGUGUUCAGCUUACUAUUUGUGAUUAUGAGUUGCAAUUUUAGCGAAUUAUAAUGCCUUAAUUACAUAUUGCCCACUUGUAGUAAGCGGUCAAUAGUAGUUUACUCUCUAUUUACAUGAAAUACACAAAAUGCUUACUGUGACGGCCCCACCUCCCCCUAGGGCGUACCCCAGGGUUCGGCGGACCGCCUGCCCAACUCUCGUCAGGACUCACUCACUCGUAUCUUGAGAAAUUAACUGGCAUCCAUAGAAAAGUAAAUAACACGGAAAUUCAAGCUUAUAAUAUACAUUGAUGCCCAAACCAAGAUACAAAGCUUCUAUACACAAAAAUAUUUCAUAGCAGCUACACUUCAAGUACAAAUCACCCUAGUUGAGAUAUAGCGCGAGUACAAAUUCAAAAUUCAAAAUAACUAGACUACGCUAGCCUGUACACGUCUCACGCCUCGUUCGUACCCCCUGUAAUGAAAACAAAUGGCGUGGAAUGAGCUAAAAACCCAGUGAGAUUCCAAAUAACAAAUUGACCAUUUUUAAAAGUACGAAUAUCAACGUAGCAAAUUAAUGAGCAUCAAGAGUUCAUAAAAGUGAACAAUAAUACUUCAUGUAGCAAAUCUCAAAGUGAGCGAGUGUAAAAGUUUUUCAGAAGAAACAAUAAUCUAAUAAGCAAUAAUCAUUCCAAAGUAUAAGGAUACGGAUGGCUCUCAGAAGCCAAAUUCCCAUUGCAUCACCAGAGUUUGAUCGAGUAAUAGUUGACACUCCGUCAACCUUCAAGUAAGUAACCAAUCCAGUAGAGCACCACUUACACUACUCUCCGUCCACCAUUCACACCCCCUAUUGGGCCCAAAAUUCUCAAUAAACACUGGUGAUAAUAUUCGAAUAUACCGAUUAGUCGAGGAGAUAACACUCCACUCGACAUCACUAACUACCCAUGGUUCGUUAUCUAAUCGACCAAACCCUUGUCGGCUCGAUUCGAUUAACUAGCCAGUGGGGUUUGGGUUCCCAAGAUUGUUGAUGAGAUAAAAUCUCCAACCGAUUGAAUCAAAAUAAAAGUACGGAGACGGGAAUGAGAGGCACCUCCCACUCCAAUUGAGUGUGGUACAUACUGCUGCUCCGCACUUACAACUCAAGUACAAGUAUAUCAAGUUAAUUGCAGCAAUGAACAAGUAUAUAUCAUAUUAGGGCAAGUGCGAUAAAGUACACUCUUGUCCGAUCAAACAAAUGACAUAUCAUUAAAUCACAUUGGUCAAGUAUUGAAAACAAGUGUCUAGUUCAAUCAGGCAUUUGAAAGCACUCACCAAAAGUCUAGUGCCUUUUCAAAAAUCACGUUCCAGUCCAACUCUUUGGUUGGAGUCCGAAUUUGCGAUAAAAUAUCAUUUACGAAUGUAAACCUUUCUAGAGUUCAAAACAUAGGAGUUUCGCUUCAAGAAAAUUAAGUAAAUGCAACUCGGGAUGUAGUAUUCAAGAUACUUAUCAAAUCUCGAAAAAAAUUCAUGCUCGCUCGUUUAAUUUUGAUAAGGAAGCGGUUAAAACUUUAGAACUCCCAUUGGAAUCGAAAGAACAAGAAAAACAUAUUUCAAUUAGUCGUUAUUUCCAUUUUCCAAAGGGUACAAGGUUCGGCCGAAUUCCAACUUAUGUAUCUUGAUAAAAGAGGAUGCAAAUAUAUUAGAUGGUUCAAGUGGUAUUCGCCCUCAAGCCUUACUCAAGUCGCAAGUAUAUCUACCUAGUCCUCGAGCGUAAAUUUGGGCAGCACGCCCUUUGUAUUUACCUAUUUUCCAUCCAUUUAUGGUUUCAUUGUUUUCCUCAAUCAAUCCCAACAUUACACACAACAUAAAUGUAUUACAAUAGUCAUUCAAUAGGCUCAAUGUCAUAUGAUUACCAAACCAAGCUAGAAAAAUUGACCGGAAAUGAAGUUUAAGGCCUAAAAUCAAAGGCAGAUUUGACGUUGUUUUGCGUAACGGACACAACCGAAGCUACGCUUAUCGGAUUGAGGUGAAAUUUAUACCUUUUCGAAGCUAAGACAAAGGCCUACAACUUUGGUGAAGAUAGCUCAGUCCAGUUUGUAGGAUAUCUAGGUCAAAAGUCCGGAUUGCAAAACCAAAAUCUCACAUUUGGGCUAGUUAACCACACUAUGCGUAAAUGACAAUAACUUAGGCUACCAAAGUCUAAUUGAGUUGUUUUCAGUUGCGUUGGAAAGCUAAAACAUAGGUCUAAAAGUUUUAUGUUUUGGCCAAAGACUGGUUUGGAACAGAUCAAGAUGAAAAAAGCAGCCAACAUGAGAAAAUGUUAAAACUGUCUGCUGGACACUACCUAGGGCAGUCUCAGGGGUAUUUUUGUGUUUUCAUGAGCUACAGUGUUCAGAUUUGGCUGAAAUUUUGUAGGAAAUUAUAAAACAUCAUUUUCUACAACUUUUAUGUUUUAUACUAAGCCUGAUUCGGCCUCUAAGAUGGUGAACUAGAACCAGGCAGAACAGGGUGCAUACUAACUUCAAUUCUGGAAAUUUGCUACAAUCAAGAUAUAAAUCUCAUUUUUAGCUUGAACCCAUCACUACCACCUCUUAUACCAACUUAUAUACAUCAUAUACCACCCAUACAACAAGUAUGAUAAGUGAAUCAUUCAAACCCUAACUCAAAUUCAUCACCCCAACCAUCCAAAAUCACUUGAUAUAAGCAUUACAACCACAAAUACAAGCUACUAAGCAACUCCAACAUGAUUAAGGGAAAAGAAAAGAGUGGUCAGCCAUAUUACCUCAAAAACAAAGUUUUCUAGAGUUAUCCUCCACUUCUUCUCGAAAUUUUGGGUUCCUUAAGCUUCCCAAACUCUCAAACUAGUAAUUAAUCGGUUUAGUUUUUCUUGUUUUCACUCAAAUGAAUCAAACUCAAGAUGAAAUGGAGUUUCUUCCCCUUGCUUUUCUCUCUCUCUCUCUCUCGGCCAAGACAACCAGAAAAUGAUGAAGAAAUGGAGCCAAAUGAAGAUAAGAAGGCAAGACAAUUAGUUUGGUCAAAGGCCGUUAGAUGGCCAACAAGUGUCUCCACCAACUUCCACUCAUUUUUUUUCUCUCUCUUGGUCAAGAAUUUUGGCUGCCUUGACGGGCAUUUUGGGGUGAUUUUUGUUGAUAUCAAAAUAAGGAGAUGAAGGUAAUAAAGUAGUGUUCAAGUGGUAUGUUCAAUCGGUAGUGCGCGACACCCGUCGGUCCGAGCCGAUUUUCCUUAAAUCGCGUAUACUAGAGGUUUAACUUAUAAUUCACUAGUUUAUUAGUAUCACUUCUAAUCACACACUUAACAACACCUAAAACUCACUCUUAAUCACCAAAUUUUUAUCGCACUAGCGGGUCCCACGUCUAUAAUGCGUUUCAAAUUUAAUGUACACUAACUUAUACUAGGAAAAUGAUUUAAAACUAUACUCGCUUAUCAAAAUGCAUAGAAACUUUAAUAUUUUAAAGGCAAGUAUAAAAAUGUAGGCAAAAAUAAAAAUGCCUAGAAAAUGUGAAAAUUUUCGGGUUCUCACACUUACUAAUGACUAAUGCCAAACAUUUUAACUACUAGGAAAAUGCACCUGUAUUGCACGUGUUUGAUCAUACCAAAACUUGUCUUACUUUCAUCUAUAUUGUGAAAGACUCAACUCAGAUUUUGCUAAAAAAGCCUCUGAUUCAUUGCAUGCCAAACAUGGUAGUUUGAAGCAGCAACCAAGGCUCAUUAACCAACAAGCAAUGCAAAACCUGUAAUUAUGCUGUAUAAGUGGCUGUAAUUCAGUAGAACAAGGAGAAGUCACUUGAUAUGUCUUAGAUAGGAGCUAAAUGCUUCUCCAUUAAUCUUAGAGUUUCAGCCUUUAUUGUUAUUGCUAUUGUAGAAUCUUGAGAGCCCAAAGGGGUGAAUUCCAAUAUUCCUAACCAUUUUUUCAUUGGGUUAAUUAAGAUGCAUUCGAAAGAAUGAUGACAAGUCAACCUUUCGACUGCCCUUGGGAACGGUAAAUAUAUGACAUGCUCCUUGUAAUAUUAUAAAUCAGCAAUACCUGUCCCUUUUCUUUUGGUAUCAUCCCUUGCUUAGAGGCCCUUGAUUUGGUUUUUGAGCAUCACUGCUUGUAGGAUAAAAUGUCACAGUGGAAGUGAGAAGCAGAGUUAGUUAGAAAGGCUAUUUUCAUCUAGGCAUUCUAGCUGUAGAAAUGGCAAGCAAUACAAAUAACCUUAUUACCUAAUAAAUCUCAAUUGGAAGAAAUAUAUUUUGGCCUUAGAUAAGCAUGGAUGGCUUACUAACCAUUUUCUUGCGUGAUUUUACACCUUUAUGUCUCUACUGUGAAAUAAGAAACAUGGCUUAAAGUACUGAACUGUGUCCAGUUGUAAUUCUUUCAUUUGGUAGAACUGACUCCAAAACUAUCAAAGGCAUUCUUGGCUUUCUUUGUAUUUCAUCAGUACGAUGUUGGUUGUAGGGGGAUUGUGAAGAUUUGCGCCGAAGAUUUAAUGAUGUUUUACUUAAGAGGCCUAUGACCAGAAGAUUUUUUCUGCACUUUCUUUGUAAUGGUAGUGCUAUCCUUCCAUACUACUGCUGUUUAUAUUCACUGGAGAAAAAAAAACACGUACAUGUUAUAGGACAGAUGUCAUUUGAGUUGGAUAGCUUUUGAUACGUCUUUCUAUUUCUUAUCUUUUAGAUAAAAUAGCACAAAACAUUCUAUACAUUUCGCCAAAAAAUUUUUACAUCCUCAAAUUUAAAAUGCUAAUGUUAAAUUCCUUAAAAAAAUAAACCAGUCCAAUUUGGACCAAACCUCCAAUUCCAACCAUCUUUUGUCAUGAAACCACACUUCUGUUAGCAAUAAGUUAUCCAGAAGUCCUUUGAAGCCAUUUUGAAAACACCCAAUUUUUUUUUAUUCUCCCUCUGGCUUUAGAAUGAGUAUCUAUUCACUCUCAAACACAAAGGUUCAAAGUUCUUCACCAAAACAUGCUUCAUUUAUGCCGGAUUUUGCCAAAAUAAUCAAAUAACCAAUGUCUUUAGAUUACCUUAUUCUUUAUAGGCAAACCGAAAGAGCUUUAAUUAUAGAGGAAUAAGUUUUGGAUUAUUUGGUUGUCUGUUGAUUUUGUCAAAGCCCAAAACUUUGACUAUUGUGGCAAAAAUUUUAGUUCCACAUCGGUGGGAUUAGUUGUAGGUGCAAGGCUUGAGAGUUAUAAAUUAACUCUCAAGCCUUCCAAAUAAGAUGUACCAAAGAAAAAGAAAAAGAAUUCAUUUGUAAUUCUUUCUUCUUCCAAAAAUUAUUAAGAGCGGGUCGUUUAGGCGGUACUCGGAGAUUAGGCAAAAUUGGCCGAACUCCGUUAUCAAUUUUUCGAGUGCGUUCUUUCCUUAUCUCUUUUAUUUAUUUCGCAUUUAUUUAGAAGUUUCUUUUCUAUUGUAGUAUAGUAUUCAAUAUAUUUGUCGGGUUUAUUUGUAGUAUUUUAUACGGUUCAUUUGGGUGUAUUUUCUUAUUCGUGUGUACGUAUUAUUUAUGUAUACACGGGUUUAGUUAUGAUAAUACACCGUGCACGUAAAUUCUGUCUCGGAGACUGGGUUUUAAGUGGGAUCGCUUGUGACCCCUCCAGCCUUUUCUGAAAAUUUACUUGGAAUGGUAAUUCUGUCUAAGGAGAUUGUUUGACGAUCUUUCCUGAGAAUUACUGAAUCAGUUUAAUCAGUAGUUGAAUUUUUGAGUGGAAAAUUACCCGAUUUUCCCAACAAGUGGUAUCAGAGCCGAAGGUUCGUCCUUUGGCUUGUCUGUAAUUUGUUAUAUAUUGAAUACUAUCAUUUUGAGUCUGUAAUGGCAUCAAACGAUUCCAUGUCAAGAAUUACAUCUGGGGCAUCGGCUUCCUUGUCCACAUGGUCGAGGACUCCAAUGUCAAGUUCGAAGCUGGCGGUCGAGAUAUUUGACUGUACUGGUCAUUUUGGCAUGUGGCAAUGCGAGGUCAUAGACUCCCUUUUUCAACAGGGACUUGACAUUGCCAUCGAAGAAAAGAAACCAGAUGAUAUAGAAGAGAAAGAGUGGAGUAUCAUAAAUCAAUUGACAUGCGGAACUAUUCGAUCAUGUUUGUCCAGAGAGCAAAAGUAUGCUUUCAAGAACGAGACUUCUGCAUGGAAGUUGCGGAGGGCAUUAAAGGAGAAAUUUCUGAAGAAGAGUGGUCAGAAUAAACUCCUAAUGAAGAAAAGAUUGUUCCGAUUCAAUUACCAAUCAGGUACUACUAUGAAUGAACACAUCACUAUGUUUAAUCAGUUAGUAACAGAUCUGUUAAAUUUAGAUGUAAAAUUUGAAAAUGAAGAUUUGACUUUGAUAUUGUUGCCAUCCUUUCCUGAUGAAUUUGAACAUUUGGAAACUACGUUACUUCAUGGGAAGGAGAAUGUGUUUUUAGAUGUUGUAUGUUCUGCUUUGUAUAGUCAUGAAUUGAGAAAGAGAAUAAAAUGAAAAAUAAAGUAAUUACAGCAGAUGAAGCGUUAGUGGCAAGAGGUCGUCAACAAAUCCAAUCAAAGGGAAGAAGAGGAAAGUCCAAAUCGAAAAAUAGAGUUGCCAAAGAUGAGUGUGCUUUCUGUCGUGAGAAAAGGCACUAGAAGAAAGACAGUCCAAAGUUGAAGAAGAAAGGGAAAACUUCGCAAGAUGUAAAUGUUGCAGAGUGCAAAAGUGAUGCCGAAUCAGAUUUCUCUUUGGUUGUAUCACCUUCAAUAUCCUAUCCAGAUGAGUGAAUUUUGGAUUCAAAUUGUACCUACCAUAUGUCUCCCAUGCGGGAGUGCUUCUUUGAAUUUGAAGAACUUGAUGGUGGAGUUGUUUACAUGGGAAAUGACAAUCCUUGUAAAACAGUUGGGAUAGGUUCAAUCAAGUUGCGUAAUCACGAUGGAUCCACCAGAAUCUUGAAAGAUAUUCGGUACGUGCCGAAUUUGAAGAGGAAUCUCAUCUCCUUGGGGCUCUUGGAGUCAAAAGGCCUAGAAGCGAAGAUGCGAGAUGGAAUUCUUAAAGCAACUUCGGGAGCACUUGUGAUGUUGAAAGGUGUGAGAAAAAAUAAUGUGUAUUACUACCAAGGUAGUACAAUUGUUGGGACAACAGUAGCAGCAACAUCUUCCAGUAGCAAGAAGGACGCGGAGACAGCAAAGUUAUGGCACAUGCGAUUGGGACAUGCUGGUGAAAAAUUCUUGUAAAAUCUUGCCAAGUAAGGAUUGUUGAAAGGUACGAAAACUUGCAAAUUAGUAUUUUGUGAGUAUUGUAUUCUGGAAAAACAAAGAAGAGUGAAAUUUGGCACUGGCAUCCAUAAUAGCAAGGGUAUUUUGGAUUAUGUGCACUCAGAUGUGUGGGGACCUACCAAAACUCCAUUCCUUGGAGGCAGGUAUUAUUUUGUCACUUUUAUUGAUGAUUUUUCCAGAAGAGUUUGGGUGUUUACUAUGAAGAACAAGAAUGAAGUGCUAGGAAUUUUCCUUAAAUGGAAAGCUCAGGUUGAAAAUCAGACGGGAAGAAAGAUCAAGGUUCUCCGAACAGACAAUGGUGGAGAAUAUAAGAGUGAUUCCUUCCAGAAGAUAUGCCAAGAGUGUGGCAUAGUUCGACACUUCACAGUUAGAAGAACACCGCAGCAGAAUGGGGUAUCAGAGCGUAUGAACAAGACACUAGAGGAGAAAGUACGUUGCAUGCUGUCUAAUGCUGGGUUAGACAGAAAAUUUUGGGUUGAGGCUGUGACAUACGCUCAACAUCUCGUCAAUCACUUGUCAUCAUCUGCAAUCGGUAGCAAGACUCCAUUAGAGGUAUGGUUUGAAAAACCUGCAUCAGAUUAUGAUUCUUUGCAUAUUUUUUGUUCUACUGCAUAUUAUCAUGUAAAUGAAUCAAAAUUGGAUCCACGUGCAAAGAAGGCUCUCUUUAUGGGCUUUAAUACUGGAGUUAAGGGAUACCGUUUGUAGCGUCUAGAAGCAAAGAAAAUCAUUAUCAGCAGGGAUGUUACCUUUGAUAAAUCUGCCAUGUUGAAUAAGGUAACACAAGAUGAGACCAGUGGUACUCCGUAAUAGGUGGAGUGUACGCCGAAACAGGUAGAAUUUGAGCAAAUAGUGAGCCCAACAAAUAGCACCAUCAGUGACUCUCCCAUGGCAGAAGAGGAGUCAGAUGAGAAAGAGGUCUCAAUCCACGAACCUCAAUAGCAACAAGAGUCAAUUGUCGUUAAUAGGUCAAGACGAGAAAUUCAAAAACCUGCUCGUUUUGCUGACAUGGUGGCCUAUGCACUUCUAGUUGUUGAUGAUGUUCCAACCACCUUUUCUGAAGCAGUUCGAAGUACAGAAAAUGGUAGAUGGAAAGAUGCUAUGGAAGAAGAGAUGCAAUCUCUUCAGAAGAACAAGAUGUGAAAUUUGACGCAACUACCGAAGGGCAAGAAGGCAAUUGGAUGCAAAUGAAUAUUUGCAAAGAAAGAAAGAUUUCCUGACAAGAAUGAUGUUCAUUAUAAGGUAAGAUUGGUGGCUAAAGGCUACACUCAAAAGGAGGGAGUUGAUUAUAAUGAGGUAUUUUCUCCAAUUGUUAAACAUUCCUCUAUUAGAAUUUUGUUGGCCUUGGUAGCAUACUUGAAUUUGGAGCUAGCUCAACUUGAUGUGAAGACCGCGUUCCUUCAUGGUGACUUGAAGGAGGAAAUCUAUAUGUCUCAGUCAGAUGGAUUCAAAGUUGCUGGUAAAGAGAAUUGGGUUUGUAAGCUGAGCAAAUCGUUGUAUGGAUUGAAACAAUCACCGAGGCAAUGGUACAAGUGAUUUGACCAGUUCAUAAUGGGUCAGAAGUACACAAGAAGCAAAUACGAUCACUGUGUGUAUUUGCGAAAAUUACGAGAUGAUUCCUACAUCUACUUACUUUUGUACGUUGAUAAUAUGCUGAUAGCAUCAAAGAGCCAAGUUGAAAUUGACAAAAUGAAGGGUCAGUUGAGUAAAGAGUUCGAGAUGAAGGAUUUGGAAGAAGCCAAGAAGAUUCUCGGCAUGGAGAUAAGCAAGGAUAGAAUGAGAAGCAAGUUUUGUCUGACACAGAAGCAGUAUUUGAAAAAGGUACUACAACGAUUUGGUAUGAAUGGAGAUUCAAAACCUAUAAGUACUCCACUUGCUCCUCAUUUGAAACUUAGUAACAUAUUAUCUCCAAAGACGGAUGAAGAGCGAGCAUACAUGGCGAAAGUCCCGUAUGCUAAUGCAGUUGGUAGCUUGAUGUAUGCAAUGGUGUGUACUAGACUCGACAUUUCACAAGCAUUUGGUGUGGUAAGCAGAUUCAUGCAUGAUCCGGGCAAGGGUUAUUGGUAAGCUGUGAAAUAGAUUCUAUGGUAUAUCAAAAAUACUGUAGAUGUUGGAUUUGUUUUUGAACAGGAUAAAUCACUUGGUCAAUGUGUAGUUGGAUAUUGUGGUUCUGACUAUGCAGGUGAUUUGGAUAAGCGACGUUCUACAACUGGCUACUUGUUCAUGUUUGCUAAGGCGCCAGUUAGUUGGAAGUCUACUUUGCAGUCAACGGUGGCUUUGUCUACAACGGAGGCAGAGUAUAUGCCGAUUACAGAAGCUGUGAAGGAGACAAUUUGGCUUCAAGGAUUGCUUGAAGACUUGGGAGUUGGUCAAAAAUAUAUUGACGUGUUUUGUGACAGUCAGAGUGCUAUUCACUUAGCGAAGAACCAAGUCUUGCACGUAAGAACGAAGCACAUUGAUGUUCGCUAUCAUUUCGUGUAGGAAAUUCUCAAAGAAAAGGAGAUUUUUCUCCAGAAAAUUCAGACUACGGAGAAUCCUGCAGAUAUGGUGAUCAAGGUGGUUACAAGGUCCAAAUUUGAACAUUGUUUAGACUUGGUCAAUAUCCUGCAUAUUUGAGUUGGCGCCUGAGGGUGCAAAUUUGAAAGCACCGAAGGACCAUUUGUUAAUUUUUUUUGAAGGAGAAGAUUUGUAUUUUUGGUAGGACUAGAAAUUAUGUCAAGGUGGAGAUUUGUUGAUUUUGUCAAAACCCAAAACUUUGACUAUUGUGGCAAAAAUUUUAGUCCCACAUCGGUAGGAUUAGUUGUAGGUGCAAGGCUUGAGAGUUAUAAAUUAACCCUCAAGCCUUCCAAAUAAGAUGUACCAAAGAAAAGAAAAAGAAUUCAUUUGUAAUUCUUUCUUCUCCCAAAAAUUAUUAAGAGCGGGUCGCUUAGGCGGUGCUCGGAGAUUAGGCAAAAUUGACCGAACUCCGUUAUCAAUUUUUCGGGUGCAUUCUUUCCUUAUCUCUUUUAUUUAUUCCGCUUUUAUUUAGUAGUUUCUUUUGUAUUGUAGUAUAGUAUUCAAUAUAUUUGUCGGAUUUAUUUGUAAUUUUUUAUACGGUUCAUUUGGAUGUAUUUUCUUAUUCGUGUGUACAUUAUUUAUGUAUAUACGGGUCUAGUUGUAAUAAUACACCGUGCACGUAAAUUCUGUCUGGGAGACUGGAUUUUAACUGGGAUCACUUGUGAUCCCUUCAGCCUUUCUUGGGAAUUUACUUAGAAUGGUAAUUCUGUUUAAGGAGAUUGUUUAACGAUCUUUCUUGGAAAUUACUGAAUCGGUUUAAUCACUAGUUAAAUUUUUGAGUGGGAAAUUAACCGAUUUUCCCAACAGUCAACUCAUGUUCACAUGACAAAUCCUAUAACUUGCAUAAGAAACAAAAAAUCAAGAGGAGUAUUUUGACUCUUGGAAUAUAAUGAUUUUAAGUUAAUAUAAUUAUUUAUGUGAAUCGACAACUAUCUUAUUACAAUUUUAGUUGAUACCCAGUAGAGGUUCUGGAUUUGAAUUUCUCUUUCUCCUUCCUAUUUCUUAAAUCUCAACUCUCAGCUAAUAAAAAAUUUUUAAAAAAAUGUCUCAUAGUUAAUUCUAUAAACAAAUCAAAGUCACUGCCUUUAAUAUCAAUCCAAAAUAUUCCAAAUUCAUAAUAUGGGAUUUAAUUUUUAAUGACCUUCAAUUGAUUGGUUAUGGUUUGGAUAGGUUAAGUUAACUUGCUCAGAUAUAGAGUUAAGGCUAAAUUGUAAAACAAACACAGUUCUUCAAUUUUUUUUUCUUUUCUUUUCUAAGCAUGGGGCUAAAUUAUUGAAAGAAAUUAAAAGAUAGUAUGAAUUAAAAAAAAGUAAAAAAAUUGUACCAAUAUAAUUAAAAUCCAAGAUUUGUCUAGCAAUAGCUCAAAGUGUGAUAAAAUGUGUAUAUGAUUCGAAAACUACUUUUUUUGUGGAAGAUGAAUCCUAAAAUAAUAAUAGAAAUUUUUAUUAGAAAAUGAAAGAUAUAUUGAUAGAAAUGAAUGUAAUCGUGAUCUUUAGUUUUUGUGAAUGAUUAUGAGAGUAAGAUACGUUAUAAGAGUUAGAUACGUAGAAUUGUGGAAAUUAUAAUGCAAAUGGGCUUCUAAAUUUUGGAUAUGUAUUUUUCAUAGCAGUGAGUUCCUGAGUCAUGUGGUAAGUGUCAGACGUGGUUUACAAUUUGCAAUUGCGAUUUUGCAAAGGUCGUAAAUAUCUAUUAGUUAAAAUUAUGGAGUUAUGAUUUUGUAAGUUAGUGAGUCACUUAAAUUGGAAAAGUGAAAAGGGAUGCUGAGAAGGAAUAAGGAUUACUGAAUUAAAACAAAUCUAAAAUUGUGGAGGGUCAUUGUUAAAAAUUUUCCCUCCAAUACAUAUAGAUAUAGAUAUAGAUUUUCGGCUAAAAAUUCUCUGGAUUGAACUAAUUCUAAUAUGGGCUGGUUUAUGAAUAUCAUAUGGUUAACUUAGCAUUGUAGAGAUAAAAAUCAUCAACCUUAAACAAUCCCCGUAGAAAUCCUAAAUUUUCAAAAUCAAAAUAAAUUCUUUUUCACGGUAUACAUUUUAAGUGUCAAGCUUUGUAUAAUCUGAUUAUUAUGUCAAAGCAAGCACAUGAAGAAGGAAGAAAAAAGAGUCAAAUUCUCAAACCAAAAGGUCCAAAAUUCAUAAACAAGUAAUAUGCAUUUAACCAAGGUGCCAAUCAAACUAUUCAGUCAUGAAUAUAAUCGAUAGAUUAAAAUACAACAUUAAAUUAUUCAAGCAACAACAUAAGAGAGGUUUUGAAUCAUACAAGUUUUCACUUUAGAUAUGAUUGUGGUAUUCUGACCAAUCAGUCAGUGAUGGGUCUUCAUCUAGCAUUGCAGCCAGAAUUUUUAUUUUCCCCUAAGUUCUCUUUUUCAAUGACUUUUGCUCGAAUCUUAAUAAACUCCAAACUCUCUGUGUAAAUUGACUUCUAGUUUAAAUCAUCUAAGUCAUAAAAUGAGACUUUGUCUGAUUUAAUACAGUCCAAGUUUAGUUCACUAUUUGAUACAUUGACAUUUUUUAAGUUCUCUUUUCAAUGACUUUUACUAGGCUAAUUUCUCAAAAUAUACGUUAAAAGAAAAAUCCGUCAAAUGUAGCUCUGACGGGGAACUUUUCUCAAACUAUACCUGCCGUGCUGAGCAAAAAUAAAAUUUUUAAAUCGUUCCGGCACAAUUUUUAUUUUGGAAAAGUCAGCCGCUGCUGUGCUGACUCUAAUUUUUUUUUUUAAAUCUGUCUGUCCCCUACCGUGCCCAGUUAGCACAGCAAGGAGACAAGCGGUCAAAAAAAAAGAAGCCAGACGCCUUUGUCAGCCUUUGCAAAAAAAAGAAGCCAGGCACCUUUGUCAGCCAUUGUCAGGUGCCUGCAAAGGCUGACAAAGGCCGACAAAGGCCAUGUGACGAGCAUAGGUAUCGUACGCAAAUUAUUGCCUAAUUUCCACCGCUACCGUGUCCAAUCAGCACGGUAACGGUGAGAUUUUUGCAAAAAAAAUUCUAGCCGUUCAUCCUAUUCAUAUGAACGGCUAGAUUUGAUUAAAUUCGCUAUAUAAUGGUUUGUUAUGGCCAGUUUUGCUCGCUCACUCUCAUUUCUCAUUCUCCUCCGAAGCUACUCUCUCGCUUUCUCUCAGUCUCAAAUUUGAACUCCUUCUGGUUGGAUUCGAAAUCUAUGAAAUCGGCACCGAGGUUAGGCAGUUUUGCUGGAGGCUCAAAUGCGCAAGGCUUGAAAAUUUGUUGGCCGAAACUGUCUUUAAUAGAUUGGUAGUAGUAGAAAAUCUGUCGGCCAAUUUUGAUAGCUUGCAGAAAUUAUACUCAGACAGGCAGCUACAUUACCAGGUUAAUUGGUGCAGAAUAGUGAAAAUUGAUUGUCUGAUUAUAGUUAAAAUUUUAAUAAUUGGUUUUAAAAAAUUGAGGUUGAUUGGUGGAUAAUAAUAUUAAUUUGUACAGAAAAGUUGAUUUGCUACUAAAGUGAAAAUCGAGGGUUAACAUCAGGGACAAACUGUUGGUAUCGCCGUGUUACAUAAGACCGUCAUGCUAAUCCAUUGCGGUGCUGAUAAAGGCAGAAUUUUUUUAUAGUACAAUCGUAUUCGUACAGGUUAGUAAUUUAAAUUAUUAUUAUAUUAGUUAUUAAUUACAUUAUUUAUAUUAUGUUAAUUAAACAUGUAGCUUAUUUAUGUAUUUACAUGUUAUAUUAUACUGUCAUCAAAUGAUAUUAAUUAAACAUGUUUUCUACAUAGUGUGUUGUUGUUAUACUAUAUUAAUUAAUAGUUAAUGUAAAGUGUGAUAAAUUUAUUUAUAAUUUUAUAAUAUUGAAGUGCUAAAAAAGAGUUAACUAGUGUAUAUAGUGCUAUAGUGUUGUCGACUACGACUUAUAUAAAAUUAUAUAAUUUAUAUAGAAUUACUAUAUAAUAUAAUUCAUGUAGAAUUACUAGAACAAUUAAUUAAAAUUAUUGGUUUUUACAUGCAUAAAAUACAUUAAUUAACUAAACAUAAGAAACCUGCCCGUCAAUCGAAGUACGACCUUGUCGUGCUACGGGACAAAAAUUUUGCCUUUCACCAUACAUUAUUUAAUCAAUAAUUUAAUUCUUACCAAAAAUAGAAGUUGGACUACAUGUGGCUUUUUACAGCCCAAAUUCCAACAGGUUUAUCCGAUUGUAAAUAUUUUAACUCACGAUCAAUUGUCAUGACAAGUGACGAGAACAAUAAAAAAGAAAAAAGUUAUAAUCGGCAAAUAUCAAUAAAAAAAGUUUGGGGAAGAGAUUGAUAUAGAUGAAGAAUUCCUAUAUGUAGGACUUUUGUAAGAUAUCAUAUAUGUUGCGUGCGAGGUAAAAAUGUAGUUAAAAAACAUAUAGAAUGGAAGAUUCUUGGAAGAUGCAAAAAUGUUGUCUCGAAAAAAAUAAUGAUCCGAAUUGGUUGUGUUAUUACGUACGCCAAGCCAAAGUAAUUACAAUAAUUAAUUCCUGCUUAUUGGAAUACAUGAAUCCUUCUUUAAUUAACAACUAUUAUGCAUUUAAUAAUAGUUUAAUAAUAAUACAAAAUUUAAGUAAAAAACAAAUGGGAUAUUUACAAUACAAAAGGCAUCUGGGGACAUGAAUAAUGAGGUUAGGUUAAUGUAUUUAUUUUAAAAAUUAAUGAAAUGAAGUAUAUUUAGGAUUAUGGUUAAAAUUUAGUUUAAUUAGGUUAUUUUGAAAAUUAAAGUGAUGAAAUUUAUUUAGGAUGGCUGUAAAAUUCUAGUUUACUAAGAUUAUUAUAAAAAUUAUAUAAUCAACUAUUUUUUUAAGAUUAUAGAUAAAUGAAUAAAGAUAUAAUCAAUUUACUCGUUACUUGUGAUAAUGAUUACCAGUUAUAUUUGAUAAUUAUGUUCAAUAUUUUACGGUAACCAAGCAUGUAAAUAUAUAUGUUCAUUAAAAAGUUUAUAACACCUUGCUACUUAUAUGUAAAUUAGGCUUAAUAUGUCGAACUGUACAGGAGCGCAAAUAGUUGGUGAUUCGGAAGAUGCAAUGCUAAAUGGUGGCCGCCUAAAGAUGUCGUCUAUGUACAGACGGUUGACUACGCCAGUACCGCCGGAUGCACCCGAUUCGGCAGUAUGCUCACAUCUACAUAUUGAUUUUAUUGGGUGGUCUACUAUUCGGGGAUUCAUGCGGGAAUCUUGUUAGUCUGAAUUGGUUAGAUUAUGUUCGAGAAUUGGAAGCGAUAAGGGAGUACAGUUGGGGGUCAGCGACUCUAGUCUGUUUAUACUCACGUGUGUGUCACGCUUCGCGUGCUUCUACUACUACCACAGGUGGCCCUUAUCUAUUACUCCAAAUAUGGGCAUGGGAACGGAUUCCCAGCAUUCGACCGGGUAUGCAUCCAGCGCCUGAGACUGGUGAAUUUCCGAUAGUGGUAGAUGGGCAGCCGAAUGUACAGGGGUUGAUCCGCCGGGUAGGCGCAGCAAAUACUAUCAGGAGUAUAUUGCAUUGCUACGCAUGGAUGAGGUAAUAUACAUGUUAUAGCUUCGGUUAUUAUUUGCUAAUAUACACCAUUCUUUGCGAAAAUAAAUAAUUACUUUUUGUUAUGACAAUUCAUAUGGAUGCUGUACAGUGAUGAAAGAUUGGCCGCACUACCACGAUACUGCAGACACGGCGAGCGCAUUUCACGGGUCAGAGUUCCCCUCGUAUUUUGGUACAUUAUUGAGUUUCACUGUCCAGAUCGGGUCAUGCGUCAGUUUGGACUACUUCAAAAUAUUCCCGAAGUUGUUAACACAAAUCUGAACGGGGUUUAUCAGCUCAAUCUGUCUGGCUAUCCUGGAAGGAAUUGAGCCCAAUUUCAUAGGGGGUGGAAACAAUAUUAGAAUGCUCGCGCAAAUGCGGAGGUCACAGGUCAGUUUGCUAAUACAUUCAUGCCAUCAAAUGAUUACCUCAAAUGGUAUCACGAGCACACUGUUCUAUAUAUUUCGAACCCUAGUGACCAAAAUCCGUAGAUGGGCCAAAUGCUUCAGGGAGUCUCUGGACAAUUUGAGUAUAUGGUAUGCAUUUACUUGAGACUUCUGUCAUUGGGAACGUUUUUUAGCAUAGGUGCGUUAAACAAUUAUUCCUAACAACUGGCCUAAAAUUUUUUGUUACAUAUGGGUGCUAUGCAGCGUAUUGGUCAGCAGACACAGGAUGCUAUCAAUGUUGAUGAUAUCGGUGACAUUGCAUAUCCACGUCUGUUGACCAUCAUGGAUGGUGCAUAUGGUUCGAUGCAAUACCUCUGACGUUUUGAUCGUAUGGUUGUAGGACAAUCCGAUCUAUUCGAUUUUGGGCACCCUUCGGCAUCAAAUGUCCCAUUUCAGACUCCAGGUCGACGAGUUCCAUCUCAAACAGGACCUUCGUCUAGUCGUGGUAGACAUAGGAGACAUGGUCAGCACGAUGGAUCAACCGUUGCUGAACCUAGCGUUCAAGUCACUGGAAUGGAUACUCAUCAUCUGCACACGUCUCCGGUUCAGCAAUUCACCACAUUCGAAUUUUCACCAAUGCCGGGUGUAGAUGCAGGGAUGGCUGCACACUUUCAUGUAUCUGGGGACAUGUUUAUUCCACCGCCGGCGUCGAUGACCAUUGGUGCACAAGCAACACCGUUGCAACAAUUUCAUCCAUUUGCUGCACCACCAACGCCAGUUGUAGACAUGCAUGGAUUUGAUCCACAAUUUCCUUCUUCAUCACAGUUACCUCCAUAUGAGCAUGUCCCCAUGACAGGAGACUUUUCUUCCCCUGCGGCAUUACACCUUAUAUUUACUUUUCUUAGUGGAACGGGAGGUAUUUCUUCAUCGUUGGAGCUUCCUGAUUAUUACAGUUUCGGACUGCCAUCGCUUUUUCCAUCUACCGGCCAACCAAGUUAUGCAUCCAAUCAUGUAUCGACAGGAGAUUUUGUCACCUAUCGUUCCACGAACGAUUCUGAGAGCAGCGAUACUUCCAAUGCGUUUCCAGGGAGGAUCCGCCGUUCCGUGAUUAUCCGAAUCAUCCUAGUGUCGUUCUUGACAAGCGUCAAAUACGACGACCGAAGAGAUUUUGCUGCCCUUCCACAAUGCUGCAAAAUGUUGGUAAGGGUAAGGGCAAGAGUUAAGGCAACAUGCGCGCUAAGCAUUGACUUUGUAAAUAAUGACUGUGCUAGGUAGUUAUCUAAUGAAUGCUACUUUCCUUAACUUUAAACUUCAUCUACGUUUAAUUUCAUUUCCAUCUCAAACCCUAAUUACUUAAAUCCUAAACCCUAAAUACAAAAGUGCAACCCUAAAUACUUUAUUCGAUGUCAUUAAAAAGAAACCCACUAACGUUGCAAAGCAAAUAAUAAACUAAUGUUACAAACAUAAAUGGCGGAUUAAAGAGUUUAGGACAAUCUUAAUGACAAAGGCAACAAAGAUUCAUGGGGGCUAAAGUUAAAAAAUAAAAAAUUAUGGGUAAAAAUAUAAAUUUUAAAAUCUAAGGGCCCAAAUGCAAAUUCUGUAAAAAUCACUUUUUUUUACUAACCUUUUAUUCAUUUGCUACUCAAAUUUAGGCUAAUUGGACUACCAAAGUGAUUUACAAAUCUACAAACAAAAGAUUAUUCAUACUAGUUUCUAAAGUUGUUAAAUUAAAAUCCUAAACUUAAUAAAUUUACUUAAACCCCAAUUUAUACCUGAAAAGUCAGAAUUAAUUCACCAAAAUACACAUUAACAUCAUAAAGAUAGGCUAGGACUCCACAAAUGAGAAAUUAUAUCCAUUUUUUGCAAAUCUUGAGGCCCUAGCAUAAUUAUGCAAAAGUUAGGGGACAAAUUAUAAAUAUAUUUUAUGGACUUAGAUGAAAAUCAUUGAACAUAAGAACACAAUCAAAUUUUCAGAAAAUUAAAGAAUGCCUAAAACACAUAAAAUAUCUAAAACUACAUAUUAAAAGAAAAACAAAGGAAAGAUAAAAACAAAAGCUUGGUCCAUAUUCCUUAACCCAACCGAGUUCCAUAACAAAUUUGGACAUUUGGCUGAGGCGUCUGAUCCAAACAGAAAUUACCUACAUGAGUCUAAUACAAUGAAUGUAAGCCCAAAUGAAAUAUACGAGUAAGUCCAACUCAAAACUAAAGUAAUUAAAUUUAAAACCUAAACAAGGCUAUGCUCUACCCACUGAUGAAGGCCAAAUAUUAGUCCAUGAAUAACUCCCAAAUUUAAGCCCAAUAGAAUUUUUUUUGUUAUUUUCUAAGAAACUAGCCCCUAAGUCAGAGUAUUUUUAAAAAUAUAUACAUUGAUUACUUUAAGUAUACACAAAACAAAAGAAAGGAAAACCCCUUGUCGUAAUUUGAUAAUGGUUUAUUGAUUUACAGAUAAAAUUAGACAACAAUUAGCGUUAGCCUUGUUAUUAAUUUGAAAUACUAAACCCUAAAACCCUAAACCCUAAACUCUAAAACCCUAAACCCUAAAACCCUAACUUUAAAACCUUAACGCAAAAACCCUAACCCAAAAAUCCUAAACCCUAACUUUAAAAACCAAUUUCCGUAAAAACUUUUUUUUUGCCACAGUCAGCACGGCAGCGGCCUGCAAAACUGCUGCUACGUCUGGAAGUGUCAGCCGCUACCGUGCUGACUGUGCACGGCAGCGGCUGACACCUUCUGACCAGCACUGAAAUUUUUGCUGAGCUUCUGACCGGCUGACAGCUUCUGAUUGGGAAGGAAAAAUUCAUUUUGGCAGGUAUAGUUUGAGAAAUACCCCCUGUCAGAGCUUCAUUUGGCGGAUGUUUUUUUUUUAUACGUAUAUUCUAAGCAAUUAACCUUUUUAUUGGGAUCUUAAUGGAUUCCAAACUGCCUAUGUAAUUUGACUUCUAGUUUCAAUCAUCUUGUUAUAAAACAAUAGCUUGUCUCCGAUUUAGGGCUCGUUUGGAAUUGCGGUAAUUUAUUGAAAAGUAUUUCCCUAGCAGAUCUUUAAUAAAAGUACUUGUCAACUGUUUAAAAUAUUUUAAAUAUAUUGUUUGGAGACAUAGUUCAAUAAGUACCGAUUAUAUUGGAUAAUAUAUAAUUUGAAAAUUUUUAAAAGUGUUUAUCUCUUUAUUUGGUUUAUAACAUAGAAUAAGAUGAUUAAAUUUGAUAUUUUAUUUUUUAAAUCACAAAAGCUACUCUAAAAGUACCAAAUUUGAGUUUUUGGUAAAAAAAUUUUAACACAAAAAUCUUUACUCCUAAUUUUAUGGGAUGAUAUUCACCAAACAAUUUAAAAAUACUUUUAACAUCUAAAAGUACUUUUUUACCAAAAGUAUCGCAACCCCAAACGGGCCCUUAAUAGAGUCCAAAUUUAGUUCAACUUCUUAUCAUGAUGCAAUUAGUGAGUGGAAAAAUUCGGCCAUUAUUUGAUACGUUAACAUUUCUAAUUAAGAAUUUUUAGUUUGAUAGGAGACGGGGAGUAAAAUUGUAGGAGUCCUUUAUAAGUAAAAUUGUAAGAGUCCUUUAUAGAGUAAUGAGUAGGGACUAAACGAUAAAUCAUCCAAGAGACUUUCUAGAGUGUGUGUGUGUAUAUAAUAUAUAUAGAGAGAGAGAGAGAUUGGUCGAUGGUCACAAAUAUGCCCCUGCAAUCAUAUAAGUUUUAUCUUUUAAGUUUAUUCUCAUUUUUCUUUUUUUUUUCUUUUCUUUCUUUCUGUUUUGACCCUUUUCUUUCUUCAUCCUUUAAUGUCGUAAUGCUUUUUAUUUUCUCUUAAUAUGUGUAUAUUCAAAAUAAAACUUUUGAUUGGCUAUAGCUCAUUCAAUUUGUUGUCUGCUCCGGUUUUUAUUUCUUUCUACAAAACGCCAAAACCAAAGAUAGAGAGUUUGUAUGGAGAAGAGAUCAACAGAGGAGGCAUAAAAGGGGACAAAAUUUUAACAUUUUUUCGGCUAUAAUCACAUAAGACUGUGAACUUUUGUUAAGAAUAUUUCUACGAUAUUUUCAAGGUCUAAAUUUUUCCUUGGAAGCCCUAUGUCUAGACAUGGGAUGGGUGUAGACUUUGUAUCUCUAAAUAUUGGUUUCAACUUAAUUGAUAAUAUCUUUUAGGACUUUAUAAUUUCUAGAAUUAUUUGUCUGGAGAAAUAGAAUUUCAUGGCACACAAUUUCACUUGAAGACAGGCCGUUUGUACAAAAUUAAAAGACAAAUAAUUAAUGGUUGUGUUUAGUCAUCCAACUUGUGACUUGGGAAAUAAGUUAGUGUCUAAAUUGUGCCGUACAACUUGAUGAGAUGGUGUGAAACAAUUUUAACCAUUGAAUUUUAAAAAACCAGUGAUGAUGAUAAUGACCUGAUGAAGAUCAAAUUCAGUUGUUGAUGCUGUUGUGGUCCUUGUGGGUUUCAAUUAAUUGGAUCAUUUGUUUAGUUCAUUGGGCUGAGGUAUUAUAACAAACUCUUGGGUUGUUUUUGUUGGACUGGUCCAAGUUUUAAUGGCCUUUCACAAUUAUUUUUUGCUUUUGGGAUACAAAUUCAAUGUAUGCCAAAAUUUAAAAGGGCCAUCUGAAAUUAUUUUUGGGAUUAUUUGGGGCUAAUAUAAUUAGUGGGCCGAAUGGUGCAGUUAACGGUUAAAAAAAAGAAAGGGAAACUGACUUUCUGGGCCUGUGCAUGUAGGGCUUUUGUUCUUAUAGUGGACAUUUUGUUUGUUCUGUAAUUGAACUUUUGGAUCAUAAAGCCCAACUUGAAAAUUCCCAGCUAAUCAAAUAUGUUUAGAAACCGAAAUAUGUUUAAAAAUACCCAAUUUAGAGCUGUAUACAUCCAAGAACUUAUUUAAAGGCUCGAUUUUAUUAUAACAACCAAAAUUUUAACAAAUGAACUCAACAACACUAUUAAAAGUCCAAGUUUGCUUAUAUCCAAAUUAAAUAAAAAGAAGCCUUUUUUAAAGAGUAGGCUUAACUCUAAGGUUAAACCCAAAUUCAAAUCCAACUCGAACCAAUAUGUUCCAAUUUAUAUCCAAAUAGAAACUUUUUUUUAUAGAUAAUUGGAUUAAAAUACUUUCUAAAAAGAGAGGUCUUUUCAAAAGGGGAAACUUUUCAAAAUGGAAAACUUUCGGAAUAGGGAAAUCUUCAUUUCUUUUCUUUUCUUAGAACCCUUUUCAGUUACUUGUUAUAAAAGGUUGACAUGUUUUAUAGGAUUAUUUAAGAUAAAAAUAAGUAAAUGAAAUAGCAUAUAUGAACUAAUUAAGUCAUAUAUAUUAUUGGCUAUAAGUUGGAAGCAAGAUUGCAUAUCUUUAGAAGAUAAAUGAAGAGGUAAAUAGAUUGGCGAUCGCGUUCUAAGAAUUAUACAGUAAGGUGUUUAAUAGGUGUGUUAAAUGAAGAGUUUGAAAUUCUUAAGUUAGGGUUGUAUAAAUUAGUAAUGAUAAUUUGAAAUAUUUGUAGAUUUUAAUUUUAGUGACAUUAUCAUUUUAAAGUAAUUGUAAAUUUUAGUGAAUUUUUGUAAGUUAUAAUCAAGAUGUCUAGUUUUCACGAGAAUACAGUCUCACGGGUACGCCAUGUGAUGUUGCAAAUUUAGUCCAUGGACCCAAAUUUGGAGUGAAGCGUCUUCACAGACUAGUAAGUGAGCAUUGGUUUCUCCAUAAACAUUCCAAUUGACUUCAGAAAAGGAAAAAAUAAAAAAGAGGAAAAGAAAGAAAGAAACAUGUGCUUAUAUAUAUACAUACAUAUAUACAUAUAUAAUUCUACAGUCUCUACAAUUCUGAAUAAGGCCCAACAAAGAGACUUACAAUAUCAUCAAGGCAGGAAAUGUAGGGACUUAGUAAAAAACAAGAACAAGAUGGGCAGAAUGAGAUCCCGUGAUUAGUUUCCUCUACAAAUCUGCAGUUGAGCCUACGUGCCAACAAAUAUUUUACCUGAAAAAGAAAAAUAAAAUAAGUAGAUAGAGUAAGAUUUUGAACUUAAAAAACACGAAACUUCAUUUGUACAGGAAAAAAAGUGAAAAUCAGUAAGAAAACUGAACAAUAAAUAAAAGUGAAAAUCAGGAACUCUAAAUCUCUGAAUACCUGAUGCCAUCACUGCCUAUUCUCACAAGGGGAAUCUCUUCAAUCACGGGCCAGUAGUCUCCUCUAUCCAUCAAACACCUUUUCUCAAGAAGUGGGCAUUGAUAAAUUAGUAGAGUUUGAAGCGGAUUACGCAGCGAUUCCUUUGGUAGGGAUCCAAGCUUGGGGCAGUUAAAGAUAUGCAGAUAUUGAAGAGCUGUAAGACCUCGCAAGAACGUGGAGAGCGAUUUCAGAUUUGGUAAGUCACCAAUGGCGACGGACCUAAGAGUUGGAGGAAGCAAAGCCAAUCCAUCAUCGCCACUACCAGAAAAUGAUUCCAGCUCUGGAUAUCCACUGCAGAUGCUGAAACUUUCAAGAUACGUGAGUCUGUUGAGUCCCCAUUCUGACAGGGGCUUCAGCUGUAAGUUUUCUCCUGCCCCUAUGUGAAGAAACUUCAGACUGGGAGGAAAAUCUCCUUGUGGAAAUAGAGAUCUUAGUCUUCCCAACCCACUGGGCAAGUAACUAACAUUUUUGCAUCUGUCCAAGGAAAGAUAUUCCGAACUUGGACUGGGCAAUUGAUCCAGAUGAUGAUCACAAUCGCUGAUAUACAAAGACCGGAGACUUGCAAAACAAUAGACUGAACCAAGCAUUGUCCUCAAAUUCAGAUAUGGGCAACCAACGAUUUCCAGUCUCUCAAUCGAUGUGCUGGUGUCCUCAAUGACAAUCUCUGGAGUAAGGUUCAGUUUCUGGCACUGCCAGAUCUCAAGAUUCCUAAGCUGAGGGAGGAGCAACUUCUCCAUUGGCAAGCAACUGAGGGCUGAGCAUCUGCUUAUUUGCAAUGUGUUAAGACCAGAUAAUGUAGGCAAAGACUGGAGAGCACUGCAACCUUUUAUCUCAAGAUAUUUGAGCGUUGGUAAGACACCAAGCUCCUCCAAGGAUGAAAGCUGUGAACAUUCUGAAACAACUAAAGAUUUUAGCUGCACAACGUUUAUAGUGUUACUUGAGCCCCACAGAUUUUUCAGUUGACGGCAUUCAUGUAAUGUGAUAUCUUCAAGGCCUGAUGGAAACUGCUUGAACACAUCCUCGAGGGAUGCGAGCCCUAUAAUCUGCCGAAACUCCAAUUUGUAUAAUGAGGUCAAAUUGUGAAAACAUUUCGCAAUUCCCAGCGAGCACUGUUUUAACUUUAGUUCAGAGAGUGAAGGAAGAUGCAAAACAGGAAUGCUUUUCAACUCUGGGCAGCAACUUAUACAGAGCUUUCGGAGCAGAGGGAAGUGGCAUUCGUUCUCUCCUGCUGAACUUAAGCAAGUCCAUUCCUCCCAUUGUGGCAUGUCAUUAAAUGUUAGACUUUCAAGCGAUGGAAAGGAAAAUUCCCAAGAGCAAUCUUUGCCACAAAACUCCGUACCUACUGCCUUCACCCCAAGCAUGCUUUGAAUGCUCAAAUCCUUGAGCGCAGGCAAUUGCCCGAGUGAUGGUAAACACUUGCAGUAUGUACAACCUCUAAGGCUUACUUUUACUAAUUUAGUAAAUGAAGAAUCCCCCACCCAGGAAGAGAAUUUGUCUCCCCUAUAGAACUCAAUUUCAAGACUCGUUAGGUUUGUGUAUGGUCGUAGCGCCUCAAGCAAAUCUUGUUGAAGAACUUUACUCAGAGAAUCAUCAUAUUCACUAUUCCAUGCCAAUACUAUGUUAUCAAGGUCCCUCUUGUUCUUCAAGUUGGCAUCCCGUGCUUCUUGAACAUUCGUAACAUUUUGCAACUCCAGAAUGGCGAGUGACCCUGCCAGUAAGGACAAGUUCCCCAAGUCAUUCAGCCUGAACCCACCAUGUUUGCUCACAACCACUUUGGAUAGUGUCUGCAAGCUCGUCAACUGAUCAAUCCCUGAAGGCAUCUUACACAAUUGACUAGUAUUGGAAUUUUCAAGAUGGCGCAGGUUAAUUAAUUUUCUAAUACCUACCGGUAAGUUAAUCAGCUCCCUGCAGUUGCUCAAACGUAGUGUUUGUAAAUUGCAAAGAUUACUCAAUGAUUCAGGCAACAAUUUCAGCCAAGUACCAGACAAAUUCAGGUACCUUAGAUGUAUUAAUUCACCGAUGGAAUUUGGUAGAUCAGAGAUAGCAUAGCCACUGAAUGAUAGCACCCUUGAGUAUCGCAAUUCCAGCAAAAGUUCUGCUACGACCUUUUUAGCGAUGUAAAACGGCAAGCCUUCAUACUUGACAAAAAUGGGCAAUGGUAGGAAACUUCGCAAAUGUUUUGCUUUCUGAAGAGUUUUAAACUUUUGUGUAGCUCCAUACCCUGAACUUGUGAAUGAUGCGUACCUAACCUUGUCAAGGAUCGUGCAUUUGAUGUUCUCUUCCAAGUCGUCUGUCAGUCUGGAACAAAAAUCUCCAGCAACAUAUCUGGCUAGAUCGUUAAUAAGGUCAUGCAUCACAAAACGUGAACUAGUGGAACUAGACUGCUGGAAGAAGGACCUCAUUAGUAGCUCCUUAAAAUAAUUGUCCCCUAUGUCCUCCAUAAGUUCGCUUGCUUUUGACUCCUCGAUAAAACCCUCUGCCAUCCAGAGCAAUACAAGCUCAUAUUUGUCAAACUCAUAGUCCUUGGGAAAUAUGGAGCAGUAAGCAAAGCACGGUUUUAGGUGGGCAGGAAGAUGAUAAUAGCUUAAUCUUAGUGCUGGAAGAAUGUCACUUUGAUCCUCUUUUAUUUCCCAUAUCUCACUGUUCAGUAUAUCCGUCCAUUCAUCUGGGGUCGAUCUAGCACGCAACAACCCUCCAAGAGUCUUCACGGCCAAGGGCAAGUUCUUACAUUUCCUUACAAUACUCCUACCAAUGCCUUCUAGAUUGGGGUACCUGUCAAAAUUUGUCCUUCCCAGUGCAUGUCUUGCCAGUAAGCAUAAGCUGUCAUCAUCUGUCAACUCCUUCAGACUAUAUCCAGCAGUGGAAGACACUACUGAUGCCACCCUAUGAUUCCGAGUGGUGACAAUUAUCUUGCUCCCAGAUGAACCAACUAGAAAUGGGCGGCACAGGAUGUCCCAGUCCUCAUAUUUUUCAUUCCAAACAUCAUCUAAAACAAUUAGAAACCUCUUCCUGGUCAAGGCCUCACUCAGUUUCACUUGAACCAUAUUCAGAUCCUCAUAAUCACAGCCACCCGCUGUGAUUGCUUUAAGGAUUGUCUUUGUUACCCCAAAAAUGUCAAAAUCAUCUGAAACACAAGCCCAAGCCUUGGAAUCGAAAAAUUUGUUGACUCUGUCAUCAUUGUACACCAUUUGAGCAAGAGUUGUUUUACCAAUCCCUCCCAUGCCAACAAUUGGUAUCACAACCACUUUAUCAUCACUCGAUUCAUUUGAAAGGAGCAAUUUGAGCAGCUCUUCUUUGUCAUUCUCUCGACCAUAAACAUAAGACUCCACUAAGGAAGUUGAUGGCAAUCUAUCCCUAGUUUUGUUCGGCCUCUUUGCUACAGUCUCUACCAAAUGGAGGAUAUUGAUUUGUUCUUUCAGGCUCUCCAAUCUUCUAGUUAUUUCAUCCACCUUGGGAGCCAUAUUUCUGUUGAACUUAUAAUCUUUAACAGAAAAUUUUGUACAACAGGAAGGGAUUUUAACCUUUCUUACCUUGCUAGUAGAGCCUUGAGCUUCCAGCAACCUUCUUCGACAAGCUUCUGUGGAGAAUUCGUCAAUCACAUCAUCCAUAUCAUAUGCCAAAUCCUGAAGAUCAUCUAGCCACUGCUUCACAGCAAUCCUCAUAUUCUGCUUGUCCUCUGCAUCAUCAAGCACUACCUGAAUCAGGGAUAGCACUUGGCUCCAUCGUUUCAGCUGAGUAUCUAAGCCUUCUGAGCGCGCAAGUUUCUUCAAAUCAACAGAAGCAAGCUUGUCAAAUAUCACCUUGAUGAUUGCACCAAGAAAGACUUCUAUCAGUGCCAUUUUGUUAUCUAAUCUUUGUUUCCUUUUUUUUUCGGGAUUAUCUUUUGUAAGUAAGCAACAAGAAAAAUAAAACUUAUGAAAACUCAAAAGGGGAGAUAAGAUUGAAAGGUAGAAAAAAAGCAGUUUCUUCACCAGAAAUGGAUCAGUGCCAAAUACUUGCCCCAGUGAUUUUUGAACUGGUGAGGAAAAAGUUUCUAAAAGCACGUCAUCAAUUUUUAAAUUAGCUCAAAUAAGAUAAGCUUUUAUAUGUUGAAGUUGACCAACAUGCUUAAUUAUUUUAUGUCAAUUUGUGUAAUUUGAUUGUAUUCCAAGACAUCAAAUUAAUUAAUUAUCUAUAACAUGAAAUCAUACUAAAUACAGUUUCUCCUUUUGCUACUUCUUUUUUUUUUUUUUUUUGGAUUUUGAAAAUUGAUCUCUCCUAAUAUCUGACAGAUUUUGAAGUAUGAUUCUGAUGUAACUAUUUGCCAUUCAACAGGAUAGGUGAUUAAGUACAUCAGAUUUACCUGUUAGCCAUGAAUUGUAAAACAGAACGUAUGAAAUAAAUUUUAAGAGAGAGAGAGAGAGCUUGUAACGAUGAUAACUAUAAUUAUUCGUCUCACAGAAAUAUCAAAUAAUAUUGGAAGUUGACUUGACUAUGCUAAUGGGUAAUGUACCUAUCUAAUUUGUUUUGCUGCAAGUUUUUUUUUUAUUUUAUUUUGGGUGGGUGGGAGGGGAGGGGAGUUCUUCUUGGGUUUAAUCAACAAGUAAAGAAAAGCUGGCAGUGUUGCUUAAGACAAUUGAAGUUGCGGGGGAGGUUGUUAAGACAAUUUGAUUUUUAAACCAACCUUCCACACAAACUAAAACCAGAAGCUCCAUACGAAGUUAAUUUAAAGAUCUUCUUGCCUUCGAUCUAAGGGAUGGGAAUGGAACUUGUGGUAGACAGAACAUAUUAGUUGCCGCACAUCAUGCCAUCUACUAUGAUAUUCCACAUCGAAACUCUCGAAAGAGGAAAGUAAAGAUAUAUAACGGUUGGCCCGUUGAAUAAUUAAUAACAUUGGGUUAAUUUAGUGACAGGUUGUCAGCCUGUGCAAUAAUAAAAACCUGCUCAAACUAAAAGUAAUUUCUGUAGAUAGUGGUGAACAUGGUCGAAUCCACAGGGGGACUGGGAGUAAUUGUUUCUUUUCAAAUUCACAGUAACCAGGGGGUGUUUUUGUGCAGAGAGUGACAAUCAAAUAAAUGCAAAUAAAAUCCAAGGAACUACUAAAAAUUAAAUAAUAAUUUACUAAACUCAAAUGAAUGAUAACUAAGGUUCUAGCCAAGAAAUAACUUCAACAAUGGUUCACCUAAUUGAUCAUCGAUGCAAAGCCAAUUCCAAUUAGUUACUAAUAAAUAUGUUAUAACUGCCUAACAAGCGAUGACAGUCAAUCCCUCCUUACUGUGUCGGUGAUUAAGAUACGCCCGUUAAUCACUGCCCUAAUUGGAGAAUAAUUCUAGGUACGCCCGUAAGAUAUAAUUCCCCAAUUGCUUUACGUAUUAGAGGAGCCCUAUUCUAACCAAAUAAUACACUACCAGGGUUAUUUUAGGUUAGCCCGCAUAUUUCCCUGACACAAAUCCAAUCAUACCAGUUGUCACUAUUUUGAGACAAUUAAACAAUUACGGAUUUAACGUCCCAAUUGACAAUAGAUUAUCAAAUUAACUAAUUAUCCGGAUCCAAGACAAUCAAUUAAUUAAACAAUCAUAAGCACUGCAACUAACGAAUAUGCGAAUACCAAUAAAUAAAGGAAAAGAUAAAAUUAAAUCGAUCUCACAAUUUUUUAGGCGAACCAGAGCCUCCGUUGUCUCUUGACUAGAGUGGAAAAAAUUAGCUCAUGAUUGAUGAACAAAACCCACAGGAAAUUGGAGAGAAAAAUGCAACCAUCAAUUGGAAAAUGGGUAAACUUGAUUCGAUGGAGUGCUGACUAGAAAGAAAAGCUACAGGAAGUACUUAAUUGUUUUGCCUCUCCUAACAUACGAGGAAGAGACACUACUCAAAGCUAAAGAAAAAGACAAGUCCCCCAAAAAGCUAAGCUAAAAGAUGAAAACCACUAAGAAGAAAUAUAAGUCCAGUUCUCUGCUCUCCUUGUGCGGCGGCCCAGCACCAAGAAGAAGCCCUCAAGCCGUCCUUCCUUCGCAGAAUUUACCAAAAUGGGCGUUACAUCUUCUUUUUCAAAAAUGCCCCUCGGACAAGCUUUAUCAUUUGGAUUCCUUUUCUGCCAAAGUGGCACCUGUUAUCAUAUUUUCGUUCUAUUCACUGAAAUAAAUGCAAAAUACUAAAAGUGAGUAGAAUCCAACAAUUAAUCCAUAUCGGGUCAAGUAAUAGGGGAAAUUAAUAAUAAAAUAAAGGAGAAAAUUGCAACCUAUCAUUUAGCUUUUAUUGGGCCAGUCCAGCAGGCACGGACCAUUACAAAUGGUAUUAGAGCGAAUCUCGUAUGGUCUCUAUGUAAGGUGAGCCUAGGUCAAGUGGUGUGGUUCCAACUAACAACUAAGAGUUUUAGUUUGAAAUCUAAAGUUUGAAUCCAUUAAACUAUUGAAUUGUUAAGUAUUAAAUAUAAUACAUUUGAGUACAUAUCAUAUGAGAACCCAAAAAUUUUCACAUUUUCUCAACAUUAUUUUAUUUCUUUGCCUACAUUUUAUACUUUCCUUGGAAAUAUUAAAAUUUCUAUGCAUUUUUACAAGCAAGUGCAAUUUUAAAAUUAUUUUCCUAAUAUGAAUUAGUGUACGUUAAUUUGAAGUGCGUUAUAGAUGUGGGACCCGCUAGUGUGAUAUAAUUUUGGUGACUAAGUGAUUUUUGUGCUAAGUGUUAUUAUUAUACAAGGUGCUAGAGGAUAAUUAGAGAUUUGUUAUAUGAUGUAACCAUUGGAAGCCAAAGGAUUAGAGAAAACAAUAGAAGGGCCAAGUGGUGCAAACCCAUUGGAGGUUGGAUUUUGACCUCAUUUUCAUCUUUACUAAAAACCAAAUUUUGACCCAAAAUAUCUUCACUUUUCUUGCUUCUUGGCCGACUCUCUUGAGGGGAGAAACAAGAGAGAGCUCUUCAAUUUCUUGCUUCCAAACUUGUUCAAAUCUUGUGUUUUAGCCAAUCAAAUUUGAAACUACACCAUACAAGUGCUCAACUAGGAAGUUUGAUGGUUUUGGUGGAGUUGUUUUGGAGGAGGAAAGACUAAACCACUAUCUUCUUGUGGUUUUAAUGUAUCUUGCCAAGAAAUCUCUCUUUACUUUUAAUACUAGAUUUGUUGCUAGCUUAUUUGUGGUUCAAGGGUGCUCGUAAUGCUUAUAUCAAGAGAUUUUGGAUGAUUGGAGUGAUGCAUUUGAGUUAGGGUUUGAAUUAUUCCCCUCUCAUACUUGUUGUAUGGAUGGUUUAUGAUGUAUGUAAGCUUGUAUAAGAGGUUGUGGUAGUAAUUUAAGCAAGAAAUGAAGAGAUUUCCCUUUUAAACCCCAAAUUCCAGAUUUCAGGAAAUCUUGUUUUCAGUUCUGUCCGUUUCUGUUUGCCUAUGAUAGAGGCCGAAUUAGGCUUACCAUAAAACAUAAAAGUUGUAGUAUUAUGUCUUAGCUUUCCAACGCCACUGAAAACGCCUCAAUCGCACUUCGGUAGCCUGAGUUACUGUCAUUUACGCAUAGUGUGGUUAACUGACCUGUUUGUGAGAUUCUGGUUCUGUAAUUCAAAAUUUUGACCUAGAUACACUACGAACUGGACUAAGUGGUCUUCAUCAAAGUUGUAGCUCUCUGUCUUAACUUAAAAACGGUAUAAAUUGCACCUCAAUCCGAUAAGCGUAGCCUCGGUUGUGUCCGUUACGCAAAAUAACGUCAAAUCUGUCUUUUGUUUCUUGACUCAACCUUCAUUUCCGCACAUGUUCCUAGCUUGAUUUUGUACUUGUAUGACUUGGAGCCUAUGGAAUGGCUAUUGAAAUGAAAUGAUUUUGUGUGUGAAUUUGGGAUUGAUUGAGGACAAUAAUGAAGCCAUAAAUGGCUGGAAAACAGGUAAAUACAAAGGGCGUGCUGCCCAAAUUUACGCUCGAGAACUAGGUCGAUGUACUUGCGACUUGAGUAAGGCUUGAAAGCAAAUACCACGUGAACCAUCUAGGGUAUUUACGUCUUCUUUUAUUGAGAUAUAUAAGUUCGAAUUUAGCCGAAACUUGUACCCUUGGAAAAAAUGAAAUUUACGACUAAUAGAAAUACGUUUGCUUUGUCACUUCGACUCAAUUGGAGAUUUUAAAGUUUUACGAGUGAGCAUAAGUUUUACAAAUAUUUUACUUAUGUUCUUUGGUUUCAAUGUACUCUUUUCACUAUCAAAACCAUAUUUAUAUUUCAUACUAGUACGUAUUCGAAUUUUCUUUGAAUCACUUAAAUCUUUGAUGGUUGAAACAUAAUGUGUUCUUUUGAUUAUAUUAGGGUUCAUCGGUGACUGACGGUAUUAUCCGGCAGGAUAUUUUGGAUAUUAUUUUGCGUAAAUAGGUGAGUGUUCCUUGUUUGUUUUAUUUUCAUUGACUAUGUGGCUUGUUCUUGAUUAUAUGACUUGUUAUGAAUGAAUGAUAACAUGUUAAAUGUUUUCAAUGAUUACUUAAAAUGAGUUUUCUAGGCGAGUGUGUAUUUUAUCGCACUUGACCUAAAUGAAUGUGAAAUUUUCAAUGAUUGAAUGAUUAUAUGUGCAUGAAUGUAAGCCUCUCGGCUGAACUGAGCCCUGCCCUUCGUUACUGAUUGACUCGAGCCAGAAGCGGACUCGGUCGGGCGAUUUAGUGACCCUGGGUGAACGUUUGGUAUACUCGAGUAUUACCUUGUAAUCUGGUGGAGCCUGGCCAACGUCCAGGAGGGGGUGAAAUGAAAUGAAUGAACGAAUAUCAAUGUAAAUGAAGGGUUUUACUUAUCAAAAUGCAUUUUCAAACGAUAGGAGGAAUAAGGAAAUGAAAGGAGAAUGAAUGAAUGGCUCCAUGUGAGCAUUUAUCCUUUUAAUGAAUGUUAUUAUUGAUUUAUAUUGUCAUGUUUCUUGAAUUACUUGCUAUCUAUGGUUAAUGUAUUGAACUCAUUGUUUGUUUAUGUGUUUGGAACUUCACUGAGCUUUUAGCUCAUUCCGUUAGUUUUGUUUUCCUUAACAGGGGAUGUGAGCAAGGACGAGAACUCUGUAUAGACUAGCUUAGUCUAGUUCUUUGGAUUCUUUUGUAACGGUUCUCGCCCUAGCACUUGGCAAGGGUGGAUGUAUGAGGAAUUGGGAACCUUUGUAUAUUUGAAGUUUGUAAUUCCUUUGGAGAUAGGAAUGUAUAUAAGUUUAUGUUUUAAGUUUGGGAUUGUUAUUCGCUUGUUUUGUAAAUUUUAUCUUCAAUUCCUUGAGGUGAAUGAUUGAGUCCCGGCGAGAGUUGGGCAGACGGUCCGCUGAACCCUUUGGUUCGCCUUAGGGUAAGGUAGGGCUGUCACAUAUCACAUCUAGUGAUAAGUGAAUAGUUUAUCAUUUAGUUUUGAGAGCAAAUUUUACCUAAAAAAUUCAAUGCUACUUAAUUUAUUCAGAUGUUUAAUAUUUUGUUAUCAAACGAUCUAAAUAUGUUAACAUCUGAUUACAUUAAAUUUAAGUGCUAAAUGAAAUUAUCAAACAGGAUCUAAAUAAGAAAGUAUAAGGAACUAAGUACUAUAUGGGACUAAACCCCACAUUAGACGGUCGCCUUUAGAAUUCGUACGAGUUACCACUAGAAUCUGCAUAUGACUAAAUAAUCAGUGGGAUUGCAACGGAUUUUUCUUAACAAUCUAGAAUCCGCUCACGAUUAAAUGAUCAGUUGAAUUGCAACGGGGUUUCUUAACAAUAAGUCAAGUCAUUUGUGGAAAAUAAAUGGGACGCCAUAAACUGCACUAACCACAAACUGCACUAUCCACAAAUUAGAAAUAUGAAAGAGAUGGAGUCAGCCAAAGUGAGGCUCAUGAAGCUUAGGAUUCUGAUGCUUAUGGGAUGAUGUAAGCUGCUUGCCCAUUGGGCUGUCACACUCUUUGCAAGAUUUCGUAGUUGGUCAACAUUGUGACCUCCUUGAACCGUUAGAUGAUAGGCCUAUAACCGCAGGGAUAGAGCAGGAAAACAUUACGGUACGUGAAGUGUCAGCUUUGGAAACAAGGGUCUAGCGUAACCCUUCCCAAAACACUUACAGACACGGCUAAAAUAAUGUCAACACAAAAAAACACAUGGAAGUAAUAUUAAAAUAUUACACAAGAUCGACGAAAGCACGGGGAUUAUUCAAUCAAUCUAUUAAUUUUCCUCUCUCACAACUCAACUCACUCAACAAAUUCUUUGACUCAACUUAACAAGGCUCAACUCAACUCUCUAAUUGAAUAUGAAACAGGCAUCACAUAUAUGUAGGCAAUAGCUUACCAUAUAACUAAAGACUCGAGUGACUUCCACCGACUUGGACUAAGAAACCAAUUACACUUAGAAAACCAACUAAUCAAGGAUUCGGACUUGACUAUUCACCGACCAAAAUUUAAGGAAACUAACAAGUUGACAGCAGAUUAAAACGUUACCAUGUAAUUGGUUAUAGUAACAACUUUAAUCUAAUAAUCUAAACAAAUAAAUGACGUCAGCUUGAUUUAAUUUCCUUCAAAUAACACACGGGAAACACCUAGAACACCCAAAACAAUCCAUCAACCACUAACCCUCUCCUUCCUCCCCCACCCAAGCCCCCUGCGCCAACCCUCUGCCGCCUCCUCCACCUCCCCUGCCUGCCACCAGCUCCCCAAUCACUUCUCCUACUCUCAUGCUCGCCAAAAAUUGGGGUCUUUUUAUGUGGUUACGAGUAAUAUAUAAUGGUAUGCUCAUUGAAGUAGUACACCAUCACUCAGUUAAAGCAAACCAUUACAACUAAUAAUUCAUUGGCACCAAUUAAAGGGCAGUCAGCUUGGACACUCAUCAAGACACAUCCAAGUGCACAUAGUUAGACAUUUUCACAAACUAGUAAUAAAGCACGUGCUUGCACGUGAACAUGAUGCUUUUAGAUUUUUUUUCCUUUAAAAUUUUUAGAAAAUCAAUUAUUUUAAAGGAAUAAAUGUAAUUGAGACAAAAAAUAUGAUAUUUCAUAUUUAUAUUAUUUUAUAUUUUUCUGAACUUAGUUUUCCCUAACCAAACAUAAAUGCACAAGUAAUAAACCACUCUUUGUUUUAAGAGCACUUUUAUUUUGUAACAGUAUCAAUAUUUUUGUCUUUUGGUUAAAUUUAGAUGACCUAAAUGUUUUUUUUAUGCCAUUUGAGUUUAAAUUUUCAAUUUUUCGAAUAAUUUGUUGCUCCCUUUAAGUUAUUCUAUGAAUUGUUUAUUUGUUUUAGUGAGAUUUUCUAAUUAUUAUUAUUUCUUGCUAAUUGUGGAUUGUAAAAUGAUCUAUAUUGCUACUGUAAUUAUAAUAGUAUCAAAAUAUAUUGAAAUUCCAUUGUUCGAAUUUAAAUAGCUUAACUUUAGAGAGAAAUGUUUUGAUUUGGUAAAACUUAUUUGUAUUUCUCACUGAUGACAUGCUUUAUGAAUAUAGAGUUUCUAUGAUUAAAUAUUGUAAGAUGUUAAGAUUAUUUAUUAGAUAAUAGUUAAACUAAACUUGGAUAUAUUUUUAUUCACCUUUGAAAUACUCCUUGAAAUUGAUAUUUUAUAAAAAAUAUAUUUUUUUUCUUAAUUCACCAUAACUCAAAGGGAUGUUUUGACUUUGUAAUUAUUAUUAUGAUUAGCAUUGAUGAAUAUAAUAUUCAUUAAUUGCAGUUUAAUACUAUUAGUUGUUACAAGAAUAUGAUUAAUAAAGUCCAUUAAAUUUAAUCUUUAUUGCAAUUUAAAUAAAUAAAUUCCUAACACAAAACUCUUUGCCUACCUUGGUACUCCAUUUCCUAUUUUAUUUUUUAUUAAAUUUUUUUUACUCAAUAGUAAUAUAUGCAUAUUAAAAAGAUGCUCUUAAGACUUAAUUUAUUUGUAUCCAAAAAAUAAAAAAACUCGUGGUACUUUUUAAGAGACUCAUAUUACCAAUUUAUGUUUUAAGAGACUUAGAUUUUGUAAAUAAAAUUCGUUCUUCUUUCUUUUAGUAAAUAAAAAGUAAGGAAUCUUUCAUAUUCGUAACUACUAGCCUAUUUGAUAUUAUUUAUUAAUGAUGAAAUAAAAUGAAAUUUAUCCAUUUAUUAGAGAGGAAUGUAAUUUUGGUAUCAAAAAAAUUAAUAUCAUUUUUGUUACAUUAUUAACCACUAAGAUUCACCAUAUUUUUUAAAUUUAUAAAUAAAAUUUAUUCUUCUUUUUUAUUUAAUUCACUAUAACUCAAAUUCUAAUUGUUCAAAUUAUUUGCUAAUGCUUCAGUUUUUAUUCUAAUUACUCAUAUUAUUGAAGCAAUUGGUAACAUCUUAUUCAUUUCAUUAAUAUCAUAACCGAAAUAAAAUGACUGUAAUUAUUAGACCAAAGGGUACUUUGGUCAUAGCAAAAACUAAGGCCCAAAAAAAAAUGCUUACACUUCAAAUUGUUUACACUCUAUUUGCCUAAACUAUCCGUUCUUUUAUUGGGAUCAUAGAUACAGAUAGAUAGAUUAGUUUGCUCGUUUGUCAUGGUAUUAGAAGGCAUCAAUAGCACCUAUAGCAACAGAUUUAUGUCAUAUAUUGGACAAGGUAUUGAGCUUUGCACGCCAUUAAUGGUUUGACCAAGUGUAUCUCCAUGUUUCAAAUAUUAUUUGGUUAGUUAUUAGAAUGAUGCAUCCCAAACUUCUUUUGCAACUAAUGUUGAUAGCCAAAACCAAAAUGGGGCCUUUGGUGUCUGCCAAACUAUCAAAAAUAAAAUUUAUAUUAAUACCUACUCUCUAAACUAAAUGAGUAUAGUGGUGAGUAGGGUUGUCUUCUCAGGGAAGUGGUAAAUUUAUCACACACAGAGAAUUUGGGGGAUUUUAGAAUGGAAGACAAAAAGGACAAAUUAAAGAUGUAAAGGUACUGAAUUUUCAAUCGCAAGAAAGCACAGUAGCUAAAGAAUAUAAAAAACAAUUAAUUGACACAACCUAGUCAAGGAGAUAAUCUCGGUACCGGUUCACACAAUUGAUCAUAGAUACCUGAAUUAAUUCACAUGUUCGCAAAUAAAUUGGUUAAAGCAAUUCAACAACACCACCAAUCUCUCCUUAAUUAUAUGGUAGUCCAGAGACGCUCUUAAACUACCCUCUUGUAAAUUAGAUAACCCCAAAGACGCUCGAAAGAUUUGAUCUAUUCACAGCUUUAGAAAUUAGAGAAACCCAAUUCUAGUUAACAAACACACAUGCGGGUUCAUUUAAACUAGAUUAAUUAUUCCUACGGCACCGAUUAGACUGCUUGCAAGGCAAUGAAAUUGUCCCGUUCGCCACUAAUUUAAGACAAUCAAGUGAUACGCACCCCUGUCCUAAUUGGCAGUAUACUAUUCAGACAAUUGAAUAACUGACCACAUUAAUCCAAUAGAUCUAAACAAUAAUAGGCUAUUCAAAUAAGGAAUAAUUAAAUACUCACAAACGCUGAAUUUAGAACAAUCAAAAUGAUCUUACAAUUAUUCGUGCACCGGACCUUGAUUAUUCCUCAACUAGAUAAAAGAACCUAGCCUGAUCUCAUGCCGUUGAUGCAAUUCCACGUUUUUAUGGAGUUUAGUGAUUGAAAAAGUAGUAAAAAGGAUGCAGCCGCUAACUUGCGUUUAGGAGAAAAAAACCAAAGAUAAAUGUCAACAAGAUCCAAAGAUCCCCUCCUAGUCUAUUGCAGUCUUGCUUUUAAAGUCUUUCUGUCGCCUCCUUGCUUGCCACAUCAGAGUUUGUUUCUGAAAAAGAUUGGUUCCUUAUUUUCCACCUUGAAUUGCUGUCAAAAGUCUUCUCUGACUCUAUUUCCUAAUCCCACACAGGUUCAAAAUGUGUCUCCAAAGAAUAGCAAUAGCUCUAGGGAUAGGACCCGCGAUCCAUCUUUUUAACGCAGCUCUGCAGUCUCUGGCGUGGGCACGCUCUGAAAGGACUGGUCUUCUGGAAAUUUACUUCUUUUUGCCACUUUUGACCUUAGUUGCCUGUGGGUAACACAAAUACCCAAUAUGAGUAUAAACCCAUUACUCUGCAUAAUAAUUGGCCAAAUUUAGGACUAAACAUCAAUGUAAUAAACACUCAACUAUCGCCCUAUCAGCCUUAUCGGGGGCUGCAGUGGCUAAAGAAAAUAAUUUGUUGAUAAGUACUUUUUCCAUCCUAAUGUUGCUGCAGACAUUGCGAACGCAAUAGUACUGUCCUCUAAACCUUUAUCAACAAUUAAAAUCCACACAAUUUGUCUGAUCAAAAUUGUAUAUUUGUAAAAAUCAUAGCACUCCAAGAAACGAUAUUCUCGUUGGACAUAUCCCCGAACAAUCAGAUUGCUUAAAGAGUCAAUAUGAGAAACAAUCAGAAUUGACCUAAAUUCUGCAAUAAUUAUAAAUUGAAAUACCUUAGCUUCAACAACAAUUUUUAAGUAAACUCAUGGUACAAGUAUUUUUUUUUUUUUUAUGAUGAUGAAACGGGGUCUAAUUGAUAAAAUGCUUUACUGUAUCCAACAGGUCAUGAGUACAAUGCAUUUCUUUUUUCUAUUUUUUUUUAAGUUGAUUGGAUUGUCAAUGGCGAAAUCAAAUGAGCAAUUAUUGGACUGCGAAGAUUGAAAAGCUCAGCCCAUCUUGACCAUUGUUUUAUCGCUACAAUGCUAUAAAUGGGCUGACUAAUUAGGUCUCAAACUUUCUAUACUUGGUCAGUUAUUGGAAUGAUACAUCCCAAAUUCUUCAGAACUAUUUUGAAAAGCCAAAACCAAAGUUUGGCCUUAUUUAGGAUUGUAGUGACUUUAGAAAUUAAUUUGUUAUUGGAGCUUGCUGUAUAGGAACUUAAUUAUUGAAAGAAAGUGUUCAAACAUGUAGUAAAGAUAUAAUUUAGUGAACUGGAUAGUGAAUGGAUAGUUGGAUUAGAUAUUAUUCAUAUGUGCAACUAGAGGUUAGUGUUCAGCUUACUAUUUGUGAUUAUUAGUCGCAAUUUUAGCAUUGUGCCUUAAUUACAUUUUGCCCACUUGUAGCUAGCGGCCAAUAGCAGUUUACUCUCUAUAUACAUGAAAUACACAAAAUGCUUACUAAUGACUAAUGCCAAACAUUUUAACAACUAGACUAAAAAAAAAAAAGACUAAUGCCAAACAUUUUAACAACUAGAAAGUGCAGGUGCACUGCACGUGUUUGAUCAUGCCAAAACUUGCCUUACUUUUAUCUAAUAUUGUGAGAGACUCAACUCAGAAGAUUAAUAUUUUUGCUAGAAAAGCCUCUGAUCCAUUGCAUGCCAAACAUGGUAGUUUGGAGAAGCAAGCAAGGCUCAUUAACCAACAAGCAAUGCAAAACCUGUAAUCAUGCUGUAUAAGUGGCUGUAAUUCAGUAGAACAAGGAGAAGUUACUUGAUAUAUCUUAGACAGGAGCUAAAUGCUUCUCCAUUAAUCUUAGAGUUUCAGCCUUUAUUGUUAUUGCAAUUGUAGAAUCUUGAGAGCCCAGGAAGGGUGAAUUCCAAUAUUCCUUUCCAGUUUUUCAUUGGGUUAAUUAAGAUGCAUUCGAAAGAAUGAUGACAAGUCAACCUUUUGAGUGCCCUUGGAAACGAUAAAUAUAUGACAUGCUCCUUGUAAUAUUAUAAAUCAGAAUACCCGUCCCUUUUCUUUUGGUAUCAUCCCUUUCUUAGAGGCCCUUGAUUUGGUUUUUGAGCAUCACUGCUUGUAGGAUUAAAUGUGAAGCUGUAAGUGAGAAGCAGAGUUAGUGUUAGAAAGGCUAUUUUCAUCUAGGCAUUCUAGCUGUAGAAAUAGCAAGCAACACAAACAACCUUCUUAUUACCUAAUGAAUCUCAAUUGGAAGAAAUAUAUUUUGGCCUUAGAUAAGCAUGGCUGGCUUACUAACCAUUUUCUUGCGUGAUUUUACACCUUUAUGUCUCUACCGUGAAAUAAGAAGCAUGGCUUAAAGUAGUAAUUCUUUCAUUUGGUAGAAUUGACUCCAAAACUAUCAAAGACAUUCUUGACUUUCUUUGUAUUUCAUCGAUACGAUGUUGGUUGUAGGGACAAUGUGAAGAUUUGCGCCGAAGAUUUAAUGAUGGUUUACAUAAGAGGCCUAUGACCAUAAGAUUGUUUCUGCACUUUCUUUGUAAUGGUACUGCUAUCCUUCCAUACUGCUGAUGUUUAUAUUCACUAGAAAAAAAAAUUAUCACGUGCACUGCAUGUGUAUAAUUUAUAAAAUAAUUUUAAAAACUGAAUUAAGAAUUUUUGUAAUAUUUAAAGGAGUGUUCUUGUAGGACGAGAAAAUGUUAUAGGACAGAAGUCAUUUGAGUUGGGUAGCUUUUGAUAUGUCUUCUAUUUCUUUCUUUUAGAUAAAAUAGCACAAACAUCCUACACAUUUUGCCAAAGAAUUUUUUUAUCCUCAAAUUUAAAAUGCUAAUAUUAAAUUCCUAACAAAAAUAAACCAGUCCAAUUUGGACCAAACCUCUAACUCCAACCAUCUUUUGUCAUGAAACCAUAUUUCUGUUAGCAAUAAGUUAUCCAGAAGUCCUUUGAAGCCAUUUUGAAAACAUCCAAUUUUACUUUAUUCUCCUUCUGGCUUUAGAAUGAGCAUCUAUUCACUCUCAAACACAAAUGUUCAAAGUUCUUCACCAAAACAUGCUUCAUUAUGUCGGAUUUUGCCAAAAUAAUCAAAUAACCAAUGUCUUCAGAUUACCUUAUUCUUUAUAGGCAAACUGAAAGAGCUUUAAUUAGAGAGGAAUAAGUUUCAGAUUAUUUGGUUGUCAACUCAUGUUCACAUGACAAAUCCUAUAACUUGCAUAAGAAACAAAAAAUCAAGAGGAGUAUUUUGAUUCUUUGGAACAUGAUGAUUUUAAGUUAAUAUAAUUAUUUAUGUGAAUCGACAACUAUCUUAUUAUAAGUUUAGUUGAUACCCCAAUAGAGGUUCUGGAUUUGAAUUCCUCCCGGUCCUUCCUAUUUCUUAAAUCUCAGUUCUCUCCUAAUAAAAAAUUUUAAAAAAAUGUCUCACAGUUAAUUCUGUAGACAAAUCAAAGUCACCACCUUUAAUAUCAAUCCAAAAUAUUCCAAAUUCAUAAAAUGGUAUUUAACUUUUAAUGACCUUCAAUUGAUUGGUUAUGGUUUGGAUAGGUUAAGUAAACUUGCUCAGAUAUAGGGUUAAGGCUAAAUUGUAAAACAAACACAGUUCUUCAAUUUUUUUUUUCUUUUCUAAACAAGGCGCUAAUAUUAUUGAAAGAAAUUAAAAGAGAGUGUGAAAUAAACAAAAAGUAAAAAAAUUGUACCAAUAUAAUUAAAAUCUAAGAUUUGUCUAGCAAUAGCUCAAAGUGUGAUAACAUGUGUACAUCAUUCGAAAACUACUUUUUUUUUGUGAAAGAUGGAUCCUGAAAUAAUAAUAGAAAUUUAUAUUAGAAAAUGAAUGAUAUAUGGAUAGAAAUGAAUGUAAUCGUGAUCUUUAGUUUUUGUGAAUGAUUAUGAGAGUAAGAUACAUUAUAAGAGUAAGAUAUGUAGAAUUGUGGGAGUUGUGGAAAUUAUAAUGCAAACGGGCUCCUAAAUUUUGGAUAUGUAUUUUCCAUAGUACUGAGUUCCUUAAAUUAUGAGUUGCUUAUAACUAUGAGUCGUGUGCUAAGUGUUAGACGUGGUUUACAAUUUGCAGAUGCAAUUUUGCAGGGGUGGUUAAUAAAUGUUAGUUAAAAUUAUGGAGUUAUGAUUUUAUAGGUUAGUGAGUCACGUAAAUGGGAAAAAUGAAAAGAGAUGCGGAGAAGGAAUAAUGAAUUAAAAUAAAUCUAAAAUUGUAGAGGGUUCUCGUUAAAAACCUGCCCUCUAAUACAUAUAGAUAUAGAUAUGGAUUUUCGGCUAAAAAUUCUAUGGAUUGAGCUAAUUCUAAUAUGGGCAGGUUUAUGAUUAUCAUAUAGUUAACUUAGCAUUGUGGAGAUAAAACCGACCAUAUAAAGACGGAUAACAAAGCAAAUAAGAGACACAGAAGAUUUACGUGGUUCGGUCAAAUUGACCUACGUCCACGGGCGAGGGAGGAGCAAUAUUUCUACUAUGAAGAAGAAAUACAAAAGCCGUAGGAAAGUGGUUCCUAGGCCAAUAAGGCACUUACAAAAGAGUUUAGAAAAUAUUCCUAAACUCAAAAUAAGAGAGCCUAAAAUAUUUGACUGAAUGGGCUAAAUGACUUAAGAAGCUAAUAGCCCAUAUAACUCUCUUAAGUGGUGCAAUCAAUUCCUUCAUAAGGCUCCCUUAUUUAUAGGAAACCAAAGGAAGAAUUCCUUUGGCUUCUACCGAUGUGGGACGAAGCACCAAAAGCAUUUGUUCAACAAAUGUGGCUUCACAAAAAUAUCAAUUUUUAAAAAAGGUAUGUGUAAUAUUGGUAUCAAUAACACUUCUUUUGCACUUCUUCUAUUCCCUUUCGUUCUUUUUCUGUACCUAAGACCAUUGGAAGUAUGGUCAGGAAGUUGGUAAAAAUCUGAUAUUUUUAUAGAUGCGGUAUGUAAAGAGCCUUCGUGUAUCCAUUGCCUUUUGCUUAUGUGACGUUCUCUUUUAUGUUGUAUAUGAAUUAGAUUUUCAGUUUUUUGAUUAAUUCGUGGUUUACCUUCAUGUGAUUUUAAGAUUGUAUUUUUCAGUUUUAGUGGGUUUUUUCAGUUUUUACUCUUUGGGUGUUAAUGAUUGGUCGAAAUGAUUUUUGGUUGUUAAUGUUUGGUGUAAAUGAUUGAUAGAUAGUGCUCUUCCAAUUGGUGUCAAUGCUAAAUAAUGGUAUUUCAAUUUAAAACUUUUUUGGUAAUGUGGGCCUUAAGUUUUGUACUAGCUUUAUGAUUUUAGAGCUUGUGUGAUUAAUAGUGAAAGUAAUAACGAAAUUGGCUACAUUUUUAUUGAUGUUUGAUAUAUUCUUUAAACUUGGAUAUUGUAUAAAUGUAGAUGUCAUCAUGGAGAUGGACAUCAUCAUCUUCAAAUUUUUGUUCUUGUUGUUUCUGGAAGAACACCGUGAAAAGCUUUAAGGGUCAAAAGAAGUUGUUGAGUCUAGAGUAUUAUAAUUCUCAUAGACAUCAAUUGUUAGUUGUCAGUUUUGCUUGGCUUCCUCUCAUUAGUUGCCUGUGUAAUGAGUGAUUGGAAUAUUAGAAAAUGUAUUUCUAAAGCUUAGGAGAAAAAAAAGAAAAUAUUCUUUAUUGACUACAUGAAAGAAGACAUUUGAAAUUAUUUUAUAAGAAGUUCCGUGUAAUAAAAAAAAAUGACUACCAUGUUCUUAAUUAUCAAACAAUGAAUGCCCACUUAUACUUUUGCACCGACUGCAAAAGUAUGCUUCUAAUUACUCAAAUCAUUUGGUAGUGUUUUAUUCUAAUUACUCAUAUUAUUGAAUCAAUUGGUAACAUUUUAUUCAUAUCAUUACUGUCAUAACCGAAAUAAAAUGACUCUAAUUAUUAGAAAAAAGAGUACUUUGAUCACAGCAAAAACUAAGACAAAAAAAAAAUACUUACACUUCAAAAUUGCUUACAUUCCACUUGUCUAAACUAUCAAUUGUACAGACAGAUAGAUAGAUAGAUUAGGCAUCAACAGAACCUAUAGCAACAGAUUUAUCUCAUAUAUUGGACAAGGUAUUAAUGAUUUGACUAAUUGUAUCUCACAUAUUAUUUGGUUGGUUAUUCUUAUUAGAAUGAUAGAUCCCAAACUUCCUUUGCAGCUAAUGCUGAUAGCCAAAACCAAAAUGGGGCCUGCAGUCAUUAAAGAAUAUAAUUUGUCGAUAACUACUUUUUCAUCCUAAUGUCGUUGCGGACACAAUAAAUUCAAAUGACCAAUUAUUGGUCUGCGAAGAUUGAAAAGCUCAGCCCAUCAAAUGAGCAAUUAUUGGUUUCUAAUUUCCAAGCCACGUAUAUGCAACGACUUGCAAGUCUUCAGCAAAGAGCAAGAAAAGAGUUAUAACACAGGACCAAACUGGCUAUGAUUAUAUUCAUAUUUUUUUUUUGAGCAAUUUAUUGAUACUUCUAGCGCCAUGGCAAUUCGUGAAAUCUCUCUAUCACAAUGUCGAUUUCAUGUUUGUGAACUGGUACAAGUUCGAGACUUCAUUGCAUGUCCCGAUGUCUUUGGCACCUUCUGAAAGUUUUCAAUAGCGGAUUUAAACUUAACUCAAUCGUUAAAGUGUUAACGAACCAAUUAGAGGCUAGUCAGUUUGACUGAUACAAAUUAGUUUGCCACACAAUUAGACAUUUUCAACCAAUUUGUCAGUUGACAAAAGAGCAUGAGUAGUACUUCUAGCAGUAGGUCUAACUCAUAUACAUUCAACAAAUUAUUGAGCUUUGCAAGCUAUAAAUGGGCUGACUAAUUAGGUGUCAAACUUUCUAUGCUAGGUCAGUUGUUGGAAUGAUACAUCCAAAUUCUUCACAACUAUUUUGAAAAGCCAAAACCAAAAUUUGGCCUUAUUUAGAAUUGUAGUGACUUUAGAAAUUAAUUUGUUAUUGGAGCUUUUUUUUUUGGGGUUCAUUGGAGCUUGAUGUAUAGGAACUUAAUUAUUGAAAGAAAGUGUUCAAACAUGCAGGUAAUGAUAUAAUUUAGUGAACUGGAUAGUGAAUUGAUAGUUGGAUUAGAUAUUAUUCAUAUGUGCAACUAGAUGUUAGUGUUCAGCUUACUAUUUGUGAUUAUUAGUUGCAAUUUUAGCGAAUCAUAAUGCCUCAAUUACAUAUUGCCCACUUGUAGUUAGCAGUCAAUAGCAGUUUACUCUCCAUAUACAUGAAAUACACAAAAUGCUUACUAAUGACCAAACAUUUUAACAACUAGGAAAAUGCAGCUCCAUUGCACGUGUUUGAUCAUAUCAAAACUCGCCUUUACUUUUUAUCUAUAUUGUGAGAAACUCAACUCAGAAGAUUAAUGUUUUUACUAGAAAAGCCUUUGAUCCAUCGCAUGCCGAAGCAGCAAGCAAGGCUCAUUAACCAACAAGCAAUGCAAAACCUUUAAUCAUGCUGUAUGAGUGGCUGUAAUUCAGUAGAACAAGGAGAAGUUACUUGAUAUAUCUUAGACAGGAGCUAAAUGCUUCUCCAUUAAUCUUAGAGUUUCAGCCUUUAUUGUUAUUGCUAUUGUAGAAUCUUGAGAGCCCAGGAGGGGUGAGUUCCAAUAUUCCUAACCAUUUUUUCAUUGGGUUAAUUAAGAUGCAUUCGAAAGAAUGAUGACAAGUCAACCUUUCGAGUGCCUUUGAAAACGAUAAAUAUAUGACAUGCUCCUUGUAAUAUUAUAAAUCAGCAAUACCUGUCCCUUUUCUUUUGGUAUCAUCCCUUUCUUAGAGGCCCUUGAUUUGGUUUUUGAGCAUCACUGCUUGUAGGGUUAAAUGUGAAGCUGUAAGUGAGAAGCAGAGUUAGUGUUAGAAAGGCUAUUUUCAUCUAGGCAUUCCAGCUGUAGAAAUGGCAAGCAAUACAAAUAACCUUCUUAUUACCCAAUGAAUCUCAAUUGGAAGAAAUAUAUUUUGGCCUUAGAUAAGCAUGGCUGGCUUACUAACCAUUUUCUUGCGUGAUUUUACACCUUUAUGUCUCUACCGUGAAAUAAGAAGCAUGGCUUAAAGUACUGAACUGUGUCCAAUAGUAAUUCUUUCAUUUGGUAGAACUGACUCCAAAACUAUCAGAGGCAUUCUUGACUUUCUUUGUAUUUCAUCGAUACGAUGUUGGUUGUAGGGACAAUGUGAAGAUUUGCGCCGAAGAUUUAAUGAUGGUUUACAUAAGAGGCCUAUGACCAUAAGAUUGUUUCUGCACUUUCUUUGUAAUGGUACUGCUAUCCUUCCAUACUACUGAUGUUUAUAUUCACUAGAAAAAAAAAAUAAAAAUCACGUGCACUGCAUGUGUAUAAUUUAUAAAAUAAUUUUAAAAACUGAAUUAAGAAUUUUUGUAGUAUUUAAAGAAGUGUUCUUGUAGGACGAGAAAAUGUUAUAGGACAGAAGUUAUUUGAGUUGGGUAGCUUUUGAUAUGUCUUCUAUUUCUUUCUUUUAGAUAAAAUAGCACAAACAUCCUACACAUUUUGCCAAAGAAUUUUUUGUCCUCAAAUUUAAAAUGCUAAUAUUAAAUUCCUAACAAAAAUAAAUCCAAUUUGGACCAAACCUCUAACUCCAACCAUCUUUUGUCAUAAAACCACACUUCUGUUAGCAAUAAGUUAUCCAGAAGUCCUUUGAAACCAUUUUGAAAACAUCCAAUUUUACUUUAUUCUCCUUCUGGCUUUAGAAUGAGUAUCUAUUCACUCUAAAACACAAAGGUUCAAAGUUCUUCACCAAAACAUGCUUCAUUUAUGCCGGAUUUUGCCAAAAUAAUCAAAUAACCAAUGUCCUCAGAUUACCUUAUUCCUUAUAGGCAAACUGAAAGAGCUUUAAUUAGAGAGGAAUAAGUUUCGGAUUAUUUGGUUAACUCAUGUUCACAUGACAAAUCCUAUAACUUGCAUAAGAAACAAAAAAUCAAGAGGAGUAUUUUGACUCUUUGGAACAUGAUGAUUUUAAGUUAAUAUAAUUAUUUAUGUGAAUCGACAACUAUCUUAUUAUAAGUUUAGUUGAUACCCCAAUAGAGGUUCUGGAUUUGAAUUCCUCCUCCUCCUUCCUAUUUCUUAAAUCUCAGUUCUCUCCUAAUAAAAAAUUUUUAAAAAAUGUCUCACAGUUAAUUCUGUAGACAAAUCAAAGUCACCACCUUUAAUAUCAAUCCAAAAUAUUCCAAAUUCAUAAAAUGGUAUUUAACUUUUAAUGACCUUCAAUUGAUUGGUUAUGAUUUGGAUAGGUUAAGUAAACUUGCUCAGAUAUAGGGUUAAGGCUAAAUUGUAAAACAAACACACUUCUUCAAUUUUUUUUUUCUUUUCUAAGCAAGGCACUAAUAUUAUUGAAAGAAAUUAAAAGAGAGUGUGAAUUAAACAAAAAGUAAAAAAAUUGUACCGAUAUAAUUAAAAUCUAAGAUUUGUCUAGCAAUAGCUCAAAGUGUGAUAAAAUGUGUACAUCAUUCGAAAACUACUUUUUUUUUGUGAAAGAUGGAUCCUGAAAUAAUAAUAGAAAUUUAUAUUAAAAAAUGAAUGAUAUAUGGAUAGAAAUGAAUGUAAUCGUGAUCUUUAGUUUUUGUGAAUGAUUAUGAGAGUAAGAUUCGUUAUAAGAGUAAGAUAUGUAGAAUUGUGGGAGUUGUAUGGAAAUUAUAAUGCAAACGGGCUCCUAAAUUUUGGAUAUGUAUUUUCCAUAGUACUGAGUUCCUUAAAUUAUGAGUUGGUUAUAACUAUGAGUCGUGUGCUAAGUGUUAGACGUGGUUUACAAUUUGCAGAUGCAAUUUUGCAGGGGUGGUUAAUAAAUGUUAGUUAAAAUUAUGGAGUUAUGAUUUUGUAGGUUAGUGAGUCACGUAAAUGGGAAAAAUGAAAAGAGAUGCGGAGAAGGAAUAAUGAAUUAAAAUAAAUCUAAAAUUGUAGAGGGUUCUCGUUAAAAACCUGCCCUCUAAUACAUAUAGAUAUAGAUAUGGAUUUUCGGCUAAAAAUUCUCAGGAUUGAGCUAAUUCUAAUGUGGGCUGGUUUAUGAUUAUCAUAUCGUUAACUUAGCAUUGUAGAGAUAAAAAUCAUCUACCUUAAACAAUCCCCGUAGAAAUCAUAAAUUUUCGAAAUCAAAAUAAAUUCUUUUUCUAGGUAUACCUUUUAAGUGUCAGGCUUUGUAUAAUCUCAUUAUUAUGUCAAAGCAAGUGUAUGAAGAAGGAAGAAAAACAGAGUCCAAUUCUCAAAUCAAAAGGUUCAAAAUUCAUAAACAAGUAAUACGCAUUUAACCAAGGUGCCAAUCAAACUAUUCAGUCAUGAAUAUAAUCAAUAGAUUAAAAUACAACAUUAAAGUAUUCAAGGAACAACAGUAGAGAGGUUUUGAAUCAUACAAGUUUUCACUCUAGAUAUAAUUGUGGUAUUCUGACCAAUCCAUCAGUGAUGAGUCUUCAUCCAGCAUUGCAGCCAGAUUUUUUUUUUUUAAGUUCUCUAUUUCAAUGAUGUUUGCUCGGAUCUUAAUAGACUCCAAACUCUCUAAGUAAUUUGACUUCUAGUUUAAAUAAUCUAUGUUAUAAAAUGAUUCCUUGUCUGACUUAAUAGAGUCAAAGUUUAGUUCACUAUUUGAUAUAUUGACAUUUUUAAAGUUCCCUUUUUCAAUACUGGGAUCGUAAUGGACUUCAAACUGCCUAUGUAAUUUGACUUCUAGUUUCAAUCACCUAUGUUUUAAAACAAUAGCUUGUCUUCCAAAUUUAGUUCAACUCCUUCUCAUGAUGCAAUUAGUGAGUGGAAAGAUUCGGCCAUUAUUUGAUACGUUAACAUUUAUAAUUAAAAAUUUUUGGUUUGACAGGAGACGGGAACUAAAAGUGUAGGAGUCCUUUAAUUCACCCAUGUUUAUUGAAUAUAAUUUAUAUAGACUGUUAUAGAUAUUGAGUAAGGACUAAAAGGUAAAUCACCCAAGAGACUGUUAUGUGUGUGUACUCUAUAACUUAUAGAGUACACACACAUAUAUAUAUAGAUUGGUCAAUGGUCACAAAUCUGCCGCUGCAAUCGUAUGAGCUUGUGUUUGGAAUGGAGAGGAGAUCAACGAAAGAGGCAUAAAAGGGGACAAGAAUUCAACAUCCUUUCGGCUAUAACCACGUAAGACUAUGAACUUUUGUUAAGAAUAUUUCUACGAUAUUAGCUUUUCAGGUUUUAAUUUUUUCCUUAGAAGCCCUAUGUCUAGAUCUGGCGCAUGGGUGUAGAUUUUGUAUCUCUAAAUAUUCGUUUCGACUUAAUUGAUAAUUUCCUUUAGGACUUUAUAAUUUCUAGAAUUAUUUGUCUGGAGAAAUGGAAUUUCAUGGCACGCAAUUUCACUUGGAGCCAGGCCAUUUGUACAAAAUUAAAAGACAAAUAUUUAACAGUUGUGUUUAGUCAUCCGACUUAUGAGUUGGGAAAUAAGUUGAAGCUGCGCCACUGCUGGUGAAUCAAAAUUUGGGUAAAUCCGAUUUCAAAAAAAUUCAGUGAUUUAAAUUGUGUCAUACCUAGGGGUGUGCAACGAAUUCGAAUUCGGUAAUUUGGAAGUUUGAAUUCGGCAUUUUUCGAAAUUUUGGCAUAGGAAUUACCGACCGAUUUUGAUUUCAAAUUAACUAGUUCCAAUUUCGAUUUCGAUUCCGAAUUAAAUUCGGAAUUCAGAAACCUUUUUUCCCUUUUUUUUCUUUUUUGUUAGAUGUAUUGCUAUAUAAUAUAAAUUUUAUAUUACAUAUAUUAUAAAAAUAUUAUUAUAUAGAAAAAUAUUAUUAUAUAUAUAAAUAUGUAUUAAUAUACAUAUUAUAAAACGGAAUUGAAAUAAAAAUAUAUAGUAUUAUAUAAAUAAAUAAAUAAAUAUUAAUAUAUAUAUUAUAAAAUGAAAUUGAAAUAAAAAAUUCUGAUUUUGAUUUCCGAUUUCAAAAGCUCCAUUACCAAAUUUGAACCAAAUUCGCAUAAUUCGAAAUCGAAAAUUCAGAUUUCAAUGCCGAAUUUCGAAUUACCGAUUUCAAAAAUUCUGAAUUCAAUUCGAAUUCAGUAGGUAAAUCGAAAUUUUUCGAUUUUGCACACCCCUAGCCAUACCACUUGAUGAGAUGGUAUGAUACAAUUUUAAGCAUUAAAUUUUUAAAAACCAAAUCUAUCCAGUAUAACCUUCGGGGUAAUGAUGAUAAUGACCUGAUCAAGACCAAAUUCAGUUGUUGUCUUGUUGAUGCUGCUGUGGCCCUUGUGGUUUCAAUUAAUUGGAUCAUUUAAUUAGUUAAUUGGGCUGAGGGACUCUAGCAAACUCUUGGGUUGUUUUUGUUGGACUGGUCCAAGUUCUAGUGGCCUUUUAGAAUUGUUUUUUGUUUUUGGGAUCCAAUAUCAUUUGGGCCAUCUGAAAAGGGCCAUCUGAAAUUCUUUUGGGAUUAUUAUUUUGGGGCUAAUGUAACUAGUGGGGCGAAUGGGGUGGUUAAUGGAAAAAAGAAACUUUCUGGGCCCAUGCAUGUAGGCUUAUGUUCAAACAGUGGACAUUUUGUUUCUUCUGUAAUUGAACUUAUGGAUCAGAAAGCCCAAUUUAAAAAUUCCCAACUCGUCAAAUAAGUUUAGAAGCCAACAUAUAUAGCAAAUAUUUAAAAGCUCAAUUUUAUUAUAAUAACCCAAAUUUUAAUAACAAAGAGGAAAAGAAAGAAAGAAACCUGUUGUUAAUUAAUGAUUGUAUAUAUACAUAUACAUACAUAUGUGUGUACAUGUAUAUAUAUGUAUAUAUAUACACACACAUAUGUAAACCUGUUGCAAAAACUAAAAAGAAAAAUAUAUACAUAGACACGUAUAUACCCGCUGUAGAUCACUGCCUAUUCCCACACAGGGAAUGUCUUCAAUCACGCGCCAGUAGUCUCUAUCCAUCAAACACCUUUUCUCGAGAAGUGGGCAUGUAUCAAUUCUGAGAAGUUUAAGCUGAUUACGCAGCGAUUCCUUUGGUAGGGAUCCAAGCUUGGGGCAGCCAAAGAUACGCAGACCUUUAAGAGCUGUAAGACCUCGCAAGAGCGUGGAGAGCGAUUUCAGAUUUGGUAAGUCACCAAUGUCGACGGACCUGAGAGUUGGAGGAAGCAAAGCGAAUCCAUCAUCACCGCUACCAGAAAAUGAUUCCAGCUCUGGAUAUCCACCGCGGAUGCGGAACCUUUCAAGAGACGUGAGUCUGUUGAGUCCCCAUUCUGACAGUGGCUUCAGCUGUAAGUUUUCUCCUCCCUCUAUGUAAAGACCCUCCAGACUGGGAGGAAAAUCUCCCUGUGGAAAUAACAAAGGACUUGAACAAAAAGACAACUGCAGAGAUCUUAGUCUUCCCAACCCACUGGGCAAGUAACUAACAUUUUUGCAUCUGCACAAGUAAAGACGUUCCAAAUUUGGAGUGGGCAAUUGAUCCAGAUGAUAAUCACAAUCCCUAAUAUCCAAAGACCGGAGACUUGCAAAACUGUAGACUGAACCAAGCAUUGUUCUCAAAUUCAGACAUGGGCAGCCAAAGAUUUGCAGUCCCUCAAUCGAUGUGCUGGUGUCCUCUAUGACAAUCUCCGGAGUAAGGUUCAGUUUAUGGCAAUCAAAGAUCUCAAGAUGCCUAAGCUGAGGGAGGAGCAACUUGUCCAUUGGCAAGCAACUGAGGGCAGAGCAAAAGCUUAUUCGCAAUCUGUUAAGACCAGAUAAUGUAGGCAAAGACUGGAGAGCACUGCAACUUUCUAUCGUAAGAUAUUUAAGCAUAGGUAAGACACGUGUAGUACUUGAGCCCCACAAAUUCUUCAGUUGAUGGCAGCUGCGUAAUGCGAUAUCUUCAAGGCCUGAUGGAAACUGCAUGAACACAUCCUCGAGGGAUGCAAGGCCUAUAAUCUGCCAAAACUCCAAUUUGUUUAAUGAGGUCAAAUUGUAAAAACAUUUUGCAAUUCCCACCGAGCACUCAUCUAACUUUAGUUCAGAAAGUGAAGGAAGAUGCAAAACAGGAAUGCUUUUCAACUUUGGGCAUCUACUUAUACAGAGCUUUCGGAGCAGAGGGAAGUGGCAUUCGUUCUCUCCUGCUGAACUUAAGCAAGUCCAUUCCUCCCAUUCUGGCAUGUCAUCAAAUGUUAGACUUUCGAGCGAUGGAAAGGAAAAUUCCCAAGAGCAAUCUUUGCCACAUAACUCGGUACCUACUGCCUUCACCUCAAGCAUGCUUUGAAUGCUCAAAUCCUUGAGCGCAGGCAAUUGCCCGAGUGAUGGUAAACACUUGCAGUGUGUACAACCUCUAAGGCUUACUUUUACUAAUUUAGUAAAUGAAUAAUCCCCCACCCAGGAGGAGAAUUUGUCUCCCUUAUAGAACUCAAUUUCAAGACUCGUUAGGUUUGUGUGUGGUCGUAGCGCCUCAAGCAAAUCUUGUUGAAGAACUUUACUCAGAGAAUCAUCAUAUUCACUAUUCCAUGCCAAUACUAUUUUAUCAAGGUCCCUCUUGUCCUUCAAAUUGGCAUCCCGUGCUUCUUGAACAUUCGUAACAUUUUGCAACUCCAAAAUGGCGAGUGACCCUGCCAGUAAGGACAAGUUCCCCAAGUCUUUCAGCCUGAACGCACCAUGUUUGCUCACAACCACUUUGGAUAGUGUCUGCAAGCUCGUCAACUGAUCAAUCCCUGAAGGCAUCUCAUGCAAUUGACUAGUAUUGGAAUUUUCAAGAUGGCGCAGGUUAAUUAAUUUUCUAAUACCUACUGGUAAGUUAAUCAGCUCCCUGCAGUUGCCCAAACGUAGUGUUUGUAAAUUGCAAAGAUUACUCAUUGAUUCAGGCAACAAUUUCAACCGAGUACCAGACAAAUUCAGGUACCUUAGAUGUAUUAAUUCACUGAUGGAAUCUGGAAGUUCAGAGAUAGCAUAGCCACCGAAUGAUAGCACCCUUGAGUAUCGCAAUUCCGGCAAAAGUUCUGCUAUGACCUUUUUAGCGAUGUAAAACUCGUCGCUGCCAUCCUCGGCAAAAAUGGGCAAUGGUAGGAAACUCCGCAAAUGUUUUGCUUUCUGAAGAGUUUUAAACUUUUGUGAAGCUUCAUACCAUGAACUUGUGAAUGAUGCGUACCUAACCUUGUCAAGGAUCGUGCAUUUGAUGUUCUCUUCCAAGUCGUCUGUCAGUCUUGAACAAAAAUCUCCGGCAACAUAUCUGGCUAGAUCGUUAAUAAGGUCAUGCAUCACAAAACGUGAACUAUUGGAACUUGACUGCUGGAAGAAGGACCUCAUUAGUAGCUCCUUAAAAUAAUUGUCCCCUAUGUCCUCCAUAAGAUCACUUGCUUUUGAUUCCUCGAGAAAACCCUCUGCCAUCCAGAGCAAUACUAGCUCAUAUUUGUCAAACUCAUAGUCCUUGGGAAAUAUGGAGCAGUAAGCAAAGCACGGUUUUAGAUGGGCAGGAAGAUGAUAAUAGCUUAAUCUCAGUGCUGGAAGAAUAUCACUUUGAUCCUCUUUUAUUUCCCAUAUCUCACUGUUCAGUAUAUCCGUCCAUUCAUCUGGGGUCGAUCUAGCACGCAACAGCCCUCCAAGAGUCUUCACGGCCAGGGGCAAGUUCUUACAUUUCCUUACAAUACUCCUACCAAUGCCUUCUAGAUUGGGGUACCUGUCAAAAUUUGUCCUUCCCAGUGCAUGUCUUGCCAGUAAGCAUAAGCUUUCAUCAUCUGUCAACUCCUUCAGACUAUAUCCAGCAGUGGAAGACAUUACUGAUGCCACCCUAUGAUGCCGAGUGGUGACAAUUAUCUUGCUCCCAGAUGAACCAACUAGAAAUGGGCGGCGCAGGAUGUCCCAGUCCUCAUAUUUUUCAUUCCAAACAUCAUCUAAAACAAUUAGAAACCUCUUCCUGGUCAAGGCCUCACUCAGUUUCACUUGAACCAUAUUCAGAUCCUCAUAAUCACAGCCACCUGAUGUGAUUGCUCUGAGGAUUGUCUUUGUUACCCCAAAAAUGUCAAAAUCAUCUGAAACACAAGCCCAAGCCUUGGAAUCGAAAAAUUCGUUGACUCUGUCAUCAUUGUACACCAUUUGAGCAAGAGUUGUUUUACCAACCCCUCCCAUGCCAACAAUUGGUAUCACAACCACUUGAUCAUCGCUCGAUUCAUUUGAAAGGAGCAAUUUCAGCAGCUCUUCUUUGUCAUUCUCUCGACCAUAAACAUAAGACUCCACUAAGGAAGUUGAUGGCAAUCUAUCCCUAGUUUUGUUCGGCCUCUUUGCUACAGUCUCUACCAAAUGGAGGAUUUUGAUUUGUUCUUUCAGGCUCUCCAAUCUUCUAGUUAUUUCAUCCACCUUGGGAGUCAUUUUUCUGUUGAACUUAUAAUCUUUAACAGAAAAACUUGUACAACAGGAAGGGAUUUUAACCUUUCUUACCUUGCUAGUAGAGCCUUGAGCUUCCAUCAACUUUCUUCGACAAGCUUCUGUGGAGAAUUCGUCGAUCACAUCAUCCAUAUCAUAUGCCAAAUCCUGAUGAUCAUCUAGCCAGUGCUUCACAGCAAUCCUCAUAUUCUGCUUGUCCUCUGCAUCAUCAAGCACUGCCUGAAUCAGGGAUAGCACUUGGAUCCAUCGUUUCAGCUGAGUAUCUAAGCCUUCUGAGCGUGCAAAUUUCUUCAAAUCGACAGAAGCAAGCUUGUCAAAUACCACCUUGAUGAUUGCACCAAGAAAGACUUCUAUCAGUGCCAUUUUUCACUCUUCUUUUUUUUUUUUUCUCCGGAUUAUAUUGUGUAGGUAAGCAACGAGCAAAAAGUCUGAAAACUUGAAAGGGGAGAUAAGACUGAAAGAUGGGAAACUACAGAUUCUUCACGGGAAAAUUGAUCAGCACCAAAAUAUUUCAACUGGCAAGAAAAAAGUUUCCAAAGCACGCGUCUUCAUUUCUUAUGUAGUACUAGUAGAUUUAUUUUUCUUUUCUGUAGCACUAUAUUAUAUCAUCAAUCAUUAAAGUUUACGGGAGGGAGGUACUUUUGACAUAGAAUGAUUGGUGCUCUUACGUGUAGUUGUUGUACUUCAUUUACAACAUAGUGUACAUUUACAAAUGCACUUGUAUUUAUGCAUAACACGAAUAAAAUUUUAAGUACCACAAAAUUGUAUAAGAGUACACUAUAUUAUGUAAAAAGUAUAAUAACUAGACAAUUGCAACAAAAUUCAAUUGUACCUGGUCUAAAUUUGACCAUUUUCCUUAGUUGUUUAACGUUAAUUAGUGUAAUUUGGUUGUAUUUUAUGGCACAAAAUCAAUUAAAUAACUAUAACAUCAAACCACAUAAGUAGCUGGUAUAUGUUGUUUCCAUAAUUAUAAUUUUUUAAAAAAAAAUUAUUCAAAACGCCGUUCACAUUUUGUACAAUACUUUUUUUCGCCCUUCACUUUCAAAAUAUUAACUUUAUGUACCUUAUAAAUUCAGGUCAGCAAAAUUUGGUCCCAACCAAAGUUUCUAACUACUUUUUAGUCUAAAAUCACUACGUGGCUCAUAUAUAGUUAUUUUUUAUGUAUAAAAAAAAUUAGAUUUCAUUUUUUUAUUGAUAAUAUAUAUUAUGUCACAUCUCACUUUUUUGAAAAAAUUGAAUAUAUUUUAGAUCAAAUCCUAUUUUUAAAGAAAAACUGAAUAUAGAUCUGGUCAUUUGUUUAACUAUAAAUGGGAUUUAACAUUUUUGCCCUUAAAAAAAUGAACCCAAAUCUCUUAAUUACAUUCCCUCUUCUCAAACCACUCAACCCAUCCCUCUUCCUUCUUUCUCCCCUCUCCCCAACCAUAUGUGGGCUAUGCGAGGAAUGAAAAAAUUCAUUUAGCGAGAUGUGAAAAACGUUUUAAACGAUUUCCUCCUUGUUAUUUUAUAUGCCAAAGGGCAAUAUCCUACAAUUACUCCAAUAGUAUACGUCCAAUGGGGCCAUUAUUUGAGCUGUCGAAAUUCAGAGGAGACUAUCACCUCUGAAGUCUGAACUAAACGGGUGCAAUUGCACCCGUUAGAAGAAGUUUCCUAGAAAUCCUGGACUUCAAGAGCAGGCGAGGGUUUCAAAUCUCCCACCUAUACAAAAGGACGGAUAUAUUUAUAAAGUUUGUGAUAUAUUUAUAAAGAAAGAAAUUUAGAAACAUUGUGAAAGUCCCAUCUGAAUUAGCAAAAUUAAUAUUCUCUCCAUCUCAUUUUAUUAGUUACAGUUUCUCCUUUUGCUACUUCCAAAAUGUUUUUUUCAUCAAUUUGGACAAAAAUAUAUCUUAACGUCUUAAAAUUUUUUGAAGUAAGGAUGUGAAGUAACCAUUGAUUAGUAAACAGGAAAGGUGAUUAAUUAAGGAUGUGAAGUUUGCAUUUUCUUUAAUUGAAUGCAUUUGUCUAUUCCUUUUACCAAUGAAUUGUAAAAUAAGAUAAAUUAAAUAAAAGGAUAAAGCUUCUAACCAAAACCCUUCUUUUGGACCCAAACAAAAAAAGGAUAACUAUUCUUCUCAGAGAAAUAUCAAAUUAUAUACCUAUUCUUCUCAAAAAAAAAAAAAAAAAAAAACCAAAGUGUAUAGGAAGUUGACUUGACUUGACUAAGAGCUUAAAUCUUAAUCCUAAAAGGUAAGCAAGGGUCAUAAUAUUAUCAAUCGAAAUUAGCGUGUUAAUUUGUUUGAAUACAUCUUUUGGUUGGGUCUUCUGAGACUUGUUGAACAAAUGAAGAAACAGCCUUAAGAAAUGGGUAAAUUACUAAUAACUUCUAUGAUAAUUACUAAUAACUACUCAUGUAUAUAACUCUUGAAUGAUUAUGUGGAUAAAUGUAAAAUAUUACAAGGAGAAAAUCACAAUUAGGUUAUAAGUAAUUUAUGCUAAGAAAAUUGAAGUUACCUGCAGAGUUGGGGUGGGUUUUGGUGUGUGUGUGGUUGUGUGUGUGUGUUUCCGGGGGGGCGGUUGGGGGUGGGGAGGCAGAGGAAAACUAAUCAAACCACGCUUCUGAACAUUGACAAUAUAUGCCAUGUACAAAAUAUGGAUUUAAAAUGAAAGGAUGUAGAUUUAACUUGAGGAAUACAUAAUUUUGGGUUUUUAGGAGCCUUAUGCAUACAAAUGAGACUUCUAACACAGCAGCCCCUCAAAGAACCCAUUGGAUAAUCUUUGCAGUCCCAAUCGGCCAAUUCUUGCCCAGCCAAACCGCGCUUCCAAUAUCAAAUUAUAUUGGAAGUUGACUUGACUUUGCUGAGAGCCAAACCCUAUAAGUCAAGCAAGGGCCAUACAUUAACGCGUUAAUUUGUUUUGGUACAUGGAGUGGGUAGGGAUGGCAACGGGGACCCCUCCCCCGCCCCCGCCCCGUUGCCUAUUAAUUCCCCCCGUCCCCCGCCCCGCCGCCCACUCCCCCGUCCCGCCGCCCCCCCGCCUCCCACUCCCCCCGCCCCGCCCCGCUUCCCCCGCGGGUGCCCCCGUGGGGUUAAUAAAAUUUUUCCUGCGGGAUUAAUAAAAUUUUAUUAUAGUUAAAUUUUAAUAAAUAAUCAAGUACUAAAAUAUCAACACUUCAUCAAGUUAUUAUUCAUUGUAAUUUUACAAUUGAAACUCAUAAAAACAAUCAAACAAAAGUUAUUUGAAUACAAUCCAAUAUGAUGAAAUAAAUACAACUAAAAUAGUCAAGUUUUCACUUUUGGUACAAAUACAAUCACUAAUUCAUUAUUGUGUUUGUGCUUUUUUUUUGAGAAAAAAGUGUUAUUCUAUUAAGUGUAAUUAGAAAUUUAGUAUAAAUGUAUUAGUAAAUUUAGUAUAACUAAUUAAUAAAUUCUAUUAGUAGACAUUAGAGGUGGCAAUUUGUCCCAAGUCCCAAUUGGUUACCCAUGCCCAUUGAGACUUUGGGCGGGAUGGGUAUUGGAAUUUGAUAUUGGGUUUAAAAUGGGACAAAUCCCAAUUGUACCCAUUAAUUGAUGGGAAAUUUUGGAAAAUGCUUGGGUACCCAUUGGGCUCAAAUAGCAAGGGCUCCGUUUGGAUUAACUAUUUUUGGGGGGUGUUUUUGAAAUAUUUUAUUGUAGUAGUGUAUAUGAAAAAUUUUACUAUAAACUUUUUUUGAAAUAUUUGAUAUACUAAUAUGGAUGGGAUGUUUUUUUAGUUAUUGUAUAUUACUGUAACAUUGUAUUUGAAAAACUUAUUUUUUGAAAAAAUAACCAAUCCAAACGGAGUUUUAGAUUCAAAAAUUAUCUUUAACAAUUUUUAUAGUCAUGAUUGUAUAUCUAUCUUUUCCUUUAUUUGUUAAUCCAAUUUUUGGUGAUAAUCCUGAGUAUAAAGCACUUGCAUGUUUAUUUAAUAAAACUAAAAGAAAUUUAAUAAAUCAAAAAUAUUAAAAUUAUAUAAAAAAUAAAAAUAAAUUAAAGGAAAAAAAUAUGUAUAAAAUAGAUUUGGGUAUUGGGCGAGAUCAAUCUAAACCCAUCCCAAAGUGAUCCCGCCCAAGUUAGUCCCAAAACAUAUAUGGGUAAGGUUGGGCCCAAACCCAUAUGACUCGGUUCCAUCUUAAACCCAAGCAAAUCCCGCCCAUCCCGCCCAUUUUGCCACCUCUAGUAGACAUGUCUAAUUAUUCGUAUCAUUGAUAAUAUCAAUUAUAUUACAUACACUAAUAUACAUUAUAUAAUACAUCUAACUAAUAGUAUUAUUAUCAUAAGUUUAUAACUAAUUAAAUUAUAUAUUAUAUAUAUUUAUAUAUAUACACUUUUUCUUUUGCGGGGGGCGGGGCGGGGGAUGGGGCGGGGGUAUACUCCCCCGUCCCCCGCCCCGUUACUAAACGGGGGGAAAAAAUUCCCCCCCGCCCCCGCCCCAACCCCCGCCCCAAGAGUCCCCCGCGGGGCGGGCACCCGCGGGCACCCGCCCCCAUUGCCAUCCCUAGGAGUGGGGCUUCUUCUGAAGUUUUUGCAUAUAAUCCCCUGUAAAUUAUGUAGAUAAAUGUAAAAACUACGAAAGAGUAAAAUAUAUAUUUCACUAAAUCAUAUGAAAGGUAAACAAAUAUUAUGAUUUUAUCACACGUAUUUUUACAGCAUGUCUAACAUUAUUCGAUAGCAUUUUCAUUUAUUUUUUACUCUACAUAAAAUUACAGAGGAAUAUUAUGAAAUUAUGAAUAUGUUAAAACCUUAGGAGAGUCAUGUAACAAUAUAUUGAACCACAAUAGGCUUAUUAGUAAUUUACACUAAGAAAGAUGAAGUUGCGGGGAAGAGAGGGACUAAAUGAAACCCCCCCCCUUUUGAACAUUGAUAAAAUAUGCCAUAUAUAAAGUAUGGAUUUAAAAUGAAAGGAUGUAGAUUUAACUUUAGGGAUACAUAAUUUUGGCUUUUUUAACUUUAAAAAUACUAAAUUUUGGCUUUUUGGGAAGCUUCUCUUGCAGAAGAUGCUAGUAAGAGUCUUUUGAACUACUUAAAACAAAUUAUAAAUAUCUUUGUGAAAGUAAAACUAUUAUUUUUUAUUGUUUCUCAAAACAGCUUUUAACUUCUCAAAACAUUGAAAACAAGGAUGAUUUUUCAUUGUUUCAAACAAAGUUUUGAAAUUAUUUCAUAUUUGAAUUCCAAAACUACUCAAACGUAGUUGAGAAUAAGCUCCAAGUAAAUGUUAAAGUUGCAAAUAAGGAAAAAUGGCAAUUGUACGUAGUAUAUUUAGAAGGUUGGCUAUACCAGUUGGGGAAUAUCUUGAUCUAGUGAUUAAGAUCAAGAUCCCAAAAUUAGAGGUCAUGAGCUCCAAUCCUCUUACGCCCUCCCUCCUAUUAAGUCCCACUCUCAUAUUUAUUAGAGGUGGCAAUUUAUCCCAAAUCCCAUUGGGUUACCCAUGUCCAUGGGGACUUUGGACGGGAUGGGUACUGGAAUUUGAUAUUGGGUUUAAAAUGGAACAAAUUUCAAUUGUACCCAUUAAUUGAUGGAAAAUUUUGGGAAAUACUUGGGUACCCAUUGGGCUUAAAUAGCAAGGGCUCCAUUUGGAUUAGCUGUUUUUGGAGGUAUUUUCGAAAUAUUUUAUUGUAGCAGUGUAUAUGAAAAAAUUUUACUAUAAAAUUUUUUUGAAAUAUUUGAUAUACUAAUAUGGAUGGGAUGUUUUUUAAGUUAUUGUAUAUUACUGUAACAUUGUAUUUGAAAAACUUAUUUUUUGAAAAAAUAGCCAAUCCAAAUAGAGUCUUAGAUUCAAAAAUUAUCUUUAACAAUUUUUAUAGUCAUACCAGCGAAUAUAAUCUAGCAGUCUUCCUAGUCAUUAUCCACAAGAAUUUCCAGCAUUUCAGUCAGUUUAGACCAGUCAUCCUUGGACAAUGAUGAGGAUAAAUAUUCAACACCCUAAGUGCCUUGGCCAUCUUGAUAUAUGUUGGAAUAUGGUUGUAUAUCUAUCUGUUCCUUUAUUUGUUAAUCCAAUUUUUGGUGGGAAUCCUGAGUAUAAAGCACUUGCAUGUUUAUUUAAUAAAACUAAAAGAAAUUUAAUAAAUCAAAAAUAUUAAAGUUAUAUAAAAAAUAAAAAAUGAAUUAAAGGAAAAAAAUAUAUGUAGAAAAUAGAUUUGGGUAUUGAGCGGGAUCAAUCUAAAUCCAUCCCAAAGUAAUCUCGCCCAAGUUAGUUCCAAAACACAUAUGGGUAAGUUAGUCUAAAUAAUAUUUAUCAUAAAUGAUUGAUCAACUAUUUUACUUUUACCUCCGUAGAGUUAUCAGCUAUUUUUACUUUUCUCCUUUGAGUCAUGAUUUUUAAUUUUUUGCAUCCUGAAGUUACACAUCUAUUAAACAUUGUAUUACGUACACAGAUAUGGACAGAAAACGACAGAAUUUUCCUUGUGAAAGGUGACAUUCGAUCUUGUAGGUUUUCCGUAAUUGUGUAAGUAUUUGAGGUAAGUAUUUUAGCAAGUUUUGAUAACCAAAUGAUCGAAACAGAGAAUUUAUGAACUAAUUAACCAUACUAAGGAAGAAGACAAGAUUCACUUGUUCUAAACCUUAUAUCUUAAUGCAACAAGUCGGUUAGGCGCUUGACUAAACCUUCAAUCUUUUAAAUAAACGCCCUCCUCAUGUAAUUUCUCAAAUGUUGAGUCAUGACAAGGUGAAGAUAGAAAUUAAAUUAAAGAUUCUAAAAAUUUUUAAAGAUUCUUCUAAAUUAGAAUAGUUUACAACAUAUAGAACUUUGAACUCCAAAUUUCAAAUGAUUCUGACUACGUCUAUUCUAAAAAGAGUAACAACCUUUUGUAAAGUGGCAAAUAUUAAAGAUGUUAGUCACAAUUCAAUUAUGUUAAUCAAAUCCGUCCAAACCCAUCUCUACAAAUCAGAAUAAGGCCCAACAAAGAGACUUACAAUAUCAUCAAGGCAGGAACGGUAGGGACUUAGCAAAAUACAAUCUGCAUUCUAGGCGCAUAGGCUUGCCGAGCGAGUUGAGCCUACGUCAACGUGCCAACAAAUAUUUUACCUGAACAAGAAAAAUAAACCCAAGUUCAGGUACAGGUACAGGAUUCGAACUAUAAACUAAGUGCCCUCCCAAUAAACUAAUGCAAUAAAAAAAAAUAAACUAAUGCAAUAAAAAUAUCAACUUGAUAAGCUAAUGCAAAGAAAUCAUGGAACACGAAUAUAUUACCUUACCAUCUUAAGUGAAAAGAGUGCACACAGCUUAAUCAGAAUGAUAAGAAAAAAAGUGCAUCGAACCCGAUCUGCAUAAAAAGACACAGGCUGAAAGGUCAAAGAAUCAAUUUAACAUGGUAAGCAAAGCACGAUUGACAUCUGAGUUUCUUCUCAAGCUAGUUAAAAGUGAGAAAAAUUAUUUACUGGGCUUUAAAGGAGGAAAUUACUAAUAUAAAUUUCACAUGACACAUAAAAGUAAUAUGAUUCCUCUAUUUGAAUUUCGACACUUCUUUUCCAUUCAAGAAAUUUGUUGGAGUCAACAAAAAAAAUUUUGGACAAUAAUUUUAAGUGAAAAUCAGUAAGAAAUCUAAAUCUCUGCUUACUUGAUGCCAUCACUGCGUAUUUCCACACAGGGAAUGUCUUCAAUCAUGGGCCAGUAGUCUCCUCUAUCCAUCAAACACCUUUUCUCAAGAAGUGGGCAUUUAUUAAUUACUAGAGUUUGAAGCGGAUUACGCAGCGAUUCCUUUGGUAGGGAUCCAAGCUCGGGGCAGUUAAAGAUAUGCAGAUAUCGAAGAGCUGUAAGACCUCGCAAGAACGUGGAGAGCGAUUUCAGAUUUCGCAAGUCACCAAUGGCGACGGACCUAAGAGUCGGAGGAAGCAAAGCCAAUCCAUCAUCACCACUACCAGAAAAUGAUUCCAGCCCUGGAUAUCCACCACGGAUGUAGAACCUUUCAAGAAACGUGAGUCUGUUGAGUCCCCAUUCUGACAGGGGCUUCAGCUGUAAGUUUUCUCCUGCCUCUAUGUCAAGAAACUUCAGAGUGGGAGGAAAAUCUCCUUGUGGAAAUAACAAAGGACUUGAACAAGAAUACAACAACAGAGAUCUUAGUCGUCCCAAACCACUGGGCAAGUAACUAACAUUUUUGCAUCUGCACAAGGAAAGACGUUCCAAACUUGGAGUGGGCAAUUGAUCCAGAUCAUAAUCACAAUCCCUAAUAUCCAAAAACCGGAGACUUGCAAAACUGUAGACUGAACCAAGCAUUGUUCUCAAAUUCAGACAUGGGCAGCCAACGAUUUCCAGACUCUCAAUCGAUGUGCUAGUGUCCUCUAUGACAAUCUCCGGAGUAAGGUUCAGUUUCUGGCAAUGUCUGAUCCCAAGAUUCCUAAGCUGAGGGAGGAGCAACUUGUCCAUUGGCAAGCAACUGAGGGCUGAGCAACUGCUUAUUUCCAAUGUGUUAAGACCAGAUAAUGUAGGCAAAGACAGGAGAGCACUGCAACUUUCUAUCUUAAGAUAUUUAAGCAUGGGUAAAACAGCAAGCUCCUCCAAGGAUGAAAGCUGUGAACAUUCUGAAACAACUAAAGAUUUUAGCUGCACAAGGUUUACAGUAUUACUUGAGCCCCACAAAUUCUUCAGUUGAUGGCACUCACGUAAUGUGAUAUCUUCAAGGCCUGAUGGGAACUGCAUGAACGCAUCCUCGAGGGAUGCAAGCCCUAUAAUCUGCCGAAAAUCCAAAUUGUUUAAUGAGGUCAAAUUGUAUAAACAUUUUGCAAUUCCCACCGAGCACUUUUGCAACUUUAGUUCAGAGAGUGAAGGAAGCUGCAAAACAGGAAUGCUUUUCAACUUUGGGCAUCUACUUAUACAGAGCUUUUGGAGCAGAGGGAAGUGGCAUUCGUUCUCUCCUGCUGAACUUAAGCAAGUCCAUUCCUCCCAUUCUGGCAUGUCAUCAAAUGUUAGACUUUCAAGCAAUGGAAAGGAAAAUUCCCGAGAGCAAUCUUUGCCACAUAGCUCCGUACCUACUGCCUUCACCUCAAGCAUGGUUUGAAUGCUCAAAUCCUUGAGCGCAGGCAAUUGCCCGAGUGAUGGUAAACACUUGCAGUGUGUACAACCUCUAAGGCUUACUUCUUCUAAUUUAGUAAAUGAAGAAUCCCCCACCCAGGAAGAGAAUUUGUCUCCCUUAUAGAACUCAAUUUCAAGACUCGUUAGGUUUGUGUGUGGUCGUAGUGCCUCGAGCAAAUCUUGUUGAAGAACUUUACUCAGAGAACCAUCAUAUUCACUAUUCCAUGCCAAUACUAUGUUAUCAAGGUCCCUCUUGUUCUUCAAAUUGGCAUCCCGUGCUUCUUGAACAUUCGUAACAUUUUGCAACUCCAAAAUGGCGAGUGACCCUGCCAGUAAGGACAAGUUCCCCAAGUCAUUCAGCCUGAACCCACCAUUUUUGCUCACAACCACUUUGGAUAGUGUCUGCAAGCUCGUCAACUGAUCAAUCCCUGAAGGCAUCUCAUGCAAUUGACUAGUAUUGAAAUUUUCAAGAUGGCGCAGGUUAAUUAAUUUUCUAAUACCCACCGGUAAGUUAAUCAGCCCCCAGCAGUCGCGCAAACGUAGUGUUUGUAAAUUGCAAAGGUUACUCAAUGAUUCAGGCAACACUUUCAACGAAGUACCAGACAAAUUCAGGUACCUUAGAUGUAUUAAUUCACCAAUGGAAUUUGGUAGAUCAGAGAUAGAAUAUCCACUGAAUGAUAGCACCCUUGGGUAUCGCAAUUCCAGCAAAAGUUCUGUUAUGACCUUUUUAGCGAUGUAAAAGUCGCCGUCAUACUUGCCAGAAACGGGUAGGAAACUCCGCAAAUGUUUUGCUUUCUGAAGUGUUUUAAACUUUUGUGAAGCUCCAUACAUUGAACUUGUGAAUGAUGUGUACCUAACCUUGUCAAGAAUCGUGCAUUUGAUGUUCUCUUCCAAGUCGUCUGUCAGUCUGGAACAAAAAUCUCCACCAACAUAUCUAGCUAGAUCGUUAAUAAGGUCAUGCAUCACAAAACGUGAACUAGCGGAACUUGACUGCUGGAAGAAGGACCUCAUUAGUAGCUCCUUAAAAUAAUUGUCCCCUGUGUCCUCCAUAAGAUCACUUGCUUUUGAUUCCUCGAGAAAACCCUCUGCCAUCCAGAGCAAUACAAGCUCAUAUUUGUCAAACUCAUAGUCCUUGGGAAAUAUGGAGCAGUAAGCAAAGCACGGUUUUAGAUGGGCAGGAAGAUGAUAAUAGCUUAAUCUUAGUGCUGGAAGAAUAUCACUUUGAUCCUCUUUUAUUUCCCAUAUCUCACUGUUCAGUAUAUCCGUCCAUUCAUCUGGGGUCGAUCUAGCACGCAACAGCCCUCCAAGAGUCUUCACGGCCAAGGGCAAGUUCUUACAUUUCCUUACAAUACUCCUACCAAUGCCUUCUAGAUUGGGGUGCCUGUCAAAAUUUGUCCUUCCUAGUGCAUGUCUUGCCAGUAACCAUAAGCUUUCAUCAUCUGUCAACUCCUUCAGACUAUAUCCAGCAGUGGAAGACAUUACUGAUGCCACCCUAUGAUGCCGAGUGGUGACAAUUAUCUUGCUCCCAGAUGAACCAACUAGAAAUGGGCGGCGCAGGAUGUCCCAGUCCUCGUAUUUUUCAUUCCAAACAUCAUCUAAAACAAUUAGAAACCUCUUCCUGGUCAAGGCCUCACUCAGUUUCACUUGAACCAUAUUCAGAUCCUCAUAAUCACAGCCACCUCGUGUGAUUGCUUUAAGGAUUGUCUUUGUUACCCCAACAAUGUCAAAAUCAUCUGAAACACAAGCCCAAGCCUUGGAAUCGAAAAAUUCGUUGACUCUGUCAUCAUUGUACACCAUUUGAGCAAGAGUUGUUUUACCAACCCCUCCCAUGCCAACAAUUGGUAUCACAACCACUUGAUCAUCACUCGAUUCAUUUGAAAGGAGCAAUUUCAGCAGCUCUUCUUUGUCAUUCUCUCGACCAUAAACAUAAGACUCCACCAAGGAAGUUGAUGGCAAUCUAUCCCUAUUUUUGUUCGGCCUCUUUGCUACAGUCUCUGCCAAAUGGAGGAUUUUGAUUUGUUCUUUCAUGCUCUCCAAUCUUCUAGUUAUUUCAUCCACCUUGGGAGCCAUUUUUCUGUUGAACUUAUAAUCUUUAACAGAAAAAUUUGUACAACAGGAAGGGAUUUUAGCCUUUCUUACCUUGCUAGUAGAGCCAUGAGCUUCCAUCAACUUUCUUCGACAAGCUUCAGUGGAGAAUUCGUCGAUCACAUCAUCCAUAUCAUAUGCCAAAUCCUGAAGAUCAUCUAGCCAGUGCUUCACAGCAAUCCUCAUAUUCUGCUUGUCCUCUGCAUCAUCAAGCACUGCCUGAAUCAGGGAUAGCACUUGGAUCCAUCGUUUCAGCUGAGUAUCUAAGCCUUCUGAGCGUGCAAAUUUCUUCAAAUCCACAGAAGCAAGCUUGUCAAAUAUCACCUUGAUGAUUGCACCAAGAAAGACUUCUAUCAGUGCCAUUUUUCACUAUUCUUUUUUUUUUCUCCAGAUUAUAUUGUGUAGGUAAGCAACAAGCAAAAAGUCUGAAAACUUGAAAGGGGAGAUAAGAUUGAAAGAUAGGAAACUACAGGCUGUGUUUGGACUAAUAAUUCAAAAUGGUUGCGGAACAGUAACUACUUUAUCUGUUUGGAUGUGGACAUAGAAGUUAUAAUUAGUUUCAUGAGUGAAAUUUUUACCUACUAUUCAUUUCCCAAGAAUCCACCCAUUUUAUUUAGAUUCCUUGUAUGUUUCACUAACAAAUGCAUAGGUAAUCAUUGGUGUUUUAUGAGGAUGAAAAGCAAAAGAAAACUACCGGCCUCUUUAUUGCUCUCUUUCAUCUGAUCUCCAUCCUUCAUUUUCGUAGUGACCUGCAAUGCUUGGGUCAUCCUUUCAGAAAGGUUAACUGUUAGCUUUGGUGAAUUAUCGAAGGAGAUGCAAUUUGAUCUAUUUGUUGACGUGCAAUUGACUAAUCAUUCAUUGUUAUUAGGGUUAACAACAUAAAAGCCCCUGUGAUAUAACUAUCAUACAGAAAAGUCCCCUGUGAUUUUAUAUCAUACGCGUCGGUACCCCAUGAUUUGAAUUAUUCUGAAAAAUCAACGGAAAUCAUUAUAACAGACAAAGCUGAGUGAAAAGACGAAAAUACCCUAAUGAUAUCAGUGAAAAUUGCAGAAGUAAUUUCGGGCAAGGGCAUGGGCCAGGCGGUCAGCAGUGUCUUGACCCGAGACUCCACCAUUGUGGACCCAACAAAGCGAGGUUAUCAAGAUUGAGCUCUUCGGUCCAAGAAGCGUGGCGAUGGGAGAGGAGGCGGUUUUCCGAAGGAACUUCUCGGCGAUGGCAGCAGCUGCUACGGCGGUGGCGGAGGAGGAUGAGGAUGAGGAAGAGUCUGAUACGUCAAGUGCUGCCGCGGUUGGACUGGGGUCGGGUGGGAUGAGGAGGAAAAAGAGGAGGAGGGCCGCGGGGAAGGUGGCGGCAAAAGGGUAUAGGAAGUUGGCGGAGACGAUAGGGGGAUUUGCAAACAUAUAUGAGAGAGUAGAGGAGGCGAAACAGAGGCAAAUGGUUGAGUUGGAGAAGCAGAGAAUGCAGUUUGCCAAGGAUUUGGAGAUUCAAAGGAUGAAGCUUUUUAUGGAAUCCCAGGUCCAGCUCAAAAAGCUUAAGCGAUCUAAGCGCAAUUCACCAUCUGGUGGUAAGUUUAUCUGUGCAUUUGCAUAUUGUCUCAAGUAAUGCUGGCAAUGUUACAUGACUAGUUUCAGCCUAGAGUUUCUUGGGUUUCUUGACGAGCCUCUCCUCCACCUCUUCUCUCCAGUUGUAAGCGGGCUUGCUCUCUCUCCUCUCGUUCCUCAGUUGCCUUCUCUCCCUGGUCGUUAGUUGCUUUUCAAUCACGGACUCUACAGUCGCCGAGAUCGUGAAAGAAAUAAUGGGACUUCGGAGCUUAUUGAAGGCUUUGGAGUAAUGGGUGGACGGGGAAAGAAAGAGAGGGCAAGGACUCCAUGUAAGAAGCCUUCGCUGCAGCUCUAUCAUCCCUAUUAGUAUCUCGUUAUUCAAUCUGAUUUUGAUCUGGUUUUGUUUUCUUGGCACAGAUGGCUUGUGUUUCUGCUAUUUUGGUGUAUGUUUGGUUUUGGGUCAACUAGCAAUUUGGUAGAUGAAGGGUAAAAUAGGCAUAUCAGGUGAAAGUCUGUGAUAGAAAUCUAUUUUUCGCAAGAAACAUACGCCUUUCCAGUGCGUUUAAUACAAACGCCGUACAUUUGACGAUUUCCGUCGACUUUUCAGAAUAAUUCAAACCAUGGGGUAUCGACAUGUAUGAUAUGAAACCACAGGGGGCUUUUCUGUAUAAUGGCUAUACCACAGGGGGCUUUUAUAUUGUUAACCCUUGUUAUUAUUAUAUGCAACUUUAAUAAAGUGGCCAAGAUUGAUAAAGGAUGAAGCUAUUGAAGCGGUGGUGAUUUAUUGGUCGUAGAUAUUGGUUACAAGAAAAUGUUUGCUUAUUGAGACACUAUUCAUGAAUCAUCCAUUGGAUACUUGCCUUCAAUAAUUUCUGGAAGGUUACAACGUGUGAAUGUUUUAAAAAAGGGAUAAUUUCGGAAACCUCCCUUGAGGAUUCAUGAAAUAUCACUUAGCUUCCUUGAUGUUUUCAAAAUCUCACUUAGCACCCCUCGAAUUGACAUUUUGGUAACAUUGUCACCCUUCUAACCAAAAGUAACAUUAAAAAAUUCAUGUUUGAGGAGAGAGAUUAUUUUAGUGCCUUUACUACCCUUAGGCUAUAGAAAAAUGAACAUUUUACAAACCAAGGAAAAAAAGUACUAAAUUGGAACCAUCUUAAAAGUGAGGGGAUGAAAAUUGAUAAGAUUUUAUGUUACAGCCAAUAGUCAUUUCUAUAGUAGAGAGCAGUGUUGUCAAAAUCGCGAUCCGGAUUGUAGGAUCGUACGAUCCUACGAUCCGGAUAACCAAAAUCGAUCCGGAUCGUAUUCAGAGUCGCAAAUUGUAUUAAUCUACAUAGGAUCGGUAGGAUCGUACGAUCGUACGAUCCUACAAUUUUUUGCAAAUUUGUGAAAUACGAGACUCCAUUUUGCAAGUAAAUGAAAAUAUUUGUGGUAGGUUUGUAAUUUAUCAAAGAAUUGCAGCUUUUAAUUGCAAUUUUUGCCUCAAAAAGUCAAAAAAGCUCAUAUUCUUCUCCUCUACUCAGUCAUCUGUCGUUGACUCGUUUCUUUAUUCUUCAUUUCAACCUUCAUUUUUCAGUUUUCACUUCUUCUCCACCGCUGCAACUCCAACCAACCAACCUUCAUUGUUACAAGAGUGCUUCAGCUCACAUAGAUUAUUGUUUGCUUACUAUUGAUUGCAAUAGCUAAGCAUUUCAUGCAAGAUUGAGUUUCUGAUAUCUUGAGAACUUUAUUUCAGCAGAUAACUUUUUCUUCUUCUUAGACAAGGUUGUAAGGUGGCUUUGUGUCCAAGAAGUUCAUUCCUUCAGCCGAAAAAUAUUGGGUGUCACUCGAACUUAUGAUUUCCUGGCCUUUAUUUUUGUUCUUAAGCUAGAAAGGUGCAUUAAUUGCCCAGAUUUUCCUAUUUAGACCAGAAAGAUGGGCUGCCGUGGACGUAUGCUUUUGAACUUUUUGUUAACAAGUUUGAAAAAUCUAAUUUCUUCUAAAUUUUCAGCUCAAAUCAACAUUUAGCCUGGCUUUUCUCAUAGUAUUACUUUGCAAUGGCUAUAAUUGUGAAAAGAAAAAUGCUAUAUAUUUAUUACUUAUCAGACAGUAAGUAAAAAAUACUAUAUAUUUAUGAGUAACUUAUUUAUUUAAUAUCUUUUAGAAUGUACAAAAUGGUAUAUAAAUCUGAAAUUCAUUAAUUUAGUAAAUUUAGAAACUUUUGGUGGAAUCUUACGAUCCUACGAUCCGAUUCUGUGAAACUAAAAUCGAUCCUACGUAGGAUCCCGAUUUUACAAACCUUGGUAGAGAGAGACAGUAAAAGCAUAUAUUUUUUAAACCAUUUCAAUAAAUAAAACCCUCCAUAGCAUUGAAGGCAAUUAGCAUGUAAAAAUCAUGCAUUUGAGCCAAAAAAACUCAGCAAUAGAUGAAAUUCAACUUCAAUAUCAUACAGAGAAUUUACUCAAAAUAAACGGACUUUUUUUAUGGGCAUGAAAUAUGAAAAUUUUAUUAUAAAAAACUCAGAAUUUGAAAAACUGCAGUUCGGAGUAUUAGUUACUUUAUUUCUCUUGCGCUCUACAUGAAUAGGAACAAAUAAAUAAAUAAAGUUGUGAAACACAAAAAAAAAGGAAAAAAAGAACCUGCAACUAUUUUUCUCCAAAUGCGCUGAAUAUUUCAUUGAUUAAAUCUUAUAUUUCAUUGACAUUUAGAGAAAGAAAAACAAGUUUAGAAAAUUUAAAUAUGAGGGUAUUAUUGACAAUUCAUCACCUUUGAUAUUAGCAUAUGACCCUACUAUCACUUCAAGGGUGUUAAGUGAGAUUUUGAAAAGUUCAGGAGAGCUAGGUGAUAUUUCAUACAACCUCAGGGGAGGUUUCUGAAAUUAUCCCUUUAAAAAAAUAAUACAAUAUGUGAAAACGAUUCACUAAUAGUUUCUCGAUAGAGCUUAAUUGGCUAUACUUGUCAAUUUGCUGUUUGAGGCUCCACUUCACAUCUAUAAAUGAAUGCAAUAAUUAGCAGGACAUUUAUAAAUGAAUGCGACAACUGUCAAGAUGAAAAUUAUAUAACUGUGAUGUGUUUGCUGGUUUUAUUAAAAUAAAAAAAUACAUAGGACAAAAAAAAGAAUUAGAAUUAUCUUUUACAUUGAGUUCAUGUCGUUGAAAUAACUUGUGCGGUCGAUGCAUGCUUGUAAUAUGUGUUAACCUUUAUGAAUCCCACAUAAUGUUUGUUUGGCCUGAUAAAUCAUUUUUUAUUGUGCUAAUAUUGCAAACGAGUUUUAGAAAUUUUGCUGCAAAUUUAUCUUCUCAAAAUAACUCAACCAAUUUGAUUGGGAUCAAAAAAAUUGUGGGCUAAGUUUUUUUGUUCGAAUAAUCACAUAGGUACAAACCAAUCCCUAGUGGACUCAAAAUUCUAGACUCUUUAAGAGUUUCUAACCAAGCAGUAAAUAGCCAAGCAUCUAAAAGUCAUUUGUAAGCAUAAAGUUCCAUUCUACACCAAGCAGUAAUGGCUGACCCGCAAAGUGCGGAUCGGGUCAGUCAAAUGGUGAAUGGGACGGAUACCCGACCCACACCCACCCCUAGUGGCUCGUGCUAUUGUAGGUGAACACUACUUUCCGAUGACCUGAAAGGGAAAGUUGACUUCAUGUAGCAUUCAAACCACACGCAGUUGCCAUCAGUAAACGCCUCCAUUUUUAGUGCACAGCAAAAGAGGCAAACUAAUGAGCUGCGCAGGAGGACCCUUCAAAGAUGAUAGCACAAAUGGGCAACGAACAAGCAGCAUUACUUGUGGACUUGAAACUAUACAAUCACACGAGCAUUAUCUCCACCUUGAUCAUCAAGUCUUUCACGAAUGAUCAAAAAAACAUGUAAAACUUGCUAAGCUUCUCAAGAUAUUUUACAUAAAAAGUUGAGAUUUUACAACCCGGUUUGCACCUACCAUCCACACAAACUAAAACCAAGGACUCCGAACAAAGUUAAAUUAAAGUUCUUCUUCCCUGGGGAAUGGAAAAGGAACUUCUAGUAGACAAACUAUCUUUGCUGCAUCAUACAAGGAGAGUACAUGGGGCUUUCCUAACAGCAAGUCAAAUCAUCUGUGCAAAAGAAAUGAGACGCCAUAGACCGCACUGUCCAGCAAUAAAGAAAGGAGAAAAGGUAUAUGCAAGAGACAGGGUCCGCCAAGAUGAGAAUAAAGUCUGGAUCAGCCGGUCUGAUCAUGAAGCUUAAGAAUUCAGAUGCCCACGGAAUUUUCUAAGCCGCUCUCCUAUUGGGUUGUCACACUCUUUGCAAGAUUUCGGGGCUGGUCAACAUUGUGACCUCGUAGAACAGUUAGAUGGUAGGCCAACAACUGCAGGGAAAGAGCAGGGAAAGAUAAUUAUCCGCAGAAGUAUCAGCUUUUAUAGCAAUGAGAAACAAAACCGCAAUUCUUGAGAAGGUCUACCAACAAAAUAAAAGAAAUUUUACAGCCUGUACUAUAAGCCAAAUAGUUAUCAAGAUGUGUCAUAGCUCUUUCCAAAGAUGACAAAAACAAAACGAGGAAAUCAAAGGUUCAACUGCACAACAUAACCAAUUGUAUAUACACUCGCUCAAUCAAAAACAAUACUCAACCUAAAGUGUUGCAGUAAAAUAUAGAAGAGUGCAACUAUUGGCUCCCUUAGAAUCUUUGAGAUUGAAUUCCCUUUGUAAGACAGUUACCUUAGGGCACGGAUAAAAUUAACAUAGUUGCUGUUGAUCAUAUGGUCUACUUUACCCAGACAAAUAAAAAUCAAAGACUUGCAGAGCUUGCAGACUUUUCAUAGUUCUUGGGCUUAAUAUUCAAGCUGCUCUGAGAGUUGAAAUCAUUAUUAAAUAGUUUAACAAUUUGGUACCUAAAAGUUCCUAAAAAUAGCAGCAUUUAGGUUCCCAGAGUAAAGAAGAUCCAUACUGCCAAAAUCAUCCUUCAUCCAACUCAAUGAAUAGUUAACACAAGAAAAGGUUCCCAAUAAAAGUGGGCAAUUUACCUGCAAUGGAAUUACAUUAAGUACAGGCUGGAGACAGUCUUCAACAUGAGGAACUUCAAUUACUCGACAAGAUCCACCAACUGAUACAGAUGCAGAAUCUCCUUUCGUGCACAUAACUAUUAGUCGACCUUUCCUAGCAUGAAGUUGCUGAAUGACUGAUUGUUGUUUGCUGCAGCAAAAAGAGAUGUUUAUGGAAUAGAUAAUAAUAAACACGAAACCACUAGUUUAUCAAAACAUUCAACUAACUGAAACAAGCAUCACGAGUAGCAAUCACAACAAUUGGAAGCUUGUGAUCCACUAAUGCUAAAGGUCCGUGUUUCAUUUCACCUGCAAGAAUUCCCUCACUAUGCAUAAGAGCAACCUCCUUUACUUUCAAGGCGCCUUCUAGAGCUGUUGCAUAAUUAUAUCCUCUUCCAAAUACAAGAAGUGAUUGUUCACUAAUGAACAGUUCGGCAAGAUCUUUCAUUUCCUCAUCCAGCUUGAGAACCGCUUUCACUUUGCUGACCGUUUUCAAAAGCAUAAUAUAAUAGAAUUAGAUACCUCAAAAAAUAUAUACUAGAAAGCACACUUUUGUAGGCAGAAAAACUAAAGAAUGUUGUAGCUGCAAUGCAAGAAACAAGCAAGAUGCAUACUUGGCAAGUCUAAUAGACCAUCUAUUAUUGCUUCUCUCGUUUCAUUUGAAAUCAUGUCUCCUCCAACAGCAAGAGCCAACAUUGCCAUAACUACAAUUUGACUGGUGUAUGCCUGUUGAUCAAGGCAACAACAUAACAAGUCACAUAAUAGUAAAACCAAAAGAAAAAAGAAUAGAAGGAAAUAGGCCAAACACAAAGUGCCAAUUACUUGCCUUAGUACUCGCCACACCUAUUUCACAACCAGCCUUAAUAUGCACAUCGCAGUGGGUUUUCCUAGCAAGCGCACUUCCUACAGUGUUUGUGAUUCCAACGCAUAAUGCACCAUUUUCUAAAGCAUAAUCUAAUGCCUGUAAAGUAUCAGCAGUUUCACCAGACUGACUGAAAAAAACAGCUGUGUCUUCCCUGUAUAUUGGCCCCUGCCUAUCCACUAAAUCACUAGCAACCUCCAGCGUAACCGGAACACCUUUAUACAGGAGAAAUCAGUGUAAGAAUCAAUUUACUAGAUGUCAUCAUCCAUACAAUAUAGCAACAGCUAACAACUAGUACCGGUCGAUGUAUUUGUGCUCCAAAUAUAGUUCCUCGAACAGCAUUUUCUAAAUGAACCAGAGCCAACUAGAAUUGAUCUUGUAAAAGAUCCGCUACAGAAUGAAUACAUUUAUUUUUCGAAUGAUUCAUAUAGUCAAGUGUACCCAUUCCAAAUUUUAGUCCAAUCAAAUGAUCGGCGGCUGCCAAUAUAUCUCAGGAAGUAUGGUCUGGAAGUUGGUCAAAAUCUGAUAUUUAUAUAGAUGCGGUAUGUAAAGAGUUUUCGUGUAUCCAUUGCAUUUUGCUUGAGUGAUGUUUUCUUUUAUGUUGUAUAUGAAUUAAAUUUUGGGUUUUUUGAUUAAUUCGUGGUUUACCUUCAUGUGAUUUUAAGAUUGUAUUGUCAGUUUGAGUGGGUUUUUUCAGUAUUUACUUUUUGGGAUUGGUUGUUAAUGUUUGGUGUAAAUGAUUGAUAGAUAGUGCUCUUCCAAUUGGUGUCAAUGAUAAAUAAUGGUAUUUCAAUUUAAAACUUUUUUGGUAAUGUGGGCCUUAAGUUUUGUACUACCUUUAUGAUUUUAGAGCUUGUGUGAUUAAUAGUGAAAGUAAGGACAAAAUUGGCUAUAUUUUUAUUGAUGUUUGAUAUAUUUUUUAAACUUGGAUAUUCUAUAAAUGUAGAUGUUAUCAUGGAGAUGGAUACCAUCAUCUUCAAAUUUUUGUUCUUGUUGUUUCUGGAAGAACACCAUGAAAAGCUUUAAGGGUCAAAAAAAGUUGUUGUUGAGUCAAUUGUAUUAUAAUUCUCAUAGAUAUCAAUUGUUAGUUGUCAGUUUUGCUUGGCUUCCUCUCAUUAGCUUCCUCUAAUUAGUUUCCCGUAUUAUGAGUGAUUGGAAUAUUAGAAAAUUUAUUUCUAAUGCUUAGGAGAAAAAAAGAAAAUAUUCUUUACUGACCACAUGAAAGAAGACAUUUGAAAUUAUUUUAUAAGAAGUUCGGUGUAAUAAAAAAAAAUAUGAUUACCAAGUUCUUAAUUAUCAAACAGUGAAUGCCCAUUUCUACUUUUGAACCGACUGCAUACUCAACUAGAUAAUAAAACAUCAAUGGUUAUAGGAAGCAUUAAAAAAGAACAUGAGAAUAUUAUUCUAAUUACUCAAAUCAUUUGGUAACGCUUUAGUUUUUAUUCUAAUUACUCAUAUUAUUGAAUCAAUUGGUAGCAUUUUGUUCAUAUCAUUACUGUCAUAACCGAAAUAAAAUGACUCUAAUUAUUAGACAAAAGGGUACUUUUUUUUUUUUUUUGUCGAAACGAUAGGAAAUUUCAUUAUCAAAGGCCAUAAUACAUGUACGAGCAACGGCUCGAAGGAACUGCACAAAAAGUGUUCAGCGAACACUGAGGAAAUUUCUUUCCUCAUCCACAAUUAUGCUUAAAGCAUCUGCACUCAGUAGUCUACUGUCUAACAUAUUUUCCUCUCUUUCCAAACCAAAAGAGCACAUACAAAAUAGUCUCUUCAGACUUAGAAUAUCCUCCAGCAAUGUAGCCAUCUUGCUAUCUGUUGGUCGUUGCUGUGUAAGCUGUUUCCAUAGUUCUUUGUUGCAGAAAUUGAGACGUACCUCUCUCCACUGCUGCUGUACAGCUUUGCACAGAACCAAUUUUAAUGCCAGAGCUUCGUCUAAGAUGUUGCUCCCCAAACUUCUCUCUGUCAGCUUCCAAUCUGCAAUUUUAGUGUUUGCCGCAUUCUUUGCUGUGACUCCUAUGCCAAAGGCGUUCUGCCCUUGUUUCUUAACUGUUGCCACUUGUAUAAUUAAGGCCCCUUCAUUUCCAUUGCUCUGUCCUUGGUGAACAUUGGUAUGAACUGUUUCUUCUGUACUCUUUUUAUCCCCCUACUGAUGUUCUACCCCUUGUUCCAUCCAUUCUUUGUGCGCACGUUCUACUAUUCUCAAUGGUGCUAAUCUAAUUGAGUUCUCAUAUUCCCUCUUGUUCCUAUCUUUCCAUACCUGCCAUAAUAUAUUUGCUGUCAGGCCAAUAUGCUCCUUCCCUUCCUGUCUAGUUCUUGCUUCUGUAAUUCUCAUCCACCAUCUCUUAAAAUCACCCCUCUGAUCAUUUGCUCCAUCCCACUGAAUGGGGGCUGAUUUCCAUACUUCCAGUGCAUGUGGACAGUUGAGUAACAUAUGUUCUAUGGUUUCUGGAGCCUCGCCACAGGUUGAGCAAAUAGGGUCCCCUACUCCUGUUCGCUUUCUCACUGCCUCCCUGACUGGUACUGCUCGUUUAAUACACUUCCAGAUGAAGUGCUUGAUUUUGUGCUUAAUGUUGAGCUUCCAUAACAUAUUCCACAUCUGAACCAUUUGCUGGCUUCCUUCUGAGGUGCUUGUUUCAGCUCCCUCCAGGUUGCACCUUCUUCUGCUCAUGCCUUUCUCCAUCAACAAUUUGUAUCCUCAGUCGACUGUGUAAUCCCCUCCAGCUUCUGGUUUCCAGUAGAAACUAUCUUCCCUCCCUGAUAAGCUUAGAGGGAUGCGGAGAAUCUGCUCAGCAUCUUCUUUGUUGAAAUAUCUGAAGAUAACAUUCCUGUUCCAUCUCUGCUGGCAUAUUAGCUCAUCAACCAUCUUUAGCUCACAGUUACUUGUUCGGCAUGUUGACAGCUUCCCCGUGGGUGUCUCAGGUAACCAUUUAUGGUCCCAGAUUUUCGUGUUCCUACCAUUUCCAAUCCUUCUAAUCAGUCCUCCUUCUAUUAAGCUCCUUGCUCCCAGUAAUCCUUGCCAAAUCCAUGAUGCAUUUUUAGGGAGGGUGCAUUGUAGUAUGGAUUCCUGAGGGAAAUACUUGGAUUUUAAAACCUUACUGACCAGAAGAUUUGGGCUGGUUAAUAUCCUCCAUAACUGCUUACCCAGAAGUGCUUUGUUGAAGGCUUCCAGAUCCUUAAACCCAAGGCCGCCUAUGUUCUUGUGUACUACCAUUUUGUCCCAAGAGAUCCAGUGCAUGUUGUUCCUUCCCUCAGAUCCACCCCACCAGAAAUUGGACAUCAUGGUGCUAAUGUCUUUGUAGAGUGAUCUGGGCAGCUUAAAGCAGGACAUAACAUACGUAGGCAUGGCCAUUGCAACUAAGACAAAAGGGUACUUUGAUCGCAGCAAAUACUAAGACAAAAAAAAUAUUUACACUUCAAAUUGCUUACAUUCCACUUGUCCAAUGACGGAGCUAAGGGGGGCUGAUGGAGUCCAUGGCCUCCCCUAACUUUUGAAAAUUUUAAUUUAUAGUGUGUAAAUAUACGUGUAAAAUAAAGUUGGCCCCUCCCCCUAAUUUUUUACAAUUUUAGUUGUUAUUAUAAGAGUUUAUAUAUAUAUAUAUAUUAUAUUUUUAUAUGAUAAUGAAUCGCAAUCUAAUUGAUGAAAUGUUUUACCUGUAUCCCACAAGUCAAAAAUACAAUAUAUUUCUUUUUUUUUUUUUUAAGUCAAUAGGAUUGUCAUUGGCGAGAUCAAAUGAGCAAUUAUUGGUCUGCGAAGAUUGAAAAGCUCAGCCCAUCUUGACCGCCGCCUUCUAAUUUCCAAGCCACAUAUAUGCAACGACCUGCAAGUCUUCAGCAAAGAGCAAGAAAAGAGUCAUGACACAGGACCAAACUGGCUAUGAUUAUAUUCAUAUUUUUUUUUUCUAAGCAAUUUAUUGAUACUUCUAGCGCCAUAGCAAUUCGUGAAAUCUCUCUAUCAAAUUUCGAUUUCAUGUUUUUCUGUCCAGAAAAAUCGAUUAUGGAACAUCCAGUAGCUCGCGUAAAAAAAUUUAAAAGAAAAAAAAACAAUUGCUAUGCAUGUGCCAAUGCCUUUUGCAACUUCUGAAAGUUUUCAAUAGCGGAUUUAAACUUAAUUGUUAAAGUGUUAACGAGCCAAUUUGAGGCUAGUCAGUUUGACUGAUACAAGUAUUAUUCAUCUUAAGUGCACACAAUUACACAUUUUACUGUCCCUUACACAUUAAGCUGCAGACAUUGCGAACACAAUUGUACUGUCCCUUAAACCUUUAUCAACAGUUAAAAUCCACACAAUUUGUCUGAUCAAAAUUGUAUAUUUGUAAAAAUCAUAGCACUCCAAGAAACGAUAUUCUUCUUGGACAUAUCCCCGAACAAUCAGAUUGCUUAAAGAGUCAAUAUGAGAAACAAUCAGAAUUGACCUAAUUUCUGCAAUAAUUAUAAAUUGAAAUACCUUAGUGACAAGUGUCGAGCCUGUGUAAUAAUAAUUACUAAAAAAUCCUAGUUACCACCAUAAUUAAUUAUAGAACAAAUCCAAGUACUGGAGCAGGAACCCUAGGUGUGCAAUGGGUUACUUGAUUCACCCUAUUUCCGAAGAGUGUGCUUGAUCCGAUAUACCAGAAUUGUCUAUAAAAAUAUUAAAUUUGCGUAUAAUGGCAAGUAGGGUUGAUUCCACAGGGAACGGAUAAGAAAUUGCUUCUUUCCAAAUCAGUAGAACAAAAUUGGGGGAUAUUUAAUGGAGUGAAAAUGAAAAUAAAAUAAACAAAAUUCAAAAGCUAACUUAUCAAGUACAAUUUACUAAAAAUAGCAAUUAAUAAAAUUCUACCCAAAGGAUCAACUGUUCAAGCACGGUCCAAUUAAAUGAUCAUCGAUGCAAAGAUUUUUCAUUCAUCCGUCACUAGGUUGGUUAUAACUAUCAACAAGCUCUGACAACCAGUUCUUCCUUACUUUUUCCACAUUCAAGGUACGACCAUUGACUGCUUCUCUAACCAGAAAACAACCCUAGGUACGACCGUAGGAGUUUAAUUAUCCAAUUGCAUUAAAGCUAGAAGAACCCAGUCAUAACCAAUAAACACGCUAAGAGAGUUCAUUUAAACUAGAUCCUAUGUUUCCCCAACACAAAGCCAAUUAUGAUGGUUGUCACUAGUUGUCAACUAAACAAACAAUUACAGAUUCAAUUUAGUUAACGUGACAGUAGGCUAUUAGAUUAAAUUAAAUAUCCGGCCGUUGAUACUCAAUUAAUAAAAUAUCCAUGAACAAUUAAUUCAGGAAACGCAUGAAUAGUAACGAAUUGGAAGAAAUAAUGAAAAUUCGAUUAGAUCUCACAGAUGUUAUGGACCGCGCCUUUGCGUCGACCUUUGGGUAGAGGCGAAGUCUAGCCACUCCUCAUCAUAUCAAUCUCGCAUGGUUUAAUCGAUAUCAUCCAAUUAAUUACCAAGAAUUUGGGGGACACGGAAUAACGAAGAAACCGAGGAGAAAGUCUCGUUUCACUUUGCUUCGUGUCUGUACUCAAGCAAAAUGUAUAAGCCCAGGUCUCACAAAAGGCGUACGAAACAAAAGGAACAAAAACGGAAACUUCAAGUCGUCUUCCAAGGAUAGCAACCGAAGGCUACUCCCAAAUUGUCCAGAGCUAGAGCUAAAAGUCAAAAGAAAAAGACGUCUGACUGAUGGGAAAAAAAAAGAAGAAAGAAACUAAAGCUAAUCUCUUGAUUACACGUGAUUCUGGCUUUUUAGCGUUUUGAAGCCGCCGCCAGAAGCAAAGAAAAACGUCUAGGAGCAAGACUUUGUCUAGGGGUUUUAAUUCCAUGCAUCUCUGUGGUUCACGUGGAUCUCAUUUCCUAAUUGCCUCCUACUGCUACCAAUCCCGCGGGUCCGGCUUUUGGGUAUUCUUCUAGAGUUUCUGGUGUGGGCACGCCAUGAAAUAGAGAGUCUUCUGAAAAUUUGCCUCGCGAAAGCACUUUUUACACAAAUCACCUACAAUUUAUAUAAAUAUGAAAUAUGAGUAAAAUCUCAAUACUUAGCACAGUAAGUAGCCAAAAUUAUAACAAAAUAACAGUGCAGAACGUGCCCAAUAAUUGCACUAUCACUUAGCAUUAACAAUAAUUUUUAAGUAAACUCAUGGUACAAGUAUUUUUUUUCAUGAUGAUGAAACGGAGUCAAAUUGAUAAAAUACUUUAUUGUAUCCAACAAGUCGUGACUACAAUGUAUUUCUUUUUUCUAUUUUUUUUAAGUUGAUUGGAUUGUCAAUGGCGAAAUCAAAUGAGCAAUUAUUGGCCUGCGAAGAUUGAAAAGCUCAGCCCAUCUUGACCAUUGCUUUCCAAUUUCCAAGCCACAUAUAUGCAACGACUUGCAAGUCUUCAGCAAAGAGCAAGAAAAGAGUUAUAACACAGGACCAAACUGGUUAUGACUAUAUUCAUAUUUUUUUCUGAGCAAUUUAUUGAUACUUCUAGCGCCAUAGCAUUUCGUGAAAUCUCUCUAUCACAAUGUCGAUUUCAUGUUUGUCUUUCCAGAACAAUAGAUUAUGGAACAUCCAGUAGCUCGUGUAAAAAAAUUGAAAGGAAAAAAAAAACAAAUGCUGUGCACGUCCCAAUGUCUUUGGCACCUUCUGAAAGUUUUCAAUAGCGGAUUCAAACUUAACUCAAUUGUUAAAGUGUUAAUGAACCAAUUAGAGGCUAGUCAGUUUGACUGCUACAAAUUAGUUUGCCACACAAUUAGACAUUUUCAACAAAUUAGUUUGCCAAUUUGUCAGUUGACAAAAGAGCAUGAGUAGUACUUCUAGCAGUAGGUCUAACUCAUAUACAUUCAACAAAUUAUUGAGCUUUGCAAGCUAUAAAUGGGCUGACUGAUUAGGUCUCAAACUUUCUAUAUUAGGUCAGUUAUUGGAAUGAUACAUCCCAAGUUCUUCACAAGUGUUUUGAAAAGCCAAAACCAAAGUUUGGCCUUACUUAGAAUUGUAGUGACUUUAGAAAUUAAUUUGUUAUUGGAGCUUUGUUUUUUAGGGGGUUAUUGGAGCUUGCUAUAUAGGAACUUAAUUAUUGAAAGACAAGUGUUCAAACAUGUAGGUAAAGAUAUAAUUUAGUGAUUGAUAGUUGGAUUAGAUAUUAUUCAUAAGUGCAACUAGAUGUUAGUGUUUAGCUUACUAUUUGUGAUUAUUAGUUGCAAUUUUAUUGAAUCAUAAUGCCUUAAUUACAUAUUGCCCACUUGUAGUUUGCAGUCAAUAGCAGUUUACUCUCUAUUUACAUGAAAUACACAAAAUGCUUACUAAUGACCAAACAUUUUAACAACUAGGAAAAUGCACCUGCAUUGCACGUGUUUGAUCAUACCAAAACUUGUCUUACUUUUAUCUAUAUUGUGAAAGACUCAACUCAGAUUUUGCUAGAAAAGCCUUUGAUCCAUCGCAUGCCAAACAAGCAAUGCAAAACCUUUAAUCAUGCUGUAUAAGUGGCUGUAAUUCAGUAGAACAAGGAGAAGUUACUUGAUAUAUCUUAGACAGGAGCUAAAUGCUUCUCCAUUAAUCUUAGAGUUUCAGCCUUUAUUUUUAUUGCAAUUGUAGAAUCUUGAGAGCCCAGGAGGGGUGAGUUCCAAUAUUCCUUUCCAUUUUUUCAUUGGGUUAAUUAAGAUGCAUUCGAAAGAAUGAUGACAAGUCAACCUUUUGAGUGCCCUUCGAAACGAUAAAUAUAUGACAUGCUCCUUGUAAUAUUAUAAAUCAGCAAUACCCGUCCCUUUUCUUUUGGUAUCAUCCCUUUCUUAGAGGCCCUUGAUUUGGUUUUUGAGCAUCACUGCUUGUAGGAUUAAAUGUGAAAGUGGAAGUGAGAAGCAGAGUUAGUGUUAGAAAGGCUAUUUUCAUCUAGGCAUUCUAGCUGUAGAAAUGGCAAGCAAUACAAAUAACCUUCUUAUUACCCAAUGAAUCUCAAUUGGAAGAAAUAUAUUUUGGCCUUAGAUAAGCAUGGCUGGCUUACUAACCAUUUUCUUGCGUGAUUUUACACCUUUAUGUCUCUACCGUGAAAUAAGAAGCAGGCUUAAAGUCCUGAACUGUGUCCAAUAGUAAUUCUUUCAUUUGGUAGAAUUGACUCCAAAACUAUCAAAGACAUUCUUGACUUUCUUUGUAUUUCAUCGAUACAAUGUUGGUUGUAGGGACAUUGUGAAGAUUUGCGCCGAAGAUUUGGUUUACAUAAGAGGCCUAUGACCAUAAGAUUGUUUCUGCACUUUCUUUGUAAUGGUACUGCUAUCCUUCCAUACUGAUUGAAUAGUAUUAAUAAUAACUAUUGUAUUAGACAUAAUUUUAUAAUUGUAAAAAAUAUAAGUAAUGAUAUAAUCUUAGGAACACCUUUUUUAAUUCAAAUAUAUCCUUUCUCAGUAGGACAUGAAGGUAUUUCUACUAAUAUUAUGGGAAAAAUUAUUACUUUUAAAUUUUUGACUCCAAUAAAACAAAGAGAAUUACAAAUGUUACAAUCAUCCUCUAUAUAUAAAACAAUAAAUUCAAUUACUAAGGUAAAACAACAUAUAAAAUAUAUAAAGGAAGAAAAAUCUUAUUUAAAAAUUGAAGAACAAUUAAAAGAAAUAAAAAUGCAAAAAAGAAUUUUAGAGUUAGAAGAGUUAAUUAAAAAAGAAGUUUGUGCAGAAAUUCCAAAUGCCUUUUGGGAUAGAAAGCAACAUAUGAUAAAAUUACCAUAUGAAAAAGAUUUUAAUGAAAAAAAUAUUCCAACUAAAGCAAGACCUAUACAAAUGAAUAGUGGAAUUACUAGAAUUUUGUAAAAAAGAAAUACAAAUAUUAAUGGAUAAAGGAUUAAUAACCCCCUCAAAGUCACCUUGGAGUUGUGCAGCUUUGUAUGUCAUGAAUCAAGCAGAAAAAGAAAGAGGAGUGCCAAGAUUAGUUAUUAAUUAUAAACCAUUAAAUAAAGUAUUACAAUGGAUAAGAUAUCCAAUUCCAAAUAAAAAGGAUUUAUUGAAUAGAUUAUAUAACUCAAAAAUAUUUUCAAAAUUUGAUAUGAAGUCAGGAUAUUGGCAGAUUUUAAUAACCCCUGAAGAUAGAUAUAAAACAGCAUUUACAACACCCUUUGGCCACUAUGAAUGGAAAGUAAUGCCGUUUGGAUUAAAAAAUGCGCCUUCCGAAUUUCAAAAUAUAAUGAAUGAUAUAUUUAAUCCUUAUAAUUCAUUCAGUAUAGUCUAUAUUGAUGAUGUAUUAAUAUUUUCAGAAUCAUUAGAACAACAUUUUAGACAUUUAAAUAUAUUCUUAAAAAUAGUUAAGAAAAAUGGAUUAGUUGUUUCAGCAUCUAAAAUGAAACUAUUUCAAACUAAAAUAAGAUUUUUAGGACAUAAUAUAGAUAAAGGAACAAUAAAACCAAUAAAUAGAGCUUUAGAAUUUGCAAAUAAAUUUCCAGAUGAAAUAAAAGAAAAAAAUCAGUUACAAAGAUUUUUAGGAUGUUUAAAUUAUAUUGCGGAUUUCUUUCCUAAAUUAAGACAAGAAUGUUCUAUACUAUUUGAUAGAUUAAAAAAGAAUCCUAAACCAUGGACAGAAGAACAUACUCAAAAGAUUAGAUAUCUUAAAGAAAAGAUUGAAUCAUUACCAUGUUUAUGUUUACCUCAUCCUAAAGCUUUUAUGAUAGUAGAAACGGAUGCAUCAGAAUUAGGAUAUGGGGGGAUAUUAAAACAAAGAAUAGAUGAUUCAAAAGAAGAAUUAGUGCACGAUACCAUGCCAUUUUGUAAUCUUGAUAAGUAAAUCCAUCUGGAAUGAAUCUGACUGAGAAAGAUUUCUUUGAAUAAAGAGAAGUUCAUUCAUUAGGAGAACAAACUUUCAUGAUUCAAAAGAAGAAUUAGUUAGAUUUUAUUCAGGAAUAUGGUCAGGACCACAAAAGAAUUAUUCAACUAUUAAAAAAGAAAUUUUAUCUAUAGUAUUAUGUAUAUCAAAAUUUCAAGAUGAUUUAUACAAUAAAAAUUUUUUAAUUAGAAUAGAUUGUAAAUCAGCAAAAGAAGUUUUACAAAAAGAUGUUCAAAAUAUAGUUUCAAAACAAAUAUUUGCUAGAUGGCAAGCAAUUUUAUCAGUAUUUGAUUUUGAAAUAGAAUUUAUUAAAGGAGAAAAUAAUUCUCUUCCAGACUUCUUGACAAGAGAGUUUUUACAGGGAAAUGGAACGUGAAACCCACAAAGAAUAUAUUCGAAGAUUACGAGCUGAAAGAGACAAUCCUCUUCUUCAAAGAAAAGAUUCAAAUAUUUCCCAUAGACAUUUCACCUAUUAUAUUAAAAUCUCUGAAAGAGAAAUUCAACCCAUUCCCUAUCAUCAAAUUCGAAACCAUGAUAUAGUACAUAUUAGACAUAGCUAUUGGUCUGCCACUACUCCAAAAGAACAAGUUUUUCUUUUCAAAAGACAAAUCAAUUCCUAUAUCAUUUUCAAAGACGUCCUCAAAAAAGCCGGUCACUAUCAAGAGGAGAUUCAAUACUAUAACAACCAAAUCCAACAGCUUCGAGAGAAACUCAAUAAAAUUAUUUGUUAAUUUUGGAGGAUCAUGGAUUCAAAAGGAGGAAACUCUAGACCAAAACUCCUCAAGACUAUGAGAUGAGUAUUACUCCUGUAACUCAAAAUAGAUUCCAAUUAUUGCAAGAUUUUCAAGAUAAAGUCUUGAACUGUGUCCAAUAGUAAUUCUUUCAUUUGGUAGAAUUGACUCCAAAACUAUCAAAGACAUUCUUGACUUUCUUUGUAUUUCAUCGAUACGAUGUUAGUUGUAGGGACAUUGUGAAGAUUUGCGCCGAAGAUUUGGUUUACAUAAGAGGCCUAUGACCAUAAGAUUGUUUCUGCACUUUCUUUGUAAUGGUACUGCUAUCCUUCCAUACUGCUGAUGUUUAUAUUCACUAGAAAAUAAAUAAAUAAAUAUCACGUGCACUGCAUGUGUAUAAUUUAUAAAAUAAUUUUAAAAACUGAAUUAGGAAAUUUUGUAGUAUUUAAAGAAGUGUUCUUGUAGGACGAGAAAAUGUUAUAGGACAGAAGUCAUUUGAGUUGGGUAGCUUUUGAUAUGUCUUCUAUUUCUUUCUUUUAGAUAAAAUAGCACAAACAUCCUACACAUUUUGCCAAAGAAUUUUUUUGUCCUCAAAUUUAAAAUGCUAAUAUUAAAUUCCUAACAAAAAUAAACCAGUCCAAUUUGGACCAAACCUCUAACUCCAACCAUCUUUUGUCAUGAAAGCACACUUCUGUUAGCAAUAAGUUAUCCAGAAGUCCCUUGAAGCCAUUUUGAAAACAUCCAAUUUUACUUUAUUCUCCUUCUGGCUUUAGAAUGAGUAUCUAUUCACUCUCAAACACAAAGGUUCAAAGUUCUUCACCAAAACAUGCUUCAUUUAUGCCGGAUUUUGCCAAAUAAUCAUAUAACCAAUGCCUUCAGAUUACCUUAUUCUUUACAGGCAAACUGAAAGAGAUUUAGUUUCGGAUUAUUUGGUUGUCAACUCAUGUUCACAUGACAAAUCCUAUAACUCGCAUAAGAAACAAAAAAUCAAGAGGAGUAUUUUGACUCUUUGGAACAUGAUGAUUUUAAGUUAAUAUAAUUAUUUAUGUGAAUCGACAACUAUCUUAUUAUAAGUUUAGUUGAUACCCCAAUAGAGGUUCUGGAUUUGAAUUCCUCUUUCUCCUCUCUAUUUCUUAAAUCUCAGUUCUCUCCUAAUACAAAAUUUUAAAAAAUGUUUCAUAGUUAAUUCUGUGGACAAAUCAAAGUCACCACCUUUAAUAUCAAUCCAAAAUAUUCCAAAUUCAUAAAAUGGUAUUUAACUUUUAAUGACCUUCAAUUGAUUGGUUAUCGUUUGGAUAGGUUAAGUAAACUUGCUCAAAUAUAGGGUUAAGGCUAAAUUGUAAAACAAACAAACAAACACGUUCUUCAAUUUUUUUUUUCCUUUUCUAAGCAUGGCGCUAACAUUAUUAAUGAAAGAAAUUAAAAGAGAGUGUGAAUAAACAAAAAGUAAAAAAAAUUUGUACCAAUAUAAUUAAAAUCUAAGAUUUGUCUAGCAAUAGCUCAAAGUGUGAUAAAAUGUGUACAUCAUUCAAAAACUACUUUUUUUUCGUGGAAGAUGGAUCCUAAAAUAAUAAUAGAAAUUUAUAUUAGAAAAUGAAUGAUAUAUGGAUAAAAAUGAAUGUAAUCAUGAUCUUUAGUUUUGUGAAUGAUUAUGAGAGUAAGAUACGUUAUAAGAGUUAGAUAUGUAGAAUUGUGGGAAUAGUGGAAAUUAUAAUGCAAACAAGCUCCUAAAAUUUGGAUAUGUGUUUUUCACAGUAGUGAGUUCCUUAAAUUAUGAGUUGGUUAUUACUAUGAGUCAUGUGGUAAGUGUCAGACGUGGUUUACAAUUUGCAGAUGUGAUUUUGCAGGAGUAGUUAAUAUCUAUUAGUUAAAAUUAUGGAAUUAUGAUUUUAUAAGUUAGUGAGUCACGUAAAUUGUAAAAGUGAAAAAGGGAUACUGAGAAGCAAUAAGGAUUACUGAGUUACAAUAAAUCUAAAAUUGUAGAGGGUCAUUGUUAAAACUUUUCCCUCCAAUACAUAUAGAUAUAGAUACAGAUUUUAAGCUAAAAAAUUCUCUGGAUUGAACUAACUCUAAUAUGGGCUGGUUUAUGAUUAUCAUAUCGUUAACUUAGCAUUGUAGAGAUAAAAAUCAUCUACCUUAAUCAAUCCCCGUAGAAAUCAUAAAUUUUCGAAAUAAAAAAAAAUUCUUUUUCACGGUAUACCUUUUAAGUGUCAAGCUUUGUAUAAUCUCAUUAUUAUGUCAAAGCAAGCACACGAAGAAGGAAGAAAAACAGAUUCCAAUUCUCAAAUCAAAAGGUUCAAAAUUCAUAAACAAGUAAUACGCAUGUAACCAUGGUGCCAAUCAAAUUAUUCAGUCAUGAAUAUAAUCAAUAGAUUAAAAUACAACAUUAAAAUAUUCAAGGAACAACAUUAGAGAGGUUUUGAAUCAUACAAGUUUUCACUUUAGAUAUAAUUGUGGUAUUCUGAUCAAUCAAUCAGUGAUGAGUCUUCAUCCAGCAUUGCAGCCAGAUUUUUUCUUUUUUGAAGUUCUCUAUUUCAAUGACGUUUGCUCGGAUCUUAAUAGACUCUAAACUCUCUAAGUAAUUUGACUUCUAGUUUAAAUCAUCUAUGUUAUAAAACAAUAGCUUGUCUUCCGAUUUAAUAGAGUCCAAAUUUAGUUCUACUUCUUAUCAAGAUGCAAUUAGCGAGUGGAAGGAUUCGGCCAUUAUUUGAUACGUUAACAUUUGUAAUUAAAAAUUUUUGGUUUGACAGGAGACAGGAACUAAAAGUGCAGGAGUCAUUUAAUUCACCCAUAUUUAUUGAAUAUAAUUUAUAUAGACUUUUAUAGAUAUAGAUAUAGAUAUAUUGAGUAAGGACUAAUAUCAUCCAAGAGACUGUUAUAGAGUACAUAUAUAUAUAUAUAUAUAUAUAUAUAUAGAUUGGUCAAUGGUCACAAAUUUGCCCCUGCAAUCGUAUGAGUUUUAUCUUUUAAUUUUCAUUCUUGUAUUUUUUUCCUCUUUCUUUCUGUCUUGUUCCUUUUCUUCUUCAUCUUUUAAUGUCGCAAUACUUUUUAUUUUCUCUUAAUAUGUGCAUAUUCAAAAUAAAACUUUUGAUUGGCUAUAGCUCAUUCAAUUUGUUGUAUGCUCUGGUUUUUCAUUUCUUGUUAGGAAAUUGGCUUCAUUUCUUCUAGGUAGAAUUCUUAUUUUGUGUGGAAGUAACUAGUUUCCUAAUUGGUUUUAGUUACUUGAAGUAGUAAUCAAGUAAAGCCCUAUUUAGCUGGAUGUUAUUUCCUACUCUAUAUGAGUUUAGGAAAUAGUAUUGGUUUCCAAUUGUUAUUUGGUUUUUUUGCCAGUAAUAUUAUCUAUAAAUAGGUGGGUUGACAUACUACAUAAAGUACACACAAAGACACACAAGGAGACACAAAGGGCAUCAUGUAGCCUUAUACAUGGGGUGUGAGAGAGGGUUCUUGGGAGAUGAGAUAUGGUAUACAAGAGUUGGGUUUGGGUUCAAGUUAUAUUCUUGUAUAGGGUUUUCCUCUCAUAAUAAAUAACAUGUUUCUCUCUGUGGACGUAGGCUCAAUGGUGGAGUCGAACCACGUUAAAUGUUGUGUGUCGUUUAUCUUUCAUGCUUGUGGCUUGUUUCUCAUUAAAUUGUUAUACACUUGAUAUCUCAAUAGUUAUUUGUUCCGCACCUGGAUCCUAACAUUUCUUUCUACAAAACUCCAAAACCAAAUACAGGGAGUUUGUGUGCAAGAGUCUUGGGAUGGAGAGGAAAUCAACAGACGAGGCAUAAAAGGGGACAAGAAUUCAACAUCCCUUCGGCUAUAACCACGCAAGACUAUUAACUUUUGUUAAGAAUAUUUCUACGAUAUUAGCUUUUCAGGGUGUAAUUUUUUCCUUAAAAGCCCUAUGUCUAGACAUGGCAUGGGUGUAGAUUUUGUAUCUCUAAAUAUUGGUUUCCACUUAAUUGCUAAUAUCCUUUUGGACUUGAUAAUUUCUAGAAUUAUUUGUCUGGAGAAAUGGAAUUUCAUGGCAUGCAAUUUCACUUGGAGACAGACCAUUUGUACAAAAUUAAAAGACAAAUAAUUAAUAGUUGUGUUUAAUCAUCCAACUUGUGAGUUGGGAAACAAGUUGAAGCCGUAUCACUACUGGUGAAUCAAAAUUUGGAUAGAUCCGAUUUUCAAAAAUUCAGUGAUCUAAACUGCACCAUACCACUUCAUGAGAUGGUGUGACACAAUUUUAAAGAUUGAAUUUUUAAAAACCAGUCGGAGUGAUGAUGGCAAUGACCUGAUGAAGAUCAAAUUGAUCAGUUGUUGAUGCUGUUGUGGCCCUUGUACGUUUCAAUUAAUUGGAUCAUUUAAUUAGUUAAUUGGGCCGAGGGAUUAUAGCAAACUCUUGGGUUGUUUUUGUUGGACUGGGCCAAGUUCAGAAAAAGAAAAGAAACAUGUGUUUAUAUAUUUAUAUAUACACAUACUUAUAUUUGUAUACAUACAUACAUAUAUAUAUACACAUACAUACAUCUAUAUAUAUGUAUGUAUGUAUGUCUACACACAUGUGUAAACCUGUUGUAAAAACUUAAAAGAGAAACACGUGAUAAUAUAUACACAUGUAUAAACCUGCUGUAUGUGUCUAUUUAUAGAUUACUGGUAUUGUUAAUAACUUAAUAUUCAUGUUAGCUAUAUUGUAUUAUCGUGUAUUGUUCAUUAGUAUUUUCUCAAAUAUUAUACAUUACUAUAAAAAGCCAACAUUUCAUCUUGCCGUCCACGCCAAAAUAGAAGAAGCUAGAUUAUCUAAAAUAGCACACCACCAUCCCGCAUCAUUUCUAAAAAAUUUAAGACAAGCAAAAGUAGAUUUACUUUGGCAUAAAUACUCUGAAUUAAAAUCAAUAGAAAGACAAAAAUUAGAAGAACAAGAAAAAUAUAAAAAUAAAAGGAAUUUUUGUAAUAAAGUUUGUAGAACAUCUGAUUAACAUUUGAUUAAUCACGUAAGACUUUAAUUGGAGCCGUAAAAGUCCAACCACUAGAGUGUAGUCCAACAUAGUCCAACAUAGUGUAGUCCAACAUAGUCCAACAUAGUGUAGUCCAACAUAGGUCUUUAAUUGGAGCCGUAAAAGUCCAACCACCAGUUUUUUGGUAUCAAAGCUUGCCUUCCCGGUGAGCCUGAUUCCUUAAAGUCAAAGAUAGAUAAAAGAUUAGAAUACUUAGAUCUAGAAAUAAAAAAUAAAUCUAGGAAUAUAAUAACUUUAGAUAAUCAUAAGCAUAUUUGUUAUUUUCAGAACACCUAUAAACAUACCUUACAUAGUAAAGAAGAUAAAAAUUAUAAUAGCCUUAUUGAUCUAGUAAUAUCUUUAGGGGAGUCUUUAGAGAAACAUAAAGAAAAUAAUUCUCGGAUAAUAGAAAAUUUAUUAGAAUCAAUAAAAAAUAAAAAUAAAGUAAUAAAGACGCUAGUAGAAAAUCAGGAUUACUUAAAGGAACAAAAUAAUAAAAUAAUAAAAAGAAUAAAAUAUUUAGAAGAACUAAAACAAUUAAAAAUAGAACAUAAAAUUAAUACAGAAAAAAUAACUAAAGAAGUAUUAGAAGAGAUAAGACAAAAAUCUGUAGAAUUAAAACAAUCUUACAAUCAAGUAGAAGUACUAUUACAUAAAAUAGAAAAAAUCAUAUUAAGUUGAUAUAUGAGUAGUAAUAGUAAUAAGCCACUUCCCUCACAUUAUGUCUUUUAUCCAGAUUAUCUAAAAACAUUAGAAGAAUUAAAAUAUUACCAUCAAGACUCGUUAGGAUUAACAGAUUAUUCAGGAGCUAGUGCAUCAGAUAAAAUAUAUCCUAAACAAAAUAACGCUAUAAUAGCAUUAUUAAUAUCCUUACAUAAAAAAGUAGAUACAAUAACAGAAAAGGUCAGAGUCCUACAAAUAGAUAAGUUUGAAAAAGAUUUGGAAGAAAUAACGGACCAAUUUAAAAGAUUACCUGUAACAAAGAAAGAAAGUAAACCACAUCUUAGUAAUAUAUUUUCAGUAAAUCCUAAACCACAAAAAUUUUAAGAUGGCCAGUAGAACAUCAUUUUCAGGACCUAGUAGAACAGUCAACGAAAACACACAAGUAGGAACUAGUGUAUUAAAUAUAGGGAGACAAUUAAGAAGGAGUAGGAGCAUGCAUUUAGAAGAAGCAAUAGACGUCGAUAGAGACUUGGAAAUAUACAGGAAUAAUGAAAUAAGUUUAUUAAACCCAAGAACCUUGUACUCAGUAGGAUUUCUUAGAAGUAAUACAGGAUUAUUUAGGCAAAGCAGAGAAGAACCUGUAAGCGCAUUAAGUAACCCCGUAAAUCUUAGAAUGAUAACACAACAAAGCAUAAACCAAAUCAGAAGACAGUAUACAUAUAUGCAUAUAGGAUUAAUUGUUAUAGGAAUAAAAGGACUAACAAGAAAAGGAUUGGGGAAAAAAGUAUUAUUAGCAGUAUUAGACAAGAGACAUAAAAAAGUAGAAGAUGCAUUAAUAGCCAGUAUAGAAGUAGAUAUGAAUCAAAACGGAGGAAUAUUUUAUUGCAGCCCAGAUUUUAUGAUAACCUUAGAAGAUAUAAAAAAUUUAGAAAUAGGAAUACAAACUAAAGGAUAUGAAAAUUUUCAAGGAGAUAAUUUAACAAUAAGUAUCGGAUUUAUAGGAAGAUUAACAAAUAGUAGUAAGACCAGAUAUAAGGUAGAAAUAAAGCCAAUAGUAGAGGCUAUGGCAAGUAAAGGAAUAAAAUUAAUAAAACCAAUAGAAGUAAGUUCAGAAAACUUGGCAGGAGAAGAAUGGGAGAUUAGUAAAUUUGUAGAAGAAAAUAAUCCAAUAAUACCAAAGGAUAGUAUAAUAUAUAAAAAUAGUCAAGGAAAAACAAGCCUUAGAUUUUUCAAUUAUGAACCAACAGCUUUAGGAACAGAUAAUGAAGAAAUAGACAAAUCUGACAUAGAAUCAGACCUUAUCGAAAUAAAUUUAUUAGAAGAAGAAUUAAUAGAAAUAGAUCAUAGGAUUCUUUAUCCAAAAGAAUUAAAAAUGAAUUUAACAAAAAAAGAGCUAUUUGAUUUAGAAAGAAAAUUGGAAGCAAAUGGACAAAUAGCAUUAAACGAAGUAUUAUACUAUGAUAAUAUAGGAAAUAUUAGGGUGAAAAUAGAAGAAGAUAAUUCUGAAGAAGAUAAUUUAGAAGUAGCCAGCAUAAUGUCAUAUAGAGAAUUAAUGGACCAACAACAACAAAGUGGUGAAAGUAGUAAUAGGUCAACAGAUAUGCAGACUGAUACUAGUCAAACAGGAAAUGUUAGAACAUAUGAACCAGGACAACCACCUAGAAUAGUCUAUAAUGAAUAUAGAGAACCAGAGGAAAAAUAUAGUUCUAGGGGAAAAAGAAGACCAUUAGAAUUAGAAAUAAAAGAGCAUUCAGUAGAUGAAGGAAAAACUUUAAUGUUAACAUCUUACGAUCCACAAAUGAUAGAAGAUGUAAUAGGAAGCUGGAAAGCUAGAGUAGUAAGAAAUUAUAUACAAAAAGGAUUCGAUCAUAACGUAAUAGAGAUGUAUACAUAUUUAGAAACAUUUUUAGGAGGAGUAGCAAGAGCAGCAUGGGAAGCAUUUAAACAAAAAUUCCCAGAUAGGUUACAACAAGAUCAGGCACAUGGAGUCAAUCCCAUGAAUUUUGUUAAUCGAGUAGAAGAAAUUCUGUUAGCAACAAGUCCAAAUAGAGGAGGAGUAAUGACACAGAUAGAAUCGGUAAGAAAACUAGAACAAUUAUCAAUUAGAAACUGGAAAUAUAUUAAACCUUUUUUACAAGACUUUUUAUAUAGUUGUUUAGCAGGAUGUUUUUAUGAUGAAGGAAUAAUAGAAAAAUUAUUUGCAAAAUUACCAGACGAUUUAGGAAAGAAAAUAUAUACCUUAUACAAAGCAACGCCUAUGGAACCAACAUUAAAAAAUGUAAGUACGGCAGUAAGAUUUAUAAUCAAUAGACUAGUAGAAGAAUGUACUUUUAUAAAAAUACAAAGACAAUUAAAAGGAGAAUAUAGUUUUUGCUCAGAAAUAUACACACCACAAAAAUAUGGAGAAAAAGAUAAAGAUAAAAGAAAAUAUAGAAAGCCUUAUAAAAAUUAUAAAAGAUACCCUAGAAAACAAUAUUAUCUUAGGAAAAGCAAAGCUAGAAAACCAUUUCUCAAAAAAGAACACCAUGUUAGAAGAUAUAGACCAGAAAGAACUUAUGGAAAUAGAUUAUCUUGUUUUAUUUGUAAACAACCAAAUCAUUUAGCAACAAAUUGUCCACAAAAACAUAACUCUUUUAAUAGAGAAGCCCACUUAAUAGAAUUAUUUUCGGAAGAUUUAAUAGAAAUAGAUGAUAAUAUACUAGAGACAGAAAGUAUUUAUAGUAUAGUAUCUGAAGACUUAAAUUUAACAGAUUUUAUAGAACAAGAAGACACAAGUUUUAUAGAUGAAAUUUUAGAAAAAUCAGAAAACAAAACUAUCAUGGAUAAUAUAUAUUUAGAAGAAAUGAAAGAAGAUUUUAAAAUGUUAGAAGACUUAGAACUAGUUGAAGUAGAGUGUAUCCAUAAAUGGGAACAUAGAAAAGGAAAUUAUAGUAAACCAUGUUAUAACUGUAAUAAAUAUCCGUCAAUAGAAUUAAGGUUUCAAUGUCAGCUAUGUUAUAUAGAAGGAUGCAAAUACUGUUUAGAAAAACUUGCACAGGAAUAUGUUUUAAUAGAAAAUAUUAAAAAAGAAAAAACUGAAGAAAAUCUGCCUUUAGAACAUUAUUUAGAAAGAAGGAUAAGAAUUUUAGAAAAUAAGGUUGAACAUUUAGAGCAAAAAAUAGAAAAAUUAAAUAAGGGAAAAACAAUAGAAAGCGAAGUAUCUAUUGAAAACAUAGAUCUAGAAAUCUUUCCAGAAAUAGAAGAAAUAAAACAUAAUUAUGAUCUAGAAUUAUUACAAGCAGGAACAUCAAAUAUAACAUCCAUAGAAGUAAAAACUCGAAUAAAAAUAGGAGAUUUUGAAACACAAUUAUUAGCAGUAAUAGACACAGGAGCUAGUAAUAUAGUAAUCCAACAAGAGUUAAUUCCAGAAAAAUAUUAUGAGAAAGCAUACCAUAUUAGAACAGCUAGACAAAUGGAUGGAAGUACAUAUACAUAUGACACAGCAUUACAUAAUUCUUUAUUAUUUUUUGAAAUAGAUAGCAUACACUGUACACAACCAUAUCCUGUAACAGAAAUAUAUAUUAGAAGUUUUCCUUAUCAAAUGAUAUUAGGACUAUCAUUUAUUUUACAGGCAUAUCAUGGCAUGAUUCUUACUAGAACAGGAUUAACAUUCCUUAGAGAACAUUUUUUACCAUAUAAUACUUUUUUAACAAGCAAUAAAUUUAAAAUAAAUAAAGAUAAUAAAUUUACAAGACUCUUAGGACUAGAAGAAAAAGAUAAUUGUAAAUGUGAUAUAAAAGGUAGCUGUAAGAAUGAUUCAACCCAAGAAUAUAGGGGGAAGAAUCAGAAAACUAAUUCUUUUGACAAUAUGGAGAUGACUGGAGAAAGGCCUUUAUAUUCGUCACAAAGAAUUCAAAACUGUUUAGAAGACAAAGAAUUUGAAGAAUAUUUAGAGAUAGAAAAUUAUGACACAAUAGAAACUAUUUUAAAUAAUGAAAAAUUAUAUGAUCUGUUAGAAACAGGACAUAGAGAUAUAGACCAACUAAUAAGUGAAUUAGAAAAAUUAGAAAUUUUUGGAGAAAAUCCAACUAUUCAUUGGGAUAAGGACAAAACAGAAUGUAAGUUAGAUAUUUUAAAUCCAAAUUUAAAAAUUAGCACAGCAAAAAUAGAAGCUAGUAAUGAUGAUAUAAAAGAAUUCGAAAUGCAUAUAGCUGAUCUAAAUAAGUUAAAAAUAAUUAGAAGAAGUACUAGUCCACACAGAAGUGCAGCAUUUAUAGUUAAAAAACAUAGUGAAAUAGUUAGAGGAAAAAGUAGAAUGGUAAUAAAUUAUAAAAGAUUAAAUGACAAUACUAAAGAAGAUAGCUAUGAUAUACCAGAUAAAAAUGAGUUAAUAAAUAGAAUCCAAUAUAGAUAUAUUUUUAGUAAAUUUGAUUGUAAGUCAGGAUUUUGGCAGGUAAAAAUGCAUAAAGAAAGUAUAGAAUGGACAGCUUUUACAUGUCCUUUAGGACACUAUGAGUGGCUAGUAAUGCCUUUUGGGUUAAAAAAUGCACCAGCCAUAUUUCAAAGAAAAAUGGAUAAUAUUUUUAAUAAAUAUAAAGAUUUUGUCAUAGUAUACAUAGAUGAUAUAUUAGUAUUUUCAAAAAACAAAGAAGAACAUGUAAGCCAUCUAAAAUUAGUUUUCUCAGAAUUUAUUAAACACGGAAUAAUAAUCAGUAAUAAAAAAGCACAAUUUUUUAGAAAAAAUAUAGAAUUUUUAGGAACAGAAAUAGGACAAGGAAAAAUAAAAUUACAACCACAUAUUUGUAAAAAGGUUUUAGAAUUUCCAGAUAAGAUAGAAGAAACAAAGAAACUUCAACAAUUCUUAGGAUUAUUAAAUUAUGCAAGACCUUUUAUUAAAAAUUUAAAUAAUCUAGUAGCACCAUUGUAUAAUAAAACCUCUUUAAAAGGGCAAAAAUUCUUUAAUAAAGAAGAUGUCAAACUAAUACAAGAAAUUAAACAAACAAUAGGCAAUUUACAUGAUCUAAAAUUACCAUUAGACACAGAUUACUUGAUAAUAGAAUGUGAUGGCAGUAGUACCGGAUGGGGAGCAGUUCUUUUUGCAAAACCAAACAAAUAUAGUAAUAAAAACAAUGAACAAAUCUGUAGAUACGCUAGUGGUAAAUAUAAGGAAAAAGGCAAUAGAAGUAGCAUAGAUAAUGAAUUAUUAGCAGUAAAAUAUAGUUUGGAUAAUUUUAGACUCUUUAUAAUCAACAAAUCUGAAAUAACUAUUAGAACAGACUGUGAAGCAAUAAAAAAGUUUUUUGAUAAACAUAAUGAAAAAAGAAGUUCUACUAGAAGAUGGUUAAAUUUUGUAGAUAGUAUUAUUGGUAAUGGAUAUAAAGUAGUUUUCGAACACAUUAAAGGUAAAGAUAAUAAUUUAGCAGAUUUUUUAUCACGACUUUUUAACAAUUCUUCUGAUCUCUUAGCAGAUGGCAUAUAACUUCCAGAAAGUCAAAAUUGGCCAGUGGGAACUUACAAAGUACCCUAAAGGUACAAGUCUACAUUUCCAUAGCCAAGAGGAAGGUAAUUUAGAAGACAUCCAGCAGGAUAUCUUAAAUAACCUCUGGAAUAGCAGAAAUAGCACUGAUAAAGUUAGAAAUCUUAAUAUCUUAGCAUUUUAUUUUAGUAAUCUUCCAAAACAAAGUUUUUCAUAUUAUGUAGUGGUAAAAGAAAAAAAACCUGGAAUCUAUUCCAAAUGGAUUUCUGUUAUAGAACAAAUAAAUCAUUUUCAUAAUCCUUUAUGGAAAGCAUUUCAUAGCAUACAUGAAGCACUAGAAUUCGCUAGGCAUAAUAUAGGAACAACAUUUUAUGUAGAUCCUAAGGCUAGCAUGGAUAGCAUGAGGGUGCCAGUAUAUCAAAAUACAGAUGCCCCUAGUAGCAGUAGAAAUUAUCAAUAUGCAUUAGAAAAAGAUAAUACAAAUAGAAUAGAAUUUUGUAGACAUUGUAAGAGCAUGGAGCAAGCUAUUAGAAGUUUAAAUUUAAAGUGUAGAAAUUUUGAAGAGGAAGAUCUUUCUCAAAAAGAAAAGAUAAAAUCUUUAACUGAACAACUCAAAGAAAUGUAUAAGAUCUCCGGCUCACAGGGAGGUACUAUUCUCUCACAAAUUUCUGAGAUUGGGGAGCUCAAAGGAAGGCUGUCUCAUACAGCAUCUCAAAUGGCCAGUUCUUCAUCCGGCCCAAUAAAACAGACAAUUUUUAUAAAAGAAAAGCCCCUUUCAGAAAGACCAUUUGAAUUUCUUAAGCCCAGAAUAUCCUUUAAACCAUAUCACCUACUUAGUUUCCUCCCUUUACAUAUCCAAGAAAUUAUUAGCCAAAAAGCCCAAGCCCAAUAUUAUUCAAAAUUAAUGGCAGUCCAACAAUACUUUUAUGAAAUAGCAAAAAGACCCAAUUAGAAAUACAGCAGCCAUUAGACUACAUCCAUCUUUCUUCAUCGACCCAGAAAAACAUUGCCCAAACAAUCCAGAAGCCUGUGACCACCAGAAAAUAAAUAGCCAUUGUAUACAUACACUCAGUCAUUUUUUCCUCAGAGCAACUAUUAUCUUAUCAAAAUAUUCAUCCCCAAAGAUACUAAGGGUAAAUGGGGAAAGAGUUAUUUUAACACCACAAUUUCUUAUGGAUGCCGGAUUUCUGGAAAAAAUUAUUGUUACAAAUCCAGAAGAUACUCAUUGUCUUGGAACUUAUCUCGGAUACUUCAUCAGAAAAAUGUUAGACUAUGGACAGUGGGCAACUGUACAUAUCAAAUCCGCGCCAGCAGAAUGGAUAGGACUUUUUGAUAUAGAACCAGCAAUACAUAGAAUGAUGAUUACAGUCAGCAAUAUACCACCAGCAAGGAGAACGACAGAAGAACUAGAAAAAAUCAGCAGCAGUCUAGUGGAAUGUCCAUUAGAAUUAAAAGAACAAUUGAUAAAUGCUAAAAUGAUCCAAUUAGCUUACAGACAUUUCAUAGAUCAAUGGGAACAUGGGAUUAGAUUAGUAUAUGAAAAUAAGAUACAAAAGAUAUAUGUCCCAUACAGGUUUAAGUUAGAAAAAGAUUUCACUAUAAGCACCAAUUAUCCAGAAGUUUUUGAAAAAUAUUUAGAAGGAUAUUAUAUGAGCUCAGGAGCAAGGCAUUUGGAUAUAGAAGCAGAUGAAGAAUAUAAUGAUGAUCAUUAUUGGGAAACAAUGGGACCAGAAGAAAUGAGCAACAUCGAGAAUAUGAUGGAAGGAUAAUUCUUCGGCCAUCUUGUCCAAAGCUAUAUGUAUAGAUUGGUCAUAAAGCUUUUAUUGUAUAGUUUGGCCAAAUUACUUUUUGUAUAGGACGGCCAUAGAACUUUUUAGCCUUUAUUAGCUGACAGCCACAUUGUAUAGAUAGGCAAUAUUGAUUUGAUGUUUUUACGGAUUUCAGUAGGCUUUAAGUCCGUAAAAGUUUACAUCCACGGACUUUUAGUAAAAAAUUUUAAGUCCGCACAGUUUACAUAAGAAGUCUAUAAAGGCAUACGUCCCAAACCAAUGUUGGGUACGAUGCACUUACAUCCUGUAAAUUAAAGCAUUCAAUAACAAACUCCAAUUUCAUACGUUCUUUAGCAGUUUUUUACAAGACUUUAGCUCUCUCAUAUUGCUAGCAUAAGACGAAAGAGAAAUAAGAAAGUAGAGAUUUAGGCAGCCAACCCUAGAUUAGAUCCAAACAACCGGAAACUCUGAAAAAGAUACCUUGUUUUUAGGAUCCUAAAAGACCAAAAGACGGUGUAGUACCCAUUAAAGCCUUUCAGUUACAAAGCAGGCGCCAGGGGAAGAUCCGGUGAGGCAAAACUCCUAAUCACAAGAUUCCCAUUUUCACAGCAUCAGAAGGAAAAUUUGGAUUUAAAGCAAGGAAGGUAAAAUCUCAGUUAUCUUUCUUAAAGUAUCUAGUAGUCAUCAAUUUCUUAAAUUCCAGUUAAUCAUCCUGAUAUUUUAUAUGAAUUUUGAACCGCCUUUUCAAUUUACAUCCACUCCAGAAAACGCAUACAGAUUAGCAUUACAAAGCCUCAGACAACCAGAUACCUAUUAUUAUUUUGACAAAAUUUUAGAGGAAAUUGAAACAACAGACCAGUGUUUAGCACAUAUACAAAUAGAAGAAGCUAGAUUAUCUAAAGUAGCACACCACCAUCCCGCAUCAUUUCUAAAAAAUUUAAGACAAGCAAAAGUAGAUUUACUUUGGCAUAAAUACUCUGAAUUAAAAUCAAUAGAAAGACAAAAAUUAGAAGAACAAGAAAAAUAUAAAAAUAAAAGGAAUUUUUGUAAUAAAGUUUGUAGAACAUCUGAUUAACAUUUGAUUAAUCACGUAAGACUUUAAUUGGAGCCGUAAAAGUCCAACCACUAGAGUGUAGUCCAACAUAGUCCAACAUAGUGUAGUCCAACAUAGGUCUUUAAUUGGAGCCGUAAAAGUCCAACCACCAGUUUUUAUAACUAUUAGAACAGAUUGUGAAGCAAUAAAAAAGUUUUUUGAUAAACAUAAUGAAAAAAGAAGUUCUACUAGAAGAUGGUUAAAUUUUGUAGAUAGUAUUAUUGGUAAUGGAUAUAAAGUAGUCUUCGAACACAUUAAAGGUAAAGAUAAUAAUUUAGCAGAUUUUUUAUCACGACUUUUUAACAAUUCUUCUGAUCUCUUAGCAGAUGGCAUAUAACUUCCAGAAAGUCAAAAUUGGCCAGUGGGAACUUACAAAGUACCCUAAAGGUACAAGUCUACAUUUCCAUAGCCAAGAGGAAGGUAAUUUAGAAGACAUCCAGCAGGAUAUCUUAAAUAACCUCUGGAAUAGCAGAAAUAGCACUGAUAAAGUUAGAAAUCUUAAUAUCUUAGCAUUUUAUUUUAGUAAUCUAUUCCAAAUGGAUUUCUGUUAUAGAACAAAUAAAUCAUUUUCGUAAUCCUUUAUGGAAAGCAUUUCAUAGCAUACAUGAAGCACUAGAAUUCGCUAGGCAUAAUAUAGGAACAACAUUUUAUGUAGAUCCUAAGGCUAGCAUGGAUAGCAUGAGGGUGCCAGUAUUUUAUAUAUACACAUACUUAUAUUUGUAUACAUACAUACAUAUAUAUAUACACAUACAUACAUCUAUAUAUAUGUAUGUAUGUAUGUCUACACACAUGUGUAAACCUGUUGUAAAAACUUAAAAGAGAAACACGUGAUAAUAUAUACACAUGUAUAAACCUGCUGUAUGUGUCUAUUUAUAGAUUACUGGUAUUGUUAAUAACUUAAUAUUCAUGUUAGCUAUAUUGUAUUAUCGUGUAUUGUUCAUUAGUAUUUUCUCAAAUAUUAUACAUUACUAUAAAAAGCCAACAUUUCAACCGGACUUGUGUCUAAAUUUGCUAGGCACCAAAAAUAACACUUUCCCUACCACUUAAAUGGUCAGUGGUGUCUAAAUUUUAAUAAAAUUAUGAUAUUUUAUUCCAAAAAAAAAAAGAAAAAAGUGGUGUGCUAUUUUUUUUUAUUAAGUAGAGAAUUUUGUUACUCAUUGUUUAAGGUAGCCAAGCUUGGUCGCUUGACUCUUAUAUGCUACGUAGGCUUGGAGGUUGGGGCCUCGUCGCUCAUCUUGAAUAGGAAAAUCAGAAACUUUCCUUCCAAUCCCAGAGAGGUAUGUGGCGUACUUUGGUACUUCAAAUAUGGCUGCCUCCAACACCGGGUUUGUUAAGGUGAAUGUAGAUGCAGCUUUAAGUACAGCAAAAGGGAGAGUAGGAUGGGGAGUGAUUGCAAGGCGAGCAGAAGGAGGGAUCCUGAAAGCUUGGGCUGGCAGUGGAGAAAGAUACACUGAAGCCAUGGUGGAGGAAGCACAUGCAAUUCGAAUAGCACUUAUUAAAGCUGGAACAAUGGGCUGGAGAAAGAUUGAAAUCCAAUCAGAUUGUAAGGGAGUCGUGGAAAAAAUCAAGACAGGUUGCAGGAAGGAUCCGAAGAUUGGAGCAAUGAUAGAAGAUAUUCUUAGGUUGGGAACUGUGUGAGGCAACCAUUACCCAACUUUUGCUAAUCAUUAUAUAUAAAUAUAUAUGUAAUCAUUAUAUAAAUAUAUAUAUAUAUAUAUAUAUAUAUAUAUAUACACAACACAUAAUACAUACAUAUAUUUAUAUAUAUAGAUAUGUAUAUAAACACACAUAUGUAAACCUGUUGUAAAAACUAAAUGGAGAAGCAUGCGAUAAUAUAUAGACACAUAUAAACCUGCUGUAUGUGUCUAUUUAUAGAUUAUUGGUAUUGUUAAUAACUUAAUAUUCAUGUUAGCUAUAUUGUAUUAUCCUGUACUGCUCUUUAGUAUUUUCUCAAAUCAUUAUAUAUUACGAUAAACAACCAAUUUUUCAACAUCCUACGAAAGGACUUGUAUAAUGAGUUUACUUAAGUACUAUUGUUAAUGUUACGGUAUUUCAAUUUAUAAUUCUUGUGGAGUUCAGGGCAAUUGUGUUUGAUUUGUUGGAGACUUUCUCACAUUGAUUUUAUAGAAAAAUUAAUUUUUUGGCAAAAUAAUCCAAAACGUAUAUCAUUUCUUGGCGUUUUGUGGCUUUUAGAAGUACAAAAUUUUGAUCAAGUAAAGUGAGAAAUUUAAUAGAAUUAAUCUUUUCUACACUGUCAGUAUAUAUAUUAACAGAGUUGAAUAAAUUUUAGAUUAUCUGAAUUUGAAUUUGAGCAUCAAAUUUUGUAAAUAUUUUAUGCAUCUAGAUUUAUUAGUGUAUAUACUGUUAGUGCAUAAAAGAUUUAUCAAUUAAUAAAGGUUUUUAGAAAAUUAGGAUUGUGACCGCAAAGGCUGCGCGAACUUUGAAAUGGAACAAGUAGUUAUCUACAGACUACAUAUUAUAUUCUACAAUCUCUACAAAUCAGAAUAAUGCCCAACAAAGAGACUUAGUGUAGGGACUUGGUAAAACACAAGAACAAGAUGGGGCAGAAAGAUCCCGUGAUUAGUUUCCUCUACAAUCUGCAGUCUAGGCGCAUAGGCUUGCCGAGCGAGUUGAGCCUAAGUGCCAACAAAUAUUUUGCCUGAGAAAAAAAAAAAAAAAAAACCCAAGUUCAGGAUAUCACUCGUCACUUAUCAGCUUUUAAUGACACAUUUUUUUUAAUCCUUCCACCACACAUUUCCUAUCCCAAUUGACUGGUAUGGGAUUCGAACUAUAAACUAAGUGCCCUCCCAAUCAUGGGCCUAUUCUCACAUUGGGAAUGUCUUCAAUCAUGGGCCAUUAGUCUCCUCUAUCCAUCAAACACCUUUUCUCAAGAAGUGGGCAUUUAUCAAUUUGGAGAGUUAGAAGCGGAUUACGCAGCGAUUCCUUUGGUAGGGAUCCAAGCUUGGGGCACUCAAAGAUGCGCAGAUAUCGAAGAGCUGUAAGACCUCGCAAGAACGCGGAGAGCGAUUUCAGAUUUGGUAAGUCAUGAAUGGCGACGGACGUAAGAGUUGGAGGAAGCAAAGCGAAUCCAUCAUCACCACUACCAGAAAAUGAUUCCAGCUCUGGAUAUCCACCAUGGAUGCCGAAACUUUCAAGAAAUGGGAGUCUGUUGAGUCCCCAUUCUGACAGGGGCUUCAGCUGUAAGUUUUCUCCUGCCGCUAUGUGAAGAAACUUCAGACUGGGAGGAAAAUCUCCUUGUGGAAAUAACAAAGGACUUGAACAAGAAGACAAGAACAGAGAUCUUAGUCUUCCCAACCCACUGGGCAAGUAACUAACAUUUUUGCAUCUGACCAAGGAAACACGUUCCAAACUUGGAGUGGGCAAUUGAUCCAGAUGAUGAUCACAAUCGCUAAUAGACAAAGACCGGAGACUUGCAAAACUGUAGACUGAACCAAGCAUUGUUCUCAAAUUCAGACAUGGGCAGCCAACGAUUUGCAGACUCUCAAUCGAUGUGCUGGUGUCCUCUAUGACAAUCUCCGGAGUAAGGUUCAGUUUCUGGCAAUGUCUGAUCCCAAGAUGCCUAAGCUGAGGGAGGAGCAACUUGUCC
RNAcentral lists this long non-coding RNA (175401 nucleotides) under Coffea arabica (coffee). RNAcentral describes it as "long non-coding RNA (CARA_LNC001762)". The stretch from base 72097 to 72203 matches the Rfam family "Plant small nucleolar RNA R71". Lineage: Eukaryota; Viridiplantae; Streptophyta; Magnoliopsida; Gentianales; Rubiaceae. The record is from RNAcentral.